CUGUUUUUUUCCUAAAGUAUAAACUAAUUUAAUUAAAGACUUACUAAUGGAGUACUUUCUCUAUCUCAAAUUUAAAAUGUUUUGGCAUUGCUAAAUUCAUAGUUUUUAUUAUGGCCUUGUUUAGUUCCCAAAAAUUUUGCAAAAUUUUUUAGAUUCUCCGUCACAUCAAAUCUUUAGACGUAUGCAUGGAGUAUUAAAUAUAGAUGAAAAUAAAAACUAAUUGCACAGUUUGGUCAAAAUUGACGAGACGAAUCUUUUGAGCCUAAUUAGUCCAUAAUUGGACAAUAUUUGUCAAAUACAAACGAAAGUGUUACUAUUUCUAUUUUGCAAAUUUUUUAGAACUAAACAAGGCCUAUGUAUUUAGAUAAAAAGUUAUAAAUCUAGAAAAGUCAAAAUGUCUUAUAAGGGCCUGUUUAGAUUGGAGAUGAAAAUUUUUUAGGUGUCACAUCGGAUGUGUCGGAAGGAUGUCGGGAGGGGUUUUUAGAAACUAAUAAAAAAACAAAUUACAUAGCUCGUCAGGAAACUGUAAGACAAAUUUAUUAAGCAUAAUUAAUCUGUCAUUAGCAUAUGUGGGUUACUGUAGCACUUAAGGCUAAUUAUGGAGUAACUAGCCUUAAAAGAUUCGUCUCGUGAUUCUCAACUAAACUGUGUAAUUAUUUUAUUUUUUUAUCUACAUUUAAUGUUCCAUGCAUGUGUCCAAAGAUUCGAUGGGACGGAUGAAAAAUUUUUGGGUGGGGAACUAAACAGGGCCUAAGUUAGAACAAAGAAAGUACAUGUUUAUUUAACAACCAAACAAAAGACCUCCUUAUCUAUACAAGGAUUUAUGUCAUUUCACACUGAGCAUAGGCAAUCUUCGUAGAGACAAACAUGUUGCUUCUCUAGAAAAAAAGUUCUUAGCCCCUUUUGUCUAGAGUCUGGACCUAGAGAAGCAACAUACUUUGAGCUCCAUCCUAAAAACGUCAUAGGUCAUAGCUCCAUCCUGAAUUUCGCCUGGAACUAACCUAUGACGUUUUCGGGAUGGAGCUCUGCGCCGGCCAUACUUGGAGCUCGAUUCUGGACCCAUGGCUGCAAGGACCUUGGCCCCUCCACUUCCCUCAAAAAAAAAUCUAGACGCAUGGCUUAACUAUCUGAUUUUAUUUUGAUAUUGCGAUCGCUUUUACCUCCAUUUUGCGUCGUGGUUAGGAAAUCGUGCUUUCAGUGUUUCGCUUUAUUUUUCAGCAAUAGUUUAGUAGAUUUUUACAACGAAAGAAUAAUAUUUUCUUCUCUCACAACAAUUCAAUAUUAACAGCAGCAUAAACCAAAUUUUAGCGAGCUGAACAGAAAAAAUAGAUGAAGGCUCUACGUUAUUUGGCUAUGCAUGCAAUAAACUAAAGCAAAAAAAAAUGAUGGGCAAGUUCUCACAUCAUCUACAAAAAUGAUGGGCAAGUUCUCACAUCAUCUACAGGCUUCAAUUAUGAAAGAACACACGAACAUCUCCAUCAUUGAAAACCAAAAUAAAAUUGGACGGCUUCCACCUCAUCACUCAACUGGCACUUGUUUGGUCUGGCACUAUGCAACUAUGUUUUGGACACAUCUGGCUUAGCUCAUCCGAUCCUUUUUUUUUAAAAAAAAAAGGAAGUAAUCACCAACCACUUCCAAGUUCCAAGUAAUGAGAGACACAUGACCUGAUCUUGGCCCCCUAUAAUACUGCCAGAUUCCUAGCAAAAUCCAAACGUCCAGCCAAUGCAAUUCCUCACCAUGCAUGUUCACAGCACACCACAAAGCUCCAACACAUUAACAGUCCACUAUAAACACUCCGAUCCAGGAUUAGCAGGUAAAAUACAUCUCGGUCGGCUAAAGAGCUGUAAAGCAGAAUACCACAGGUGCCAACGGUAUGGGCCUCAAAACCAGAUGGUGUGUGUUCAUGGGUGCACGAUCACUUUGUUUGCAGGCAGUAUAUAUAUGUUGGAAUAUGUGGGCUUAGCCCUUAGAAAUUCUUAUUAAUUCCAUUCCAAAUAAUCUCAAAUGGUUCUGCUCAAAAAAAAAUCUCAAAUAGCUAUUCAUUUAAUUAUGUAUAAAUAUAUAGGUGAGUGGGAGAAUUUUAGUCCUAUCUGAAGUGUGGAAGUUGCUAUGCUUAAACACGGGAGCCGUCUUCACUUUUCAAAGUCUACUAUGUGGGUAAAAGGAAACUCCAACGUUCCAUAGAAAAAAAGUUGCUAUAAGAUUUGUGCUGAUUUGAGUAAAAUGCACCUACGGUCCUCACACUUUUAAGGCCCUCUCAUAUGGGUCUUUGAACUAAAAGAGCGACUAUAUAAGUCCCUAAACUAUUGUUGCUGUGCAUUAAAGGUCCAAAACCUAUAUACCAGCGCUCACAUCUGACGUGGAUAUGCGACAGUGGCAGCAAUACCGUGCUAACUUUCCAAAAAAAAACUCUGUCCCAUUUCUUUUUUUCUCAUGCCGGGUUGGAGAUGCCAACGAGGAUGGUUGUGCCUCACUACCCGUGCUGCUCACCUCGCCCCACACGAACCUUCGGGCCAAGUGGACGCCGUGUUGUGGAGCUGCUCUAGGCGGCCACAAGCUUCGCCUCUAGCAUCCAAACCAGCCAUGGGAUAGCAUCCGGAAACGUAGUGCCGGUUCUGGCACGUGGAGCUCGUCGCUGGCGCUCACGACCAGGAGUGCUGCCGCCCCACACACCUUAAGGCUUGGCCAACCUUGCGCUCGCCUCCACUUUCUCGCCCUAGCCCUCUCUUCUUCUCCUUCUUGUUGCGGGCACGUUCGCCAUGGUCACCGGGCGUGACUUCGCGAUCUGCCGCCGCCGUUCCGCUGUAGCCGAUUGAGCCACCCCACGCCUCACCAGUAGCACGACCAACUGCAAUGUAACGAGGCGCACAUGGAGCACCGACGCCACCGGGAAGGAGAAGGAUGGAGAGAGAAAAGGGACUUUGGAGUUAGAAAUAGAAUAUGGCACUGAGCAGUGUGGCACGUCCACGUCAGAUGUAGGCGCUGACAUGGUAAGUUUUGGACCUUUUGGUGCAUAGCGGCCGUAGUUUAAAGAUCUAGAUAGUCGCUUUUUUGUUCAAUGACCAAUAUGGGAAGGUCCUACAAGUCUAAGGAGGUUUUUACUCAAAUAAGUUUGUUACGAUAUGGUAUGGAAAAUAUGUUCAACGAUCCAAAGGAGGAAAUUCGGUUGAAACUAUAAUCAGUGACAUCUGGCACCACGCGCAGCGGCAGAUGAUCAUUGCCAACACCAAAAGUGCAAUUCCAUCGGAUCCUUGGACCUUGGGGAUGACGGCGCGGAGGACGAACAUCAACACCUCCAAGUUGACAGCAUAGAAGAGCGAGCAGGAGCAAACCGUUAUAAAAGAUGGGCUACACCUCCACACGUUGGGCAGUAUUCGGGCCAGACUUCCUUUCCCCUGCGUACCUGCGGUUGGGCCUGGCCUGGACUGGCAAAACUAUUUUCCCAUUGGCUUUUUUGGCCCGUCCAAUGCUCACAGUCGUUCGAUUGAAUCAGGGCAUUGCUCUAGCUGAAUAAAAAAUCAGCAACACCUAGCCUCCACGGAAAUGGAGUGACAGUUGUAGCUAGAGAUGGCAACGGGUACGUACCCGACGGGUAGUGGCCACCCGUACCCGCACCCACGAAAUCUAAAUUGUACCCGUCGGGUUACCCGUACCCGCACACGGGUAGGAAAAUAAUUCCAUACCCGCACCCGCGGGUAAUUUAUACCCAACGGGUAACCCGCACCCGCUAGUAUACACGAGAAUUAUAUAUAAAUAUCAUAUAUUUACACAAAGAAAAUCAUACUAAACCUCCAACAAGUUACAAACUAAUAUUCAUAUGACAACAUUAAAUUCAUAUACAUAUAUAUUAGGAGAGUUUAGUUGGAUUUAGACCAAAUUCAUGUGCUAUAUAGGCUAAAAUGAGAAGGGUGGCUAGUUAUUUUGACGGGUAUUUUUUACCCGCGGGUAGGCGGGUAUGGGUAGUACACACCCACACCCGUACCCGCCAUACCCGAUGGGUAUAGGAUUUUGCCCAAUAACGUACCCACGGGUAGAAAAUUCAUUCCAUACCCGCCUCUUUAUCGGGUAAAACCCGUCGGGUACUCAGGUUUCGGGUACCCGUUGCCAUCUUGAGUUGUAGCAUAUAAAUCCUAAUACACAAUCAAACAUAUAGAAAUCUGACAGAUUUAGUAUACAAAAAAUAUGUCAACAGAUAAAUAGCAAAAGUCAAAUUAUAAUUUGGACACAUAUUAAUUAAGCUAAUAUGUCUGUAAAUAUAAUACAUAUUUAUAUACUAUUGUUAGCAAUGCAAAGAGAAAUGCUUAUAUGUUGUAUUUCUACUAUUGGGAAGUGAGUUGAAGAACGUGCUAUAAGUUGGAGAGUAGAUGAUGGUCUAUAGAAUUAAUUUUCAUCUCCCAACUUAUGAAUUUAUAAGAUAAGCUUAUAUGUGAACAUUGGAAAGUUGUGAAAUCUUAAAUUUCAAGUCAAAUAACUGUUGAAUAUGUUCCAAAGUCAGUUGCACAUUAUAAAGCCCAACUUCUAACGGAGCGAAGCGGAGGCCCGUUGAAGACGAAGGUUGGGCCGGAGCGAUACACCCUAUGAGGGUUUCACUAAGAUAUUCUCUAGUAAGCCGCCGCACUACAUUGUAAUCCAACUCUUGAUAAUUGUGAGGAGUGUUUGCUGGCUGACGUCUCUGGUUUUUCCCCUUCGCAUUGGAGGGGUUUUCCAUGCUAAAUCUUGUGUAUCCGCUAUUGUGGGGGUAUAAACCCCUAUACCCUCAUGGGCCUAUAUGAGCCGCACCAUCAGAAGUGGCUCGGCCCACAGGAUGAAGACGUGCGGCGCACGACUGGUCGGCGUGCACCGCAAGGCUACAAGAUAUUGUACCAAAUAGGAUACUUUACUUGUAACUCUGUCCCUUCAGGAUAUAUAAGGAGGGGCAGGGGUUCCCUAGAGUAUAGACUCAUCUCAACACAAUUCAAUACAAUCAGACACAGGACGUAGGUAUUACGCCCAUACGGCGGCCGAACCUGGAUAAAAACCUUGUCCGUGUUGCGUCACCAUCAAGUUCGUAGCUUGCGCACCGUCUACCGAUAAACUACUACCGUGGGUAUACCCCAAGGUAGACUGCUGACUAGCUUUCGUCGACAGUGGCGCGCCAGGUAGGGGGUGUGCGUACAACUCUCCUAGACGAACAAGAUGGCCAUCAUCCCCGACUUCGCGGCCAUGGCGGGCGGCUUCACAUUCAUCGUCGGCUUCAACAACUUCACCGCCAUGACCGCAGAGGAGGCGUAGAUCCGAUCUGUGCCGAUCACUUCUUCACCGACGUCGGUUGUGGCUCCAACCACGCUGGCUACGGUUUCGACCACACCAGCAACGUCUUCGACCACGCCGACAACGCGUCGCCGCUUCUCUGCUACAAAGAGAGGCAGAUCGACGACACCGACCUGCUCAGGCUAUCGACCAAGUUGUUUGGCCUACUUGCUCUGACUACGAGUCGCAAUAAUAAUCGCCGCGAAGAACGGCGCUACGACAACCGCGACCACCGUCAUGACAGCAAGUCAAAAAGCUCGAGGGCCAGACAAUUCUGUCACCACCGACCAGACUUUCGUCCAAAGAUAAGUACACUUUUAAUAUUUUAUUUAUUUUUAGCAUAAUAUUUCUUAUUAUCCUUCAAAGUAAUUUUUUGGUUAGCCGACUAGUUUUUUCUCCUACAUGAGUUUUCUAGAGUCGGCACUGUCUCCGACUCCUCCCUACACGUGCAUGAGAUCCGUCCUCUGCGUUCCGAGUGGUCGGCAGUAGCUCUCUGGCGAGGCUGACAAUCCUACGCGUGUCUAGGUUCCGCCUUAUGCUGAUUGUUGGCUAGACCAGAGCUGGUACAAGCUCUAGUAUGAAUUAACUACUCGUGCUAAUUUUAUAAAAAAAUCUAAAACUUAUCUCAGUGCUGAUUUUUUAUCUAGAGUUUAUUUAUACAUCAUGUACUACCUAUUCUCUAUAUUUAUUUUUCAGGAGUUUGGCCCAGUCAACAAGGUACGCUCGGGGACUCGUCGACUAUUCCCUACGCUGUGCUCGGGGACUGCUCCGACCACCGAGCAUGUUUACGUUCCCAACCACGCUCGGGGACUUGUCGAUUAGUCUCUACGCUGCGCUCGAAGACUGUGCCGACCACCGAGCACGUUUACGUUACCAACCACGCUCGGGGACUUGUCCACCAGUCCCUACGCCGUGCUCGGGGACUGUGCCGACCACUGAGCAUAUUUACGUUCCCAACCAUGCUCGGAGACUGGUCGAUCAGUCUCUAUGCCGUGCUCGGAGACUGUGCUGACUACCGAUCGUGCUCGUAGACUCACCAAUCACUCCCUACGCUGUGCUCGGGAUUUGCUUCGAUCACUCUCCGACCACAGCUUGGGGACUGCUUUUCUCAGUUACAUAUGAAUUGGACUGGAUAAUUUUAAUUUUUUAGACCUUGCUACAAGGCUCAUACUUCGCCUUCCAGCAAGCUCGGGGACUACAUCGGUACGAUGCAUCUAGCGAUGCAUGUUAGUAUCAGAAAUUUUAAGAUGAUUUUCUUUUUAGACCCUGGCACCACAUGCCUAUGUCACCUACUACCAGGCUCGGGGACUAAGUGGGCACACUUCACUUUACAGUGAAUUUGCUUGCUUUUUGAAAGACUAUACUUUUCAGAAAAGUAAAGUGGACACACUUCACCAGGAAAGAAAUCUUUUUUAAUCAAGAGCACCAUGCAUUCUUCGAACAACCUGCUUCUUCGAUGUCAAUGUUGAUCAACUGUCUUUUGAGUUGGUCAAAAUACCGUUGCAACUGUUUGGGCGACUUUCCUACUUAUUGAAGACGUCAAGCUUCACUGAUCGAAGAAGCUCUAGACGGCGUGUUACAUCACAAUACAUGGUGCUCGGGGACUAGCUGUGGGGGUAUAAACUCCUAUACCCUCAUGGGCCUAUAUGGGCCGCACCAUCAGAAGUGGCUCGGCCCACAGGAUGAAGACGUGCGACGCACGACUGGUCGGCGUGCACCGCAAGGCUACAAGAUAUUGUACCAAAUAUCUGUCCCUUCAGGAUAUAUAAGGAGGGGCAGGGGUUCCCUAGAGGAUAGACUCAUCUCAACACAAUUCAAUACAAUCAGACGCAUGACGUAGGUAUUACGCCCAUACGGCGGCCGAACCUGGAUAAAAACCUUGUCCGUGUCUUGCGUCACCAUUAAGUUCGUAGCUUGCGCACCGUCUACCGAUAAACUACUACCGUGGGUAUACCCUAAGGUAGACUGCCGACUAGCUUUCGUCGACAGCUAUGAUUUGAUUUUUGUAUUCUUCAUCGUUUAUCCAUCGUCAUUCACAACAAUAACCAAAUACAUUAUGUAGAUUCCAAUUUCUCUAAAAUGAAGGGAUCCAAACAGCCCUCAGGUUAUUUGGAUAUUUUUUCCCAUUUUCCGGCUAGGUUCGAAAAGCGUGACUUUUGCCUCUGCAUUCACAGUACACUGUAGUAGCCUUUGAGCAAGCCAACACCCCCACAAUAUAUAACCACGUGCAUCCAAAGACACCAAACAUAUAUCACACUUCACACAGAAGCAGCCGUUUAUUCAUUGCAUUACACUGGUAGACUAGAUGACACACGACACGAUACGCCAUGCAACGGGGACCAUGCAUGGCUCUACAAUCACACACACACACAGAGAGCUAGGGCUAGGCACGUACGUACCCGGCACCGGCAUAGCUUGAUCACAAUCACACACAUGCAUGCACGUAUGUACACACAUACGUACGCAAUAAACUAAAACCAUGCAUGCAUACUACUCACAACAACACAGCACACUACUACUUGCGAAUCAAAAGGAGGCCGGCUGCAUAUGCAUGCAAUGCAUGUUUUGGAACACAUGCAUCUGCAUAUCACAUGGUCAUGGUUGGGACGAAAGGUGGUCUGACUCUGACGGCGAGGCCGCAGUAGCCCCCUGCUGCCGCUGCUGCUGGGCUGCCGGCGGCGGCGGGGACUUGUUGCCUCUUCAACUUGAUGUAGCCGCCGUCGCCCCACUUGGUCCCCCACGAGUUCUUGACGAUCCAGUACUUCUCCCCGGUGGCCGCGUCCUCCCCGUACCCAACCACGGCGACGGCGUGGUUGAACCUGCUGCCGCACCGCCCUCGGUACACGCCUUGCCCCCUGAAGUGGUGGAAGUCCGGGUGGCCGGCCCUGAUCGCGACGACGGCCACCACCGGCUGCUCCUGCUGCUGCCGGCCGGCCACCACCGCGUUCAUCAGCGCCGCCUCGUCGUUCACAAACACACCGCCGCCAUGAACUGUCGUCUUUCCCGACCCAGUGGUGAUCGUCUCCUUGACGACGGGGUAGCAACGGCGGCGGCAACGGCGGACGCAACGCUUGCGGUGGCCAAGGCCAACUACUCCUCUUUUGCCAGUGAUGAUGCAACGGCGGACACAACGGCGGACGCAACGGCGGCCGUGGCCGCCAUGGCCACCGCUCACGGUGUCAAAGUCACCGCCAUCAUCGCCAUCACUGUCGUCGUCUCCGUCGCCGCCGUCGUUGCUGUCGCCGUCGUCGUCGAAGCCGUCGUCCAGCGCUAGCGUGGCCGUGGUGUACAUGGCCAUGAACUCGUCGGUGGUGAGGUCGGUGUACUCCGUCUCACCGAGCUCGUACGAGGGGUCCUCGCCGUUCCUCGCCAGGAUGUACCGCAUGUUGCCGGCGUACACCUGGAAACGGUGGCGCUCCUCCGAAGCCGUCGCGUAGCUUCGGUUGUACUCUACCUUCCAGCGUUGGAACCGCUCCAUCAUCUGAUCAUCAGUAGCACUGUCGAAGCUGCUGCUGUCGUCGACGUAGCCGCCGCCGCCGCCAACCAGCUGAACCGUCGUCGGUGAGCAGCUGCCGGCGCCGAGGGAGACAGCGAGGAGGACAACGACGAGGAGGCAUGGUAGGGAGUUGUUAUUCAUGGGAAGGAGCGAGCACGUCGUCGCCAUGGUUCAGUACUCUUCGAUCAGAUCACUAAUGGUGGCGUGUAGUGUUGAGCUUUGAGAUGUGACCUGCUGGUGCUAGGCAAUCCACGUUUAUAUAGAGCGGGGCUGGACAUACGAUCACUGAUGAUAUGUUAAAUCGUACUUUUUCUAGCUGCCAGUAGUUUUAGUCAUGGCUCGCCAUGGCCCAUGCUUAGGCCUUGUUUAGUUCACCACAAAAACCAAAAACUUUUCAAAAUUUUCCGUCAUAUCGAAUCUUGCGGCAUAUGCAUAUGGAGCAUUAAAUAUAGAUAAAAACAAAAACUAAUUGUACAAUUUAUCUAUAAAUCGCGAGAUAAAAUUUUUAAAUCUAGUUACUCUAUUUAUUAAACAAUGUUUGUCAAAUAAAAACAAAAUUACUAUAGUGUCGAAAUCUAAAAACUUUUUGGAUCUAAACAAAGCCUUAAUGGGAGAGGAUGACGACGACGUACGGAGAACUAUCCAAUUUCCUGACAUGAUGAUUUCCUUAAGGCCAAGAGACGGUAGAUGUGGUGCAGUACGGUAGAUGUGGUGCAGUAGUUCUCCGACGAUGCCUUCAGAAGGACUUUGACAUCCGCAGAUGACAACAACGUUGGAAGAACAAGAGGAGGUCUUUCGACACCAACUUGCUUCGGCAAACAUGAUCUUCGACGAUGCCUUCAUGAAGGCAGAUGACACGGUUGUGCCAACCAAGUAGAGUUUUCACCCAAAUAUUGUGCUAACCCUAGAAGGCCGCAGCUGCCGACCUCCACGCCGACCAUGGGAGGACAGCCGUGGAAGCCGGCUGCCACAGGUGCAGCCCAACCGGGGGAGGUUGGCUCUUAAAGCCAUGCCCCGUAUGAGGCCAUAGGGACCAUACACCCCACCGCCCUAGGCCAGCGGGUCCACUCCCGACAUGGCCAGGCUAUGCUGGCAAGGAGAACUGGCAAGAGGAGUCGUGACCCCCAAGGCCGCAACCCCUCUUGCAGUCGGCCAUGGCCGCCCAGACGCUACCGCCAUCGCCCAAGAGACUAUAGGACGCGCAACGCACCCAUGCUAGACCGCACCAUCUGCUCGAAUGUGACAGACACCCUUCCCUUGUGUGAAACUGCAGAUCAAGGAGGGAGUGGCUAGGUCUGGCCAUAGGGGGCCGGAUCUACCACGUUGGGCGACCGACCUGCCAGAAAAGCUAGGGUAGAGGGGGCGGAGGAGGGACAGGGGUAGAGAAGGGAGGGAGCAGGCUGCAGCGGCUACCUGUUUUGGGGCCACUACGGGCCGCCGCCGCCACACACUGGAGGACGAUGAUCGCGGCCAGAGGAAGGGUGUGGGGAGGAGUGUUGGGUGGCACCUGCAAGCCCCUAAGUCGGCCGAAGGAGCGCUCAGGGGUGACUUGUGCGAUUUCUUUUUUGACGUCCUAGUCUACGAGUACUACUCUUCGCCCAAUUCUAAGAGGAUGCGCCAAACAUAACAUCAGGUUCAUAUAAAAAAGAGGAAAAAUUAUCUCAUUGUUGGACGCCAUCAAUAAAAAGGUGGAAAACACUACUCUUUCUGAUAACGAAAUAAAUAUGAAACACUAUCUCAAGGAAAAGAUUGCUUCUCUUAUUGCGAGAAGAAGAGAUGAAGUGGUGUGAAAGGGUGAAGGUUAAAAAUCUUCUUGAAGGUGAUUAUAAUACCCGUUUCUUUCAUUUAGUGGCUAAUGGCAAACAUCGCAAACAAACACAUCUUCAAAUUAGAACAAGAUGAUUGUAUAAUUGUUGGCGACAAUGAAUUGAAAAAAUACAUCACUAUUUAUUACAAAGGCCUUUUCGGGCAACCACAUGACAAUAACCUCUCCCUCGUGGAUUAUGAGAUAUAAACAAUACUCCCUCCGUAUAGGAUUUAGGAAGAGAGCUUAAAGAACAAUUUAACAUAUUGGCUAGAUUUCCUCUCUCUUGUUGUGAACCUCCAAAAACAAACACCUCACUUUUAUGAAAAAUUAUCUUAAGACUAGUUAACCAUUCAAAGCAAUAUAGAAUUGAGAUUCCUAAUAGAUUGGAUAGAGCCAUCACGUGGCAGACCUCUCUCGAGCACAGCCGGUAGAACCUCGCGUGGUGGACCUCUCCCUCGCAUAGCCGAUGGGAUCUCGCGCCAUCGCAGAGCUCGCUCGCCGCCGGCAGGAGCUCGCGUGCGGGACAUAGGGGCGGAGUGGUAGGGCAGCUAGCAGGUCCGAGGCCGAGACAGGCGCCGAUCGCUCCUGCGCCGCCAUCGCGGCUUGCGCAAUGCCAGGGCAGGCGCGGCCGCUCGUCUGCUGCCGUCGAGGCUAUGGACGUCGUGGCCCUGGUGGGCGGCGAGGACGCGGCGACACAGGGGCGGGGUUGGCUUGGGGCUCCGGCGCCGACGUGGCUUCGUUCUGGGCUCGCCUCGCUCGCGACCGUGUGGUGUGGUUUCUGCAGUCUGCAGAGAGGAUCCUUCGAUGAGUCAAAGAAACACAGUGAUUGAUUGGCUAGUUUGUUUUUAUUAUUUUUUUACCAGCACACCAGCAGAAGUCUUGCAUAGCAAAGGAUGGUUUUAUGAUACCAUGUCCUAUACUAUAAAAACUAUGUCCUUGUGGUUUCUUGCAUUGAGGGCACUUCCAAUGCAUGAAACUUUUAGUAGUUUCUAUAGCAUAGCAUAGGACAUCGUACUGAGAAACCAUCCUUCCCAGUGCAAGAUUUCAAACAAUGAUUGAUGGACCAAUUAUUGCAUAAGAUAUCAAAUUUGAUACUAUGUCUUUCUGGUCUUAUUAAUUAUAAUCCCAUGUAUCAAAACAUGAUCCUCUCCUAGGUUGCAACUUUGAAGGUGUUAGAUUUGACCACGCUUGUUGGAUCUUAUAUAUGGUUGCUUGUUCCCAUUUGUCGAUAUUAAUGUGAUGCCUGGACUUUCUUGCUAGGAAAGUGAGCAAAGUUUUGAGCUUAGGUAGGGAUGUGGAAAGAAAGAGCACAUGCUGAGAUGGCGAGGCUCAGAGCAUAGCAGGGAAAGAAGUAUAGAUGGCCAAGUGGACCAAGCACGAUGGGCCAACACAGGCAUGACACAGGCUUUAUAAUGCCAUAGCUGGGACAAGCAUGAGCUUGGACCAUAAUGGACAUCGCACCUUUAGGAGAUUGAACAAUAGAUUUUUACAUUGACACAUCACCACAUGCGUUCCCAUAAUGACACAUACCACUAAAAAAUAACACAUUAAUCUUGGAAAAAACAUUAAAAAAUUAAGCAUCUAUGUGAAAACAAGGAGUAAGAUCAGAGCGGAGCUCGAUUAGUUCGCACAUAUGUAGAUAAUUUCUAUGUAAAAUUAGAAAGUUGCUUUAAAUUAUUUUUCAUAAUAAGAUAAAUGGUUAAUUUAGUUGUAGAUGUGGGAGCUUUUUUAUUUCUAUAAACAACGGAGUGGGUAAUUUCUAUGUAAAUUUAUCGGCCUUAAAUUAUUUCUUCAUAAUGUUGUGCGUGGGUAACUUAGUAAACAUAGGAUUUGAUUUAAUUAAAUUAUUUAUGGUGGCUGGCAUCACUGCAUAAGUAUGAAGGUGGAAGCUCCAAAGGAGAACAUGGCAAGUGCCACUAGUGGGUUUCAUCAAUACUGUAUUCCUUGUCGUAAUGAAUAUGAUAACUAGCCAUUUUUAUUUUUACGGUAAAAAUAUAUAGAUCAAUCCUCAUGUUUGUUGAGGAAAGGACGCUGACAUUGAACCGUUGUAACCAUAAGAGAUGUAAGAGGACGACGAUGGAUGCAAAACUUCAAUUCGGAUCGUGGCGAUGGUACACGAUGAUGAAUCUAAAACCGUAAUGACUAGUGCGAAUCUCGACAAUGCUAACACAACAACUCAAGUGUUCAUUCUGACUCCAAACUUGGAGUCUCAUCAAUCAAGCCGACUACAUAUUGGUGCCUGGUGGAGAGGGCUUGUUACCAUGCAUGCAUUGUCACCAUCCCUCACGAGGGGGGGGGGGGCAGUGGCCCCCACCCCAAACAAAAUGAUUUAUCUAAAAUACAUAUAAAGGUUUUUUAAACAUAUAAUUAUAUAUAUAUUAUCACAUUAAAAAAUACAAUCAUAUUUGUUCGACUCCUUUAAUCAAAAUCGCUGGUUCCAUCACUACACACAGCUAGCUUACGCCAGGCCACCGGCAGAGCCAUGUGAAGGAGUAGGAUACGUUGCAGCCGCCUCCUCGGUCAGGCUUGAUGACUCGACACUCCACAGUGUGGGCUCGGUCUGAACGGAGCUGCAGAAUCGGCAACGCCAAACACGAGGCGCAGCCGCCCGACAUUAUUGGUGCUGGUGCCCGCUGGAGCUAGAGGACAUGUACCACACGUGCAUCGUCACCAUCCCUCACAGCUAGCACCAUGUCAAGGAGCUGAAAGCAUGCAAAGCUUUGAGUUCGUGGCUUUCCCGGUCCACAUGCACAAUGUGUGGUGUGUACAUGUAGGAACAUGGUACGGUACCACGUUCCUCGUCCCGGGAUUAGUUCAUGGUUUAAGGUGAUGUUAUUUCAUUAGUUUGUACCGACGCUAUGUUCAUUGUGUGCGGAAAGUCUAAAACAUGUUGUCAAACAACUUUUGUAGAACAGACUUAGUUCUACUCCUGAUGCUAUGAAAAAACCAUGAAGGUUUGGGGCUUUGUGAGAUGCCAGGAGGAGAAACGUUAAAUGGUAAUGCUGCUUUCUGUUCUCUUGCAGAAGAUCUCUGCAUUUACUGAAGCUGUAGAAGUUCAAACAAAAGGAGUGUAUACUGUAUAGUCCUAUGGAGCGCUCCUAAUCACAUAGUGACAAGAUGAUGCCUUUGUUAAGUCAAAAUCUAUUGUAUCUAAUGUCAAGCUUAGGCAGUUGGAUGAUGAUGUGAUAUGCCUGAGCCACUGGGAUCAAAGGAGAGGGUAGAGCUUAGCAUGAUAGAUGAAAGGUUCAGCAUGUGGACUGAGCACAAAUAAGCAAAAAAAAAAAAAAAUCCUUUUGUUGUUGGACAACGUGGACAAGUAGGCUAGUAGGGGAAAAAAUGACCCAACACUCUAUCCAAGUUCUAGACUCAAACAUUUGCCUGGUGCAAAGCUCACAUUUGCCUUGGCUAACAGAAAUUGCUAUGGUCGGUCUGGUAAUCGCACAGGUUUCACCUACAUGGUUAUGCAGACUUGACAAGACAGCUUACCAAAAAAUAAUUAUUUACUUUAAUUUCUCGUGCUUACUCUAAUGAAAUACUAUAGCAAAAAAUAAUUGUCUUAAAUGAUCUUAAUACAAAUAAUUUAUCUCAAUAUGCAAACUAUAAUAUUGUACAGUCAUCUUUUUUAGAUAAUACAAAAUCAAUUGACUUUAGCUAGCGUUCUCAUGCACAAGCAUCCAACCAAACACGUUUUUUUCAAACUUACCUGGCUUAAGCCUGUUUGCUUGGCUGAUAAGUUAAAAGUACUGUUCAAUAAUUUAUUAAGAGAGAUAAAUACUAUUUAAUAACUUACAGAUUCCGCCGAUAAUCAUCAACUCUCACACAACAAUUUUUACUGGAUAACUCACCCAGUACACCAACAAAAACAGGCCUAAAUCGUGGAGCCCGUGAUGACCUUUGUGCACCCGGCCUCAAGUCGCGAGCGCUGGUACUCCUUCCUCCACAUGGCUGUGGGCUGGUCUGGUGCCGCCUGUGAGCAAUGCAGUGUCCUCGCCCGUCGUCGAUGGGUGGGUGCAGACGUGCAGUGCAGCGACGAAGAUGGACCAAACCACGAACGAGGCUGUACCAGUCCUGACCGUCGUCGCCGGCCGGGGCCCGGGCCGUGUCCACACCAAGCGGCCGGUCGUCGUAGGUGAUGAUGAAAAUAUCGAUCGUGAUCCAUGCAGAGCGCAGUCAGCAUGCUGAUGCAUCAGUCCACCACCACCACCACUUGUCGUCUGUGGACGGCGCAGAGUUUUCUUGGCCGGCCGCCCACGUCUGACACGGCCGGUACGGACGUACGGUGAUGAGGCAGACGCCCACAUACAGCGAGGCGGUCGACCUCGCCCGUCGUCCACGGCGUAGAAGCCGAACACGAAUCUCAUUCCGCGCGGUGUUUUUCUUUUUCUUUUCUUUUUCUGCAUGACGCAAAAAGGUUUGCGUGUUUUGUGUAUGAGGCAAAAAAACGUUUGUGUGUCUUUGUAUUAAGGUAGAAGAAAAAGUUUAAUACAAUACGUCUUAGCAAAGCCUAGAAGGUUACAAGAGCUAUGCAUGGACGUUGAGCUGGCGUCAUAAAAUCUUUGGUGUUACAUUGAGAAUGGAUCUACCCGAAAAGAGACGUCGGCUAGGACACAUAUGCCAGUGCAGCCGAGCGGCGACGGCGCCACUUGUGUGUACCCACGCCAUUGUCCGGCGGGAACUGACGAAGCGUCUCCAUCUGGUCGGGGUCACAUCCGUAGAUUUCUUCGUAUGCCUUCAUGGCUGACGUGGACGGAGUCGACAUCCCGCUGCUUAGUCCUAGGCGCUUCAAGACAAGGCGCUCGCCUUGCUUAGCCACCGAGAUGUGAGACAGGCUCUGCGUCGCUAUCUGCCUUCUCCUCUUGGGGAGUGUAGGUGGUGCACAUCUGUCGAGGGCUAAAUCAUCGCCGGAUAGCUCUACGAACGGCGUCUGCCUCGCCUUCUUGACUCAUGUAAUGAAACUCUUGAGGCGACGACUAUCGGCGGAGUCUGUUUGAGGGGAAGGAGCGUUAUUGACAAUGUUUGUGGCUGCCACUCCAACCAAGACUGAAGAAUGGACCGAGAUAACCAAGACCAAAGCACGAUGUUUUUUCGAUCACCAUUUCGGUUCUGAGUCCAUACUAUUUGAUCUUUUUACGGUAAUUAGUUUGGUUAUAUACCUCGGGUAACAAUACUAACCGAACAUUUGGAUUUUGUUGAUAUAAUAUUGUUGGGGAUUCGCCCAUGUCCCCUAGUUGCUUCGGAAGCGAAGGUUACCAGGACCUUCGGACGUUGACAGGCGAAGGUUUGGGGAAAAGCUAACGCUGAAUCGGCUUAAUUCUGUGAGACACAGGUACACGAGGACCAACUUGGCGUGGAGGACCCUAAAAGCCGUGCGUGAAUCCUCCGGCCCUGAGGUGGCGGAGCACCUCGGAAGGCGGGCGCAGAUCCUUCGGCUCCAGAUUGGCGGAGAAUCAAGAGCCACUGGCGGAAGAAUGGCGAAGGUCCAGACCACGUCAGGGUUAGAACGUCGGCGCAAUAAUUUGUAAAAUAUUCUCGAGGGAGAAUUACUCAAGUAGCCCUAUAGGUCGCUGCCUAGAAGGCAGAAUAUACUAGCAUAUUCUACCACCAUCACGGGGUGUUUUAGUGACAGGUUAUGAGCGGAAACUGAGCCCUAUAUAUAUAAAGGGAUUGUAAAUGCUCAUCAAAGGGGACAGUUGGAAGCAAUUUAUCAAAACUUUUACUAUUCUAGGGUUCACGUCCCCGCCUCGUACCCCAUGCGGUUGGGUCCCUAUGGCACCGAGCGAGAUAUCCCAGCCAAUCACUGUCGGCGAAGGUUGUGAUCACUACCAACAAAUAUGUAGUGAUGCAAUAUUCAUUCUAGUAGGUUCAUAUUAACUAUCACUCUUGUCACUUUGUUUAAUCUAUAGGUUAUAUUGUAAUUUUUACCUUGGAAUAGAAACGGUAGUGCUAAUUGUGCUAAAAACUUAUGCUAUUUAGCGGUUGUUUUGUCUAGUCCAGUUAGUUUGGUCAUAAACAAGACCAAACUUGUUUACUCCUGAGUUUUAAAACUCCGUUUUUAAAUGACCGAACUUUCAAAAUGCCCGAAAUACUCCGAAUCUCAGCGAAUUUCGUCCAAUUCGGUUAGGUCCGAAACGAAUUUUAUGAUCCAAUUUCCGAAAAUUCACCGAAUUCAGCCCGAAAUUGAACCGAAUUUUUCCGAAUUUCGUCCAUUUCGGUUAGGGCCGAUUUUUUUUUCAAAAUGAAUGCCAAAACCUCGGCCGGAAUCAGUUCAUUUCGGUUAGACAAUGCAACGCUAUUAAUAAAUCCAUGGGCCCGUGAUGACAUUUCUGCACGAUCGAGCUCCGGACAGAGCAAGCACACCGAUAAUGCAUGGCGGGUGGUGUCGUCACGAGCAGGCCGCAACGCUGCAGGAGUAUCGUUCGUACUCCACAUCCACAUGGCUGGUGGGCAGCUGUGACGCCAUGGUUCAUGCAUGUCGAUCGUCUGGUGGUCGGCGAGGUCCCUGCUGGUCGGCGGGGAGCAGCAGGUGUCGUCGAUGGGUGCAGCGACGAAGGUACGGUGGACCACACCACGGUCCUGCUGCCUGCUGGUGCUGUGUACUGUAGGGCACAAAGCUGUCAUCACCGGUUCUCGCUGCAGCACCACGACGACGCUCCAGUUCUGUUCUGGUGGCCGUCGCCAGGGCCCGGCCCGUCCGCACCAAGCAGUCGUCGUCGUCGUACCAUGUCGUCUGCGAUCCACAGCGCACCACCACCACGCGACACUCAUGCCGGGGGCGGGGCGGUACGGUGGUGAGCUAGACGCCCACAGCGAGGCGGUCGCCCCGUACGUCGUCCAUGGCCGCAUGGCGUAGAAGAAGCCGAGCGCUAAUCUCACACGGCGCCGGCGUUCAGCAUGGCGCGGUGUGUCCCGGCCCGUGUUAGCAUGUGGCCGCCGCCGGCGAACUCAAGUCUGAACUCUCGACUCUCAGGGCAUGGAAUGGAGCAUUUACACUAGCGGUUGGCUUAAGUCUGUGAUAAACGUUUCCAAAGGCGGCCGAAAAUCUCUGGCACCGCCCUAUUUAUACCACAGGCGCGUCGUAACUGGAACCGCGUGUGGUAUAAAAAGGGACGCCAGCUAUGAGCAUGUUUCUACUAGUAGUUUUUGUAGGGCGUGGAACUGAAUGUUUUUUUAGGAAAAAAAGAGGACACAAAAACGGAGGAGUAGCGUUUGGAUCAAAGGAUUGUCAUGUUACCCUUCCUUAUGGAACACUGUUGCAGGCUUUUCAUUUCAAAAGGCCUCGUUUAGUUUGGGUCGGUAAAGCUUACCGUCCAUCACAUCGGAUGUUUGGACACAUGUAUGGAGUACUAAAUAUAGAUUAUUUAUGAAACUAAAAACACUACUGGAGAGUAAUUUGAGAGACAAAUCUUUUAAGUUUAAUUAGUCUAUGAUUGAAUACUAAUUGUCAAAUAAGACGAAACUACUACAACACAUGUUAAACUUUAACACUCCGAAUCAAACACCCUAUAAAAUCCAAGGUUUUCUUUUCCUUCACGAAGUACGUUAGCUACCUUAUGCACGUCAUUGUCCAAUCUCUGCUGCUAUGCACCUUGCACCCAUUAAGCACUAAAGCUUGUAUUAUUAUUUCUAAAAUUUAUCUGAUUCUACCGUUUGGAGUUCUUACAUUCCAAACACCUCUAUCUACAUCUUCCUAUGUUUUUCUAUUCCUCUGUUUUCCCAUGAUAUUUACAUUCUAUUUCUAUGUUUUUUUCCUUUUCUCUCUUUUGCAAUCCUUGGCUCCAAACAGACCCUUGAGUUGUCGCGAUCGAGCGACAGCUGACAAGAGCAACAAAAAAAAAGGCGUCCUGCUCCUUUAGUCCCCCACAAGGCUGGACGCUGGUGGCCCGGUUCUUUUUUUUUGAAAAGGUUUCCAUUAAUACAUUCAUCCACACAAAUUGCUGGAUAUUAGCAGGUUUACAGACUUAGGUAAAUAAUGGCCCUGCCACAGCAUAGAACCACUUUUACAAUUUAAACCUAUAGCUGCUAAUGUAUGAGCAACUUCAUUACAAGCCCGAGGGCAGUGAGAGAUAAUACACUCAUUAAAAUCAUAUAAAAUUCUAAAUCUAAUCUCUCUAAACAUCGUUCCCAGAGGAGAUCUAUCAAAAAGUUGAUUCUUAACAACGUUGACUACCACCUCGGCAUCAGUUUCCAGGAUGAUGUGUUCCAAACCUAACACAGAAGCUUGCUCGAGACCCUUUAUGCAUGCCAACGUUUCUGCAUGGUAAGCAUUCAUCAGAUGAUCAGCUGCACCUGCUCCUGCCAUCACAACCUGCCAUGCAUAUCAAGAAUGCCCCAUCACAGUUUAUUUUGUAAGCAUCUUCUGGGGGCACUUUCCAUCUUUUGUUUUACAACGUGUUUGAUUCUUGUAUUAGACUGCUGGUGAGUUAGAUUCCAUACCAUCAUAUGGUAAUUCACUUCGUUAAAAACUUCUUGAGCAUUGUUCCUCCGUUCACCUGCAUUAGUCUUAUUGCGCGCAGACCACCAGCACCACAUGAGUAGAAUUAUUUUCUGCUUUAUGUCACUGCGAAGUCUCCAGAUUUUGGUAAGCAUAUCUUGUAUUGUUCCUUAUUUUAAUAAAUCCACCCUCACCUUUUCCAAGUUCAGAAGCAACCAACAUAGUUUAAUGUAUUUGCAUUUGAAUAAUAAAUGGCCAAUAUCUUCAUCAAAUCUGUAGCACAUAGGACAUAGAGUAUCCAAUUUAAUUCCCUUCCUUGCAAUAUUCCCUUUAACCUGCAGUGAAUUAUGUGCCAUUUGCCAUACAAAGACCUUCACCUUAUUAGCCACAUUUAACCUCCAUAUUUCCUUCCAUUCAAAGUUAUAGGAAGCAGUACAAGAAGUUGAUGCAUCAGCUCUGGUUUCUUUAUCGCGGAUUUCAAUACCCAAGGCAUAGGCAGAUUUUACUGAAAAGACUCCCUUGGGGUCAGGGUGCCAGGCCAAAAAUCCUCUGUAUCUUCCACAAUUGGGAGAGAGAGAAUUAAUCUUGCAUCUUCCUCCCAAAAUAUGUCUUUAAUCAACUGUUCAUCCCAAUAACCUGUUGCUGGAUUAAUUAAUUCAAUGACCUUUUGUAAGAUAGAACCUCUUCGAGGUGUAAUAAUUCGCCUUAUGCUAUUACUCGAAAUCCAAGGGUCAUUCCAAAUGCUGGCUGCAGAGUGGUGGCCCGGUUCUAGCGAGCCGUGAGAACGACGAUGACGGUGGUGACGAUGUGCUUCAUGUCCUCUGCACAGCACCGCAUCAAUGGUGGCGAGUCUUAACCUCGCACCUGUAACAAUUCUGUAAUAAUUAUGAUUUUUUUUCUUUCUCUCGUCUAAUAAAAAUCUAGCAAAGCUGUUGCCGCCUUUCGAAAAAAAACUACACCGAACCAACGGUGACGGAACCAGCGAUUUUGAUUAAUGAGGGCCCAACAAAUAUAAUUGUAUUUUUUUAGUGUGAUAAAAUAUAUAUAAUUAUAUAUUUGAGAACUUUUUCAAAAAUAUUAUACUAUUUCUUACCAAAAUCAUCAUAUUUUAACCAAAAAUAAGUGAAAUUAAUAUUUUUAUGCUAUAAAUAUCAAUAUUUAUAUAGACACUCCAAGUAGAUUAUUGUGCUUGGGGAUGGGGAGGCACUGCCCCUACUAGCCCCCCCUGGUUCCACCACUGCGCACCAAUGGCACGUCGUUAUGUUGGUGGCUGGCGCCCCAGUUCAAAUAAGUUAGAUUCGUCAAUUUCCCAGCGCCGGCGUGCUGCAUCUACCGCCAAGAGACUCUUCACUUCGUCUUCAGAUUCAGCAGUGUGUGCCAUCGCCGUCGCUAUUGCCACCAUGUGAGGCCUUGUUUAGCUCCAUUUUUUUUGCAAAAUGGACACUGUAGCAUUUUCGUUUGUAUUUCACAAAUAUUAUCCAAUCAUAAACUAAUUAGGCUCAAAGGAUUCGUCUAGCAAAUUACAGGUAAGCUGUACAACUAGUUAUUUCUUUUAUUUAUAUUUAAUCCUCUAUGCAUGUGCCACAAGAUUCGAUGUGACGAAGAAUCUAAAAAACUUUACAAAAUUUUUUUGAACUACACAAGGCGUAUGAAUUGAAGUUUGCACCCGUCGUCGUGCUCUUGUGGUUACAACGACUCAGUGCAUGCGGGCUAUCUGCCCGGGUUGGCGGGUUUGGACGAGCAUCGUUUUGUUUAGUAAAUUAUUUACUCUUUUGCUGGUUUUUCUAUUCUUGGUCUGAUUUUCUCAUUUUUGUAGGAACAAAUCAUUGAUAACGAUGGGAGAAAGGGGAAAAAAUUACUCUCUCUUCCUAUAUUUUUCGGCCACUUUGUGUAAAAUUAAUUUGGAUACGCAUGAACUCCUACCUGUAAUUAGGAUUUUUUUUAUGUAGCAAAGUCCAUGCAAAGAACCUGCAUUUGGCCUCAAGAACACAUGAACAUCUCCAUUAUCGAAAAUACCAUUGGAAAAACUAUUAUGUAAUAAUGACAUGACGGUUCAAAACAAAAUCAGUGAAACUAUACAAAACAUUGAUUUCAUAUUGGGAAUAAAUACUUAGAAUAAUAGAGGAUGAACUAACAAUAGGUUGAGGUUUAAAAGGAAAACCAAUAGCAUAAAGAAGCACACAGCCAUGCAUAUCACUCCCUCACACCAUCCCAAAAUGACUCAAGUUAGGUUUGUCGUAAUUCAAACCAUACUAAAUUUUGACUAAAUUUAUAGAGAAGAGUAUAAACAUUUAUGGUACCAGAUAUUAUAUAAUUUUAUAAAUAUAUAAAAAUUUUUAUUCGGUAUUAUGAGCAUGAGAAGUAUAGUUAUUUUGGGGGUGCACGUAUGGCCGGACGUCGUAGCUGUUUGUGUGUGUGUGUGUUUUUUUUUUUUUAUGAAGGAGUUGUGCCUUUGCGUUGAUGCCUGGUUCUACGUUCCAAAUGGGCCAAGCAGGCAAGAGAUUUCACAGCCCAAGGUCCACGGCCCUGGAUUAGUAAACUUGGGCUCGGCCCACUUUGUCAGCCCAUCUGCACGAAGCCCAGCGCAGCCCAGCUCAGCCCAGGUAUGACUGGUAGUCGUCCCCGUCCUCGAGCUCGAGGUCGUGGGUUGGUGGGGGCCAAGUAACGCGCAGCCUCGCUGUCGCCAGCCUUCCACGUUUUUUUCCCCCCCUUCUCCUUCUCCCCCGCCCGGGGAAUCAAGACUCGACAGCUCCAGGUUGGCCAUCGAACACCCAUCGUCGCCAGCACGGAGGGGGGUGGGCAACUCACUGGACGCCGUGGUGGCGGACCGGCCACGACGCGUCCCCCAGCUGCACGACGAAAGGCGGGCCAGUUAAUUGCUUGACUUGAUCCUCUUCUUGGGCGGCGCGGCGUCCUGUGCCGUGCCGUGCUGCGUCCGCGACUCCGCGUGUGAAAGACUCGACCGGCAUCCCUGAUCCACAUGGCCUACCGACGGAAGCAGGGCGCCGCCGCCGCCGAUGAUCGCCGGAGCUCCUAUCCCCAGGCACGCACUCCUGCCUCUCCUCCUCCUUCUCCUUCUCUUCCCCGGCCUCCUGUCCUGCUGUGUGUGCCCCCGCUCCCGCUGGCUUGCUUGUAGUUGUGGCCUACCGUGCGGUUUCUUGGUUGCCGAUCGAAAUCUCUGAACAGAAUUAGGAUCAGGAAAAAAAACCAAAAUUGCUUCGCCAAUUGAUUGCUGAUUGCUUGGUUCCUCUGAAAGUCUUCCUCAUUAGAUAGAUGUUGUACCAAAUCAUGACGCGUGUAUACACCUUGAAGUCGGUGAUCUGAUACGCGCAAUCGCUCUGUUCCUGACACAACACUAGAUGGCAUGGCAUGGCAUGGCAUGGCAAGAGCUAGCUAGCUUCAGAUCACCACAGUGAGUCCACAACACCCUCAUGAUCUGAAUGAUAUGCUUUGGUUGGUUUGGCUGUGCAGGACUCUGCUUCGUCGCACGGCUACACAUCGUUCAAGAGCAUCGAUGAGCCCAAGCUCGGGUUGUGGCAAACUUUGGCGAGCAAAGCCAAGGGAAUCCUCGACGACGACGGGUUGGCGCAUAAGUUUGAGGAUUUGAGGAAAGAACGACCUCGUAGCAACACCACUACUGCGUCCAGCAAAGAUCAGGUGAGACAGAAAAGUGUAUCUGAAUAUCUGGACAUACUGACUGACAGUCUCAUAAGUGUACUUGUCGUGGAUGACAUUGUUUAGUUGUCUCUCUUUCUUCAGUAACGUCCCAAGUUGCCUUUCGGUUUGCAACUAAUCCCAUUUUUGUUUUGUAAUUUUAGGCCCCUAAUAACUCUCGCUGGUCAUUUGAGAACCACUGGAAGGCUGGAGAUGCCGCAUCACGGAUCAGACCUGAGGCUCUUUCUGCAUCUGUCAACCAGCUUAGUGGAAAAAUAAAAAAUGCUUUCGAAGUAAGUAAUAAUGUGCUUUUACUAUCUUUGUGCAUCUCUGUUUUUUUCCUCUCCUUCAGUCAUGGCAUAAACUUCUGGAGCUAUUUUCUAAACUGAUCACCUGUUGCUUCCUUUGUUUAACAGGAAGGGCUCACAAUUGUGGAUAAUAAGACUUCCAGUAUCAUUGAGGAAACAAAGAAAAUUCAAAUUAGAAGGAAACCUGCUGGUUCAAGUACUUAUGUGCCGAAUUCAGCAGUAGAUACAAAUACACUCAGCACUCCUAAUCUUUCACUUCGUCAGCCUGAAUCUGCUGCCCAGGAGACUGGACUGAAAGCUUCUCGCGACGUAAGGUGCCACAUGCUUAUAUCUUGAUGGCAAAUAGGUUAUUUACAUCUUCUAUGCAGAAAACCAGAAUUUUCUUUGACAUAGGAAAACCUUCAACGUUUAGUGGUCCUUAUAUUUGCAUAUCAACAUCAAAAUCUAUGUUUUGCCAUCUAAUUAGCUUAGUAAGCUCUUUUCUCUUCUUACACUGAAUUAGCUUAACUUUUCUUUCCCUAAUAACAUAAGACUAUGGUGAGAAUAAGAAAUUUGUCCUUCUCGCUAUCAUUAGAUGAAUUCUUCAGAUAAGUAAAUGAAUGAUUCUUCUGUAGUACCUAGUGUCUACCCGGACUGAUCCCUUUCUCUUCACCCCUAUAAAUUGUUUCAGGUUGCUAAUGCAAUGGCUGCUAAAGCAAAACUUCUACUCCGUGAACUGAAAUCUGUUAAAGCAGAUCUAGCUUUUGCAAAGCAGAGAUGUGCUCAGCUAGAAGAAGAGAACAAGCUCUUGCGAGAAACAAAGCAGAAAGGGAGCAAAACUGAAGAAGAUGAUGACUUGGUAUUUUUUUUUUCUGAUCACUCUUAUCUGUUAUCAUGUUGAAUGUCUCUUGGUGAAUUACAUACAUCUUGAUUUUCAAUUCAUCAAGAAUAGGUGAUAGUUCGCCACCAAACUUAUAAAGAAUAUUGCUACAUGGGAAUAUUUUUGAACAAUUGCAUCAAAGGAUCGAAUUUACAGUACUAUCCCCCUUCUGAAAAAUCAGCAUUACAUAACUUUAGAUUCAUAUGAAACAAUAUUAUAUGGUCAUGAGAAGUUUGAGUCCAGUAUCUCGUUUCAUAUUAACUAUGAAAACUGUUGGUACUGUCACUUGUUGUUUGAUAACAUCUAAAGAGUAUCACUGCAUCCUCUGAAAUGUGGUAUAUAAAACAUAUAUGGUCUUGUACUUGUGAACCAGUGAGUGUAACCUUUUUUCUCCACAUCUACUGAAUAGUCCCUCUGAACUACCCAUUGCUGAAUCAGAUUCGUGUGCAACUGGAGACAUUGCUGGCUGAGAAAUCGAGGCUGGCACAGGAAAAUUCAACAUAUGCCCGUGAAAACCGCUUCUUGCGUGAGAUAGUAGAUUUUCAUCAAUUCACCACACAAGAUGUUGUCUCGUUGAAUGAUGGCGAUAUGGAAGAUAGUGAACCAGAAGAAGACAAUGACAUCAUAUGUGCUCAAAACGUGUUGCCUGUGAUUGAAGAAAAUUCAGUAGAUGAAGAACACUCCCCUGUCCCCUCCAGGCCAGAAUCUCCAAUGGUCAACCCGGGAGAUCCAUCAUCAACCAAAUCCAGCAAUUCUCAUGAUGCCUCAAAGCCAGAUGCUGAUGUAUCUGAUGUAGCAUGAUGCAUGCGACUUUGGUGACUUAGCCAUCUUGUUUGGGAUUUCAGCUGGCAUUGGUUGUGAGUUGCGUGCGUGUGCAUAAAAUUUUGUCCAUUCUUUGUCCACACUGGUUUGUAGUUGGAAGUUGUAACAUAUUUACAGGUUUCUACCUUUGUAUAGAGCACGUAUAGUUUGUUUUUUUCCUCCAUGGGGUGUUCUGAUGGAAAACUAACUCAUGUGCCCCGUGGGAGUUUAUUGUGCAUAUGGUUUGGUUUGCAUGUAAUUACCUGUGAAUUUGACUGUUAUAGGCAAGAAAGAAAUAUUGAAGAGUGAGGUUGCAUUGCAUGUAUCUUUUAGUUUUGGUGAUCCGAUACCUUCCUCUCAUAUAGAUGAGUGUACAUCUUCCGUGGUGUCCACCCAAAAUAACACUUGGGUAGUGCUAUACGCAAAGGGUUUAAAAUCCAUUCAACAUCUUCUCCAACAAUAGGAUCCAAAAGAGAAUCUUUUCUGCAAAUGAGUUGCCAGGAGGAAGUAUACUCAUAUUUGGGUUGUGUUUCUCAGACAACCCAAAAUGGGUCUUCCGUAUAGGUAAUCUAAAGCCGAUUUUGAGUCUACUGCUAUCCAUUUUGGGUUUAGAUGCCCAUAUAGAUCACUUGUUGGAGAUAACCUUAGUCACCCAUGCUGGUAAUUUUAGCCCAACUUUUGUGAUGCUGAUCGAAAACACAUGCACAAGCCCUAAACUCAGAUUGGUGGAUCCAGUGGUGGAGAUGCUGUCAAAGAUGGUCAGUGGUAGGCUGGGUAGGGGGAGCAAGGUCAAGUCUUGCACAACCAUAUCCCUCGUGAGGGGAGAUCUGAUGUGCAGGGAGGAAGAAAGAAGGGCUGUCGUCGUCGAAUCAAGAUCUAACACUCUAAAAAUAAUGGAUUAAAUAUUUCCUUUUUGAUCCAUCUAUAAUAUAGUUUUAUACUAAUUUGAAUUGUUUUGACUGUUAAUUUAAACACUUAAAAUCCUAAAAUUGCUUUGCAAAAGUGGUUGGACAAAGUUAAUUAUGUGGUUAGUAGUUUCAUGACCAAAAGCUCUAGCCCAUGCAUGAAGGAAGAGGUCGAUGUCAAAGUAGCCAAUGCAUAAACAAAAAGGUCGACGUCAAAGGAGCUAGUUAGACUCCCCUAGAGCUUUUGGUAGUCGUAAUUUCUUUAUAAGAGAAACAUGGCAUCUAGAGUCAUCUCAUCAUGUGCAAGAUGUUGACACAUUGAUAGUAAUCUUUGUUUGUUAACGAUAAACUUUAUUAGCACAAAUGAUGAAAUUAACUAGAGUGUGCUACUAUAACACCCAGGUGUUAGUUAUAAGCUAAGAAGUGAGUUUGGACUUAAAUAAGAUAUGUCAAAUGGUGAUGAAGAGCUUUAGUUCAUAAUCUUGAAAUGGUGGUGAAGUUGUUGAGGUUAAUCUAUGAGAAUGAGCCCAACUUAAUCUUUUGGGAAAAAAGCAAAACCCUUGUGCUUAGUGUCAAACCCUUUUCAAGGAUUUGCAUGAGUAAUGUUAAAGAUGAUUCUUUCAUGUGCCUCACAUCAACUUCCAUCUAUAUUGACUAUUGGAAAAGUUUCAUGAAGUUUGAAAUCAAAAGGUCAUGUGGAAUGAAAACUUACAACCUUGCUUGAAUUGCUUUGUUUAGUGAACAAGAACAUGUGAUGUCAACCAACCUUUGCAUUCAUGCUCAAACAACUCUAAUGGAAUUCUAGAACAAGAGUCAUUAAAGGUUUGUGUUGAUCAAGUGCCAAGGAAAUGCCCCAAUAGGCCUAAAACCCUGUUUAAGCUUUAUCAAGAUGCUAUUUUGACCAACACAUGACUUUGGUUUCUAUACUAGUUCGAUGGUUUGACCAAAAAUAGAAGUGGUAGAGCAGGUUGAAUAAAACAAAGUUUGUUUUUGGUGCAAAUCCUAAAUUAGCUUCUAAGUUUGUCGAUCAGUGGACUCAAGUUUGAGCAGGAUCGUGAAUGGGUGUUGUCAAAAUUCUCACCUUCCUAUGGUUUUAGGUAAGGAUUUUGACUUAAUUAGGAACUUUAAAGAUAAGAGUAACAACCAAGGCAAUCCCAGACUGAUGAGGAUGUUUCAACAUUGAAGAUCAUAGGAGCAAACCAUUUUAAGUAAUAUUGAUGCAAUUCUUGUAUCUGCAAGAUUGGGAGCAACAUUUUCCAUGUUGUUUCCUCAAUACCUUAACAAGGGUGGGGUUUGAUCAUUGUCCAUUGCUAUUAAAUGAUGGGGCAAAUGACAAGAUGCAGUUAAUGUCAAGCAAUUUAGACCAAUUUGCUUACUGAAUGUUAGCUUCAAGAUCCUCUCUAAACCAUUGAUAGAUAGGCUUAUUGGGGUGGCUAGAAAACUAAUUGAUAAGUGUCAAACAACCUUUAUCAAGGGAAGAUAUAUACUUGAUGGUGGAGUGAUUUUACAUGCAACAUUACGUGAAAUGAAGAGGAAGAAGUUAAAAGGAGUAUUUUUCCAAGUAGAUUUUGAAAAGGCACAUGAUAGUGUCAUUUGGGUUUUCUAGAAGAGGUGUUGAUGAGAAAAGGAUUUGGACAAUAGAUGUUGACUGGAUAAUGAGUACAGUACAUAAUGGUAAGGUAUGUAUUAACAUCGAUGGUGUGAAUGAACCAUAUUUUAAAACACAUAGGGGCUAAGACAAGGAGACCCAUUACCACCUUUACUAUUUAAUUUAGUAGGGGACGCUUUAGCACACAUACUAAACAAAGCAAAGGAAAAUAAACACCUUGGGGUUUGGUUCCUAGUUCCUGGUGGUUUAACCCAACUUCAAUAUGCAGAUGAUACUAUCCAUUCUUGGAGUAUAAUGAGCACAACAUUACAAAUUUGAAGGUUCUAUUAUACUGCUUCGAAUGGCUGACAGGUCUUAAAAUCAAUUAUCAUGAAUUAGAAGUGGUGGUACUAGGGGUUUAAAAGGAAUACCAAAUCAGGGUGCCAAGUAUGUUAAACUGUCGAGUUAGGAUACUGUCUUUGACUAAUUCAGGGAUUCUAUUAUCUAAUGAUCAUGUAGGGAUUAGCUAUUUUAGUAGAAUGAUAAGGUAAAAUGGAGAAACGAAUCAACCUUGGUAGGGGAAGAACAUGACUUAAGGGGGUAGGCUAAUCCUAACAAACACUUCUCUUAGUAGUCUGCCUAUAUAUACUAUGGGGAUGUAUAAUCUAAAGCAUUGGCAGAGCUUGAAGGGGUUCAAGCAGGGGCCAACAGUAUUUAAAUCAUAGCUGAUGUGUAAACCUUUAUUACUUUCUAAACAUUAAUCAUAAAAUUAACCAUAGAUACCAUUAAAAUUCAAUUGCCAAGGGUGGGCCAUGGCCCACUUUGGCCUCCAUGUAGCUUCGCCACUUAUCUAAAGGAAGGGGUCCACCAACAAAUGGACAUAUUAGAGCCAAAUUCUUUUGGCAAGGGGCUAGUGAGAAAUCUAAAUAUCACAUGGUCAAAUAAGAGAAUGUGUUUACCUAAAGACUUUGGUGGGUUAGGGAUCAUGUAUACAAGUAUGUAGAGGAUGCUCAAAGCAAAUGAUAAUGUUGUCUAUUAUAACCUUUUGAAGAAGUACCUUAGAAGGAAAUCUUUCUCACAAUGUGAGUUUAGCAAUGGGUCUCUGUUCUAGAAGAGAUCUAUGAGAAGUCUGGGGUAUACUUAACUAGAUCUAUGUACAAAAAAUAGAAUGUUUAGAGGUGUUGUGAAUUGAACAAGAGGAUGGUCAAACUCUAAGCUCCAAUGAAAAUCCGAGUUUUCAUGUGGAUGCACAUUCAAAUUAAGCUGCAAAUUGGGGUGAAUCUGAAGAAAAAGAAGUGGAAAGGUGAUAGAAAUUGUUGUCUAUGUGGGUGUAAUAGAAACUAGUGAACACAUAUUAUUCAACUGUAUCUUGGCUAAAACUAUUUGAAUAUGUUUCAAAGAGGUUUUGGGUUGGGAUAAAUUCCCAACACAUUCAAGAAGUCUUUUAUCAAUGGAUUGCUUUACAUUCUCAUAACUAUCAUAUUAAGUUGUUCAUCUUUUCUAUUAUUAUAUGGAUGAUCUAGAAUAUCCAAAAUAGAAUGAGUAUACAAAAAGUCUUUUUGGGGUCAUUGAAUGAAACAUUUGACAAUAUUUUUUGCUCUAUUACAUAAAUGGUGCAUACUUUUGAAGGGGGAAGUUCCUAGAAGACUUGCUCAAGAGAAUGAAGACGAGGCUAUAGGAUUUCUAGCAACAAACUAAGAAUUUAGAAGUUUUUGAACCAUUGACAGGUGAGCCAUUACCUAUUUUUAUUUUUUAAUAACCUAGCCUAGAAAUUUGUUACCAUGGGGAUUUAAGAGAAUGUAGAAGUCAAAGGACUCAUUUGAAAAGAAGUUAGUUUUAUGUUAGCUUAGAGUUGUAGGCUCCAUUAGUUAUCUUUGCUGGCUUAUUGUUGUUAGCUUAGUUGGCUCUUGUUGUUUUCAGCUGGGUGCUGCUUGUUUUCUCUAGCUGCAAGUGUGGUUGGGUUGGGUAGGAUCUUUCUGUCUUGUGUAGCGUUUUGAAGUUGUUGAGUGGUAGUUGGCUCUUGCCGGUAAGCUAGCAUCCCGAGCAUACUUAAUGUUUUGUGUUGCUUUAUAAAAUAGGUUUUUCCUCCAGAGAAAAUCUCAUCAACCUUUGAUUUCUUUACAGCUAAGAUUUUUCUUUGUCUACUUCAAAUGGAGUAGGUAUAUACGACAAAAUGUAUUGGGAUUCUAAAAAUUGUGCAGCCAAACUAGUCUAACCUUGACUAAAAAUAAUAAUGGUGGCCUACAAUGUUUUUUGAAGGCUGAUAAUAUAAAAUAUUUCUUUGACUAAAAUUAAGAUGUCUUACCAAACUUCCAACCAAGAGAUGCAACCACCCCCAUGCCUGCAUUGAUUUUAAUGAUGAGCAUAUUAGUUGCUUAGUUAAUAACUUCAUUUACGUCUUCCUCCUUGACCCCCUAUAUAAGAUGCCCUGGUAAACCAUCAAAGCCCCACAACCAAAAAAUUGUCGAAGGGGCAAGGCACAAGUCUUUCAUCUUUUAAAUCUUCAGGUAAUUGAUUAUUAUAUGAUCUUGCAUAGCCUAAUGUGAAAAAUAUAUAUUUUGUUCUUUUUCCUGUAUAGUUGCAUGUCUUGUUUCACCAAACAUGAUAUAUCUAAUGGCGCCUAUCAAUCUUGGUCUUGUUUUGUGUGCUUAGCCAUGAGCUUGUGGAGGAACAAUAAGAAUGGUGGCUCUGCUGGCAGUAGUGCGAAAAGCACACCGUUGGACCUACAACUACGACUAGCACUACCAACAGAGAGGGUAGAGGUUGACCAUGGCAAUGAUAAUGAAUUGUCAUCAUCUAGCUCAUGUGUAUCAUCAAAUAUUUCAUCAGAUGAAAGCUUGGUGCUAGUGCUCGGUGGUUGUGCAUGGUGCAAGAGGUACUGCAUGGUAAUGAAGAAGGAAUUCCCCACCUGCAUCAACUGCAAGGAGCCCUGCCUUAUCGGCUUCAACUGUAACGAGAAACAUGGCUAGAGCAAGUAGAGGGUAGACCAACAUGUUAGAGGUCCUACCGCUAGGGAUGCUCAUGUUGAUGGUUAUUUGGACAUUGUGCUUGAUCUUGAGGCAUAUGGUAGAAAUGACCUUCAGUCAAUUUUGCAUUGGAUAUGGUCUAUUUGGUUCAGUAGAUAAGGCUAGCUAGCUAGUAGAGUCUAAGCUUAGUUUCCUAUAUGUUAUAUUUUUUAUGUCUUGUAUGGGGUAUGCACUAGGUGGUUCUUAAAUGAUUGUAAUUGUCACAGUGCUCUGAUUAUUGAGUUCUUUUAAAGAUUUGCUUCAAACAUGCUACUAUGAAUUUGAACAAAUUGUUGGGUUCUUCUAUGUUAUUUGGGGAAAAUAUUUCCCCGUGGGAUGGGGAUGGAGAUCUAACCCCCGAUGGGGAAUUCCCUGUUGACAUCUCUAUAGAUGUCACUUAGCUGUUAACUCUCUGUUAAAUAGUGCUGAAAAGGACAAGACUGCCCCUCUGAACAAGAUAAAUUUGGCUGUUCCUAUUCAUGCCAUUGUUUUAGAGGAUUAAAUCUAAAGUGAAUUUGCAAUCGCCCAUGUGACCAAAUAUGAAUUUUGAACAAAGUCUAAAUUUGGAGUCACCGAAUAUUUAUAACCAACAUGAACAUAUCAUUGUUUCAUAUCAGCAGUACAAAAGUCAAUAGUUUUCUAACUUGGUAGCAUAAUGUUUCCAUGAAACAUUGCAUAGACAGACCACAUCAUUUGUCAAAGUGGUUCAGAGGCCCAAGCAAAAAAAGCACAUGUUCAGGUACAUGUCACUAUGAACAGGUGCCCGAGCAAAAUAACUGCAGCUUCAGGUCACUAACUACAUACUAUGACCAUGCAAAACAGAUAAAGAACAAUUCGACAUUCAAUCUGUGUUUGAUUGAGCUUUUGAAAAGUGCUUUUGUUGGAAAAAAGCAGAAAGUCAACCAAACAGUUGAAACCUGAAGUUACUUUUUCCAUAAGCAGUUGCUCUCGUGUACUGCAGUUUUGAAAGCACCUUGAAUCCUGCUUUUGGCUUUUGGCUUUCUGCUUUUUAAAAUGGGUGAUAAUAGGGAGCUGUUUCACAGCUAUUUUAAUUGAGAUAGAGACAAAGAGUGGAUUUUAUACUUAUUUGAACCACACAGCUUGCAGCUAGCUUUUACAUAACACUUAGUUCACAACAGCUUUUUCAUGGCUCACAGCUCAUAACUCACAGCAACUUUUUCACAGCUCACAUCUUAACCAAACAGACCAUCAAUCUAGAACUUUCCUCUUAAUUCUUGUGCUGAGGGAAGGACUCCUAGUCUUGCUUCUUGUGCCCAUGGCAGGACUAUUUGGUUGCAUUGAAGCUUGCUUAUUCUUGCUCUUCUCUCCAGCCUUUGCCUUUACUUUGUCCUCUUCAUUCUCUCUUGGCUUGGAGGCAAGAACAACUGCAACGAGUGACCUAAAAGUAUUUUUUAUAUAUAUUAAUAGAAGAGAGAGAAAAGCUAGCUCUUGAUCAAGGGCUAGACUUAUACGUACAUUUCAAGAACACGUGAGUGUCAUGUGAGUCUAAUAAUACGAUGAGCCAUUACUAAAAGCUAACACUAUCGGAGAGGAUGGCUUCGAUCUAGUAACUUAUUCUUACUUUUGCUGGUUUCCUUAGGUUUAGUGUAGCUUUGCAUGAAGUUGGCACAACAGGAUACUCAAUCGAAAGUGGUUUAGGUUGAUUAGGGCCAUUUGCAAUGAAAAAACAACACAAAAAUUGACUAUUGCAAUUCACAAAGUUACCUUUAUUGUUACAUUCUAGGCAAUCUUAGAAACAUGUAUCCUUCGCUUACAUUUUGCUUCUUUCGUCGUUGAACGGUAGGCCCUGAUUCUCCAUGGUUCACUCUUUUAAGUGUUACAUUGGAAUUCAUUCUUGAUUUCUCGCUGAGGUAAUGCCAACUUCUAACCUGUUGGGAUUUAUGCUUCCUACCAUCUUUUUUCGCAAAGGGAAGGAGAGAUUUAUAUUAAAUCUUGACACGGUGCAUCCUCAAAUCACACAUGAAAGAAAAAUCUGAAAUAAAAAAUAAAUAAUAUUCUAUGCAAAUUCUUCUGUCAUCUUCUUCCUCAAUGGCUUUCCUCAAACGCCGGAGCCAAAGUGAAGCCUUUAUGUUGAAUUCAAAUGAGAUUGAUAACCCGGAGUCACUCCUCGUAGGGGCACCCAGAAGUAUCCCUCCCCUUGCAGAUAAAGGCCACAAAUUGACCGUCUGCCGAUGAAAUCUAUGCUUGCAAUGACAAUCUCGCCGUGGCAAUCACCGAAGGCAUCGUAGGACACAUGAUCCUGAUAAAAAAUCAUCUAAUUUCGUUGGAAAUUUAUUUGGGCUCAAUCCUUAGACACUAGAAAAGUACGAAAAAAAGAUGAGUCCCCUCCCCUUCUUGUCUCCGGUAGACACAUCGAAGAGGAAGGAGAUGGGCCCUAGGCGUGACGUCGUCAUCAGCGGAGCGAGGAGCAGGCAGGCUACGGUUUGACUCUUGGCGGCAGUGGCGUGAUAAGAUGCGGGCGUCUCUCCUACCGUCAUUGGAGGGUCAACUUUACCAUAUAAAACUGGUGUCUGCUAUAGAAGCUAUAGUAACACGCUGCACAGUGAUUGCAUUGCAGUGAUAGAUAAAAAAUUAAGUGUUAUGGCAGAUAAGGGAAGAUGACAAUUUUGGAUGGCGGAUAAUAUAAGGAAUGUACUCUUCAUUCAAUUCCUACAAAACAGCGCCUCAACAAUAUAUUUACAUUUGACAUAAGGCUGUUUGUUCGUCUAGUAACCGUACUCUGGCUAAUUUACAACUACUCUCACCAAGAAACAAAAUAUAUAAAUCAUGACUACAUUUCUGCAGUAUAUAAUUUGUGAAUAUAAUUUCUUCUUCAAAUAUAAGUAUGUCUAGUCAUGGCGACACAACCGACAACCGUCAUGGUUAUCCUAUUUCGGGGAGGGGGCAAGAAGGAAACGAAGAGUCACAUUUAUUCCAUGAAUGCGAGUCGACUGCUCUGCGGCUACCAUCUGGCCAUCUCCAUCUCCCAUCUCGCCAUACAGAGCAAGCCACCAAAGGCGCAAAGCUGAGCAGAGGGCAGAGCCACAGAGGCAGAGCGUGAGGCAAAAGUAAGCCUGCAAAGCCAUUGUGGCAAGGCGCCAAGGUACAUCUCCAAUGUCCACUACGUGUCUACGUUUAGUAGUUUAUUUAUUUAUUUAUUCAUUCCUUUCACUGUUUCACAGAACACAAACGGCUGUUAAUUCUAUCAUUUCUAUGGUUAACUUCCUUUUUUAAUUUUUACCUUCAAUUUAGGCAUUUAGCAUUUGAUCAAGAAUGCAAGAUGAAGAGAUCAAGAACGCUCGAUAGUUUUUUUAAGCCGAGUUCAAGCAAUGGCAACGGUGAAAACACUAGCAAUCAAUAACAAUGAUGUGUUGUGCCGAACUCUCCAGAAGAAAUGUCUACAUAUUGUAAAUGCAAUUGACUGCGUUUCUAACACAAAAUCAUUGUCUAGCGACUUGAAAUGAUGACUGGGAACCACUUCUUGAGGAGGUCAACGCUUUUCGUGACAAGCACGAGUUGAGAUUCCAGAUUAUCGCAAGUAAGUUAUUAUCUUACCUUCAGUUUUUUUAAUAUGAGCACAAAUACAUUUUUUUAUUCUUAUGAUACAUAUCUAACUUGUUUAACAUGAGCACUUGGGAUACCAAGCUAGUGAAGGACCUGUUUUGGGAAGAAGUGCUGAACAUUUUGGCCACCCCGGUGCAUACUGAUCGAGAAGAUACUGUGGCAUGGCACUUUGAUCAGAAAGUUUUUAUUUUCGGUCAAAUCGGCUUACCAUGUGCUGGAGGAUGAAGCUGAGAUUAAGCGAGUCCGACAGAGAGGUGAAUCAUCUAGACCACCAAACAGUGCUGGCAGCAAUAUUUGGAAGAAAAUAUGGAAACUCCCUGGACCUCCUAAGAUCAAGCAAUUUGUGUGGAGGGUUGCUCACAACAGCUUGGCACUCAAACAAAACAUUAGCAGGCGUGGAAUUCGACUGGAUACUAGAUAUCCGGUGUGUUUCCAUUUCGAUGAGGAUGGUGGUCAUUGUUUUUUGAAGUGCAAAGCUAUCCGGCAGUGUUGGAGGGAGUUGGGAAUUGAGAAGUUCAGACUUCAGUUUCUGCAAACCAGAACAGCUGAGGAGUUUGUAACAGAAGUGUUGAAACUGAGAACUGAUGUGUUGGAACCAAACUCGUGAUGAACAAGUCUGGCGGCGGCGGGUCACCGGCAGGUGGUGAACACGCGGCGGCUAAAACCCUACGGCGAGCUCUGUGCGCGAACAGAAAAUAUGGAAAGCAACAAGACACCGAGAUUUCGUGCCAAAUGCGGGCACCUCGCCAAUGCAAUCUUUGUUGGUUUAUAUAUGGCCUGAGGCCUUACACCCCGCCGCCACGACGCCUCCAACGAUCCUCCGAUUUUCCGGAACGCCGCUGGGACAUGCAAGACGACGUCGCGACGGGGACACAAUGCAGUGCGCGGUCACCGCGUGGUUCUUGCACAUCUUCGAACCACCGGCGAUAUCUACGCGCCUAACCAACUACGUUACAUAAAACUUCGACAGGAUUACAUGAAUGAAACACAAAGCUAAAGCUAACAAAUCACCCCCUAAUCCUGACGAACUAGAACGACGCCGAGCUUGACUCUGAAUUCCGCAAACUUCAUUCUCCCCAAGGGCUUCAUCAGAAUGUCAGCAACCUGCUCGUCUGUUCUUACAUGGUCCACAUCCAGGACGUUCUUCUCAAUGCAGUCACGAAUGUAAUGAUACCGUGUAUCAAUGUGCUUACUGCGAUCAUGAAACACUGGGUUCUUGGCUAGCUCGAUAGCAGACUGGUUAUCGAUGAGAAGUCUGAAUUUCUGAACUUCUCCUCUAUCAGCCGACUGAGCCACACUCCCUGACAGGCUCCCAAUGCUGCAGCUAUGUACUCAGCUUCACAAGAAGAUAGAGCCACGACCCUUUGUUUCUGUGAAGCCCAGGUCACCAAAUUUGAUCCAAGGUAGAAUAUGAUGCCUGAAGUACUUUUCCUAUGCACCAAGUCACCUUGACAGUCACUGUCAGUAUAACCAAGCAGGUUCAGACCAACAUCAUCUCCUUUCUGAAGCUUGCAUCCAUAGUCCAGAGUUCCUGCAAUGUAUCUCAGGAUUCUUUUGACCAAGGACCAAUGCUCCUUUGCUGGUUCCUUGAGAAAUCUACUGGCCACACCAACUGAGUAAGCAAUGUCAGCUCUGGUGUUAACUAAGUAUCUCAAACUGCCCACCACACUCCUGUAUCUUGUCACAUCAAGUUCAGAGCCAGGUACUGCAGUAGUGAGUCUCAUUCUUUCCUCCAUUGGAGUGUCAACAGGAUUGCAUCUUGCCAUGUUGCAUGAUUCUAGGAUCUUCAAAGCAUAUGCUCUCUGACAGAUAGUAAUAUGGUCUUUGCCUUGAUUCACUUCCAUGCCCAAGUAAUAACUCAAUAGUCCCAGAUCACUCAUGCUGAAAAUUGCCUUCAUCUGAUCUUUGAACUGAGCUAUCAAUUUACUGCAUGGACCACAUAUUAUUAGAUCAUCAACAUAAACUCCAACUAGAAGUAAAGAGGCUCCUGUUCCUUUCUUAUAGACUGCAUGCUCUACAAUGCUUCUCUGAAAACCCAUUGCUUUCAAUUCCAGAUCCAGCCUUGCAUUCCAGGCUCUGGGAGCCUGUUUGAGUCCAUACAGUGCUUUAUUCAACUUCAACACCUUGCCAGGGAGAGCUGCAUCAGUGAAACCUGGUGGUUGAUGGACACACACCUGCUCCUGGAGAUCACCAUUUAGGAAUGCUGAUUUCACAUCCAUAUGAUGUACUUGCCAAUCUCCAUGUGCUGCAAGAGCUAACAUUAGCCUCACUGUCUCAAUCCUUGCAACUGGUGCAAAAACCUCAUCAUAGUCUACUCCUUGCUUCUGUGCAUAGCCUUUGGCCACCAGCCUAGCUUUAUGCUUAACUAUCUUCCCUGCUGCAUCUCUUUUGACCUUGAAAACCCACUUCAGGCCAAUUGCUCUGACACCUUUAGGCAGAUCUGUCAGAGUCCAGGUGUUGUUCUCUCUGAUGGCUUUUAGCUCAGCCUCCAUAGCAUCCCUCCAGCAGGAUUGUCCGAGAGCUUCUUCAACACUAAAUGGCUCAUCAGCAGCAAGCAGACAAGUAGCACUAUACUCAUAAUUCUCCACCUCAUCAGUGUGGUCAAAUAGGUCUUGCAGAGUUCUGUACCUGAGUGGAACUCCCUCUGAGUCAGCCUCCUGCCCAUGUGGAGGUGUGACCCACUGAUGAUCUGGUUGAGCUGCUGGAGGUGUGUUCAAACCUGCAGAUCCCUGGACACUCCCAGGUGGCGUUUGGGGCCAAUUAGGUGCUGCAUUACCGUUACCAGGGCUGCCAAGGACUAGUUCUGCAUCAUUCUCCCCUGUUGCCGGAUCUGCAACAGUACCAGGAAAAUCAACAAUGAACUGAUCUGGUUGAUUCUUUCCUGUAGCAAAACUGGUCCAAUCCCAGGCUUGAUCUUCCUCAAAAAUCACGUCCCUGCUAAUAUGCAGACUUUUUGUGACAGGUUCCAGCAUCCUGUAGCCUUUAGUCCCUUCUUCAUAUCCUAUGAACACCAUUUUCUGGGAUCUGUCAGAUAGUUUAUGAAUGCCAGGUCCUAGUUUCUUCACAUGACCGAUACAUCCAAAAAUUCUCAUGUGCUUCACACUGGGUUUCCUUCCAUGCCAUGCCUCAUAUGGUGUGACACCAUUUAGGCUCUUAGUUGGAGAUCUGUUAAGCACAUACACUGCAGUUGCUACUGCUUCUCCCCAAAGACAGGCUGGAACCUUCUUACUCUUCAUCAUGCACCUAGCCAUUUCAACCACCGUUUGAUUUCGGCGUUCCACCACUCCAUUCUGCUGGGGAGUGUAGGGAGUGGUGGUGUGGUGCUUUAUGCCAAACUCACUGCAGAAAACACUGAACUGGGUAGAAUUAAAUUCACCCCCCCUGUCAGUCCUCACAGCCUUGAGCUUGCUUUCAGAUUCAGUCUCAGCUCUAUUCUUCACCUUCUUGAAAUAAGCCAGUGCCUCACUUUUGGUCUUCAACAUCUCCACCCACAUAAAUCUGCUGUAGUCAUCCACAACCAGCAAGAAAUAUGCCUUCCCACCUAAGGUUGGUGGGGUUAUCUGACCACACAGAUGAGUAUGGAGUAGUUCAAGUCCCUUCUCUGCACGAUAAUGAGCAACGCUUGGAAAAGGAAUUCUGUGCUGCUUGCCUACGACACAGCCAUCACAGACCUGCUCAACUCUAUUGAUCACAGGAAUGCCAGACACCAUGCCCUUUCGACCAAGAUCCCUCAAAGAUCUGAAAUUCAAAUGGCCAAAUCUUGCAUGCCACUUCCAAGCAUCAUCAUCUAGCUUACUCAACAAACACACUGGUGAAGUUAAACUGAAACUAUGAGUAUACAGGCAAUUUGCAGUUCUAGGAGCUGAGAUUAGCAAGGUGUGUCCAUCUAGAUCAAAAACAUUGCAUCUUCCAUCUUUCAAUGACACUUCAAACCCCUUCUCUUCAAGCUGGCCUAAACUGACUAUGUUACUUUUUAACUUGGGAAUAUAGUAAAUGUCAGUUAGUACCUUGUGCUCCUGCCGACGUCCCUGAAUCACCAUGGAUCCAAGUCCCUGUAUCUCCACACUAGAACCAUCACCAAACUUGACAGUCCCACGAAUCCUUUCAUUCAGAUGAGUAAGUGCUGCACGACAGCCUGUCAUGUGAUUGCUAGCUCCUGUGUCUAGCACCCACACACCUUCUGGACAAUCUACAGGCACCACCCUGUUUUCUGUCAGAUGCACCUGCUCAACUGAAUCAGCAGUGACAUUACAGGCCACAGCAACAAACAGAGCACCAUUGUGCUCAGCUCCACCCACUGCAACAUUAGCCUCCGGCUGCUUCUCUUCUUUCUUCUGCUUCUUGGGUCUUUUACAAUCUUCAGCCCAGUGACCAUACAUGCCACAGUUUCUGCACCUCCCUUUGCGGCGAGGUGUUCCUUCUGAAGUUAGCUUCACAGUGCCGGCGUUCUUGGGCCCUCCACCAUCUGAUCGAUGCGGCUGCUUGCCCUUUCCUUGCCCAGCUGCACUGCUACCUCCUUCUCGGCUCUGAGUGGGUUGGAAACGGUGCUUGUGUUUCUCAAGCCACUCUUCUUCUGCAAGCAUCAAACGCCCCAUCUUAUCGGUGAUUUGAUCCUCAGUGCUGACAAAACGAUCCUCGGCUACACGCAGUCGUCCAACCAAUUCCUCCACUGUCAGGGUUUUCAAAUCACAGAACAUCUCAAUAGAUACUGCAACUUGAUUGAAUCUGGCUGGUAACACACGCAGAAAUUUCUUGACAACACGAGGUUCAUCAAUUGUCUCACCGAGGGUUUUGAGGGUGGUGACGAGGUUCACGAUUCGCAUGCCGAAGUCCUCCACGCUUUCCCCGUCCUUGAACUCGACAUUCUCGAAUUCCUUGAUGAGCUUCUGGACAUUGAUCUCCUUCACGCGAUCCGCACCGACCUUCAUGGUCUUCACCGCCUCCCACGCUUCUUUCACCGUCUUCUUGGCGCCAAGUGCUCCCCACAUCUCCUUGGGGACUGAUCUCAUCACCGCACCCAUCGCUUGUCGAUCUUCGGCUCUCUUGACGUUUGUUCCGGGAUCUAUUGUAUCCCAGAUCUCGAGAGCCUCAAGAUUGAUUUGCAUCAGCAUAGCCCACUCUACAUAGUUUGAGCGGGUUAGCAUCGGCCAAAUCAACGAACUCUCCUUGACACCGCUGGACUUCGAGGUUUCGCCUCCUGUCAUCUCCUUCCUUCUUCUUUUCGCCUAGCACUGCUGUACCGUGAUCGAUUCGAGACCCACGGCUCUGAUACCAGAUGUUGGAACCAAACUCGUGAUGAACAAGUCUGGCGGCGGCGGGUCACCGGCAGGUGGUGAACACGCGGCGGCUAAAACCCUACGGCGAGCUCUGUGCGCGAACAGAAAAUAUGGAAAGCAACAAGACACCGAGAUUUCGUGCCAAAUGCGGGCACCUCGCCAAUGCAAUCUUUGUUGGUUUAUAUAUGGCCUGAGGCCUUACACCCCGCCGCCACGACGCCUCCAACGAUCCUCCGAUUUUCCGGAACGCCGCUGGGACAUGCAAGACGACGUCGCGACGGGGACACAAUGCAGUGCGCGGUCACCGCGUGGUUCUUGCACAUCUUCGAACCACCGGCGAUAUCUACGCGCCUAACCAACUACGUUACAUAAAACUUCGACAGGAUUACAUGAAUGAAACACAAAGCUAAAGCUAACAAAUCACCCCCUAAUCCUGACGAACUAGAACGACGCCGAGCUUGACUCUGAAUUCCGCAAACUUCAUUCUCCCCAAGGGCUUCGUCAGAAUGUCAGCAACCUGCUCGUCUGUUCUUACAUGGUCCACAUCCAGGACGUUCUUCUCAAUGCAGUCACGAAUGUAAUGAUACCGUGUAUCAAUGUGCUUACUGCGAUCAUGAAACACUGGGUUCUUGGCUAGCUCGAUAGCAGACUGGUUAUCGAUGAGAAGUCUGAAUUUCUGAACUUCUCCUCUAUCAGCCGACUGAGCCACACUCCCUGACAGGCUCCCAAUGCUGCAGCUAUGUACUCAGCUUCACAAGAAGAUAGAGCCACGACCCUUUGUUUCUGUGAAGCCCAGGUCACCAAAUUUGAUCCAAGGUAGAAUAUGAUGCCUGAAGUACUUUUCCUAUGCACCAAGUCACCUUGACAGUCACUCAUACCUCAAGAUUAAUAUGGAUGGUGCCUUCAAGCAGGAUUCCAGGGCUGGCGCUUGGGGCUUUAUAAUCUAGGACCAUGAGGGUUAUGCUGUCCUGGCGGGGGCGGGGAACCUCGGUCCGGUGCAUGAUGAUGCCCUGCUCGCAGAGACGAUGGCAUGCAAAUAGGCACUAGAAGCAGCGGAGCAUUUCGGUGUUUCCAGGUGGUGCUCGAUCGAGACCGACUCCUCCCAGCUGAAUGAUGUGAUCACUUCGUCAUCUAGUGACUUAUCUAUUGGUGGUGGUCUAUUUACAGACAUCCGUAGUAUUCUCCAGGAUAGCUUUAAUUGCAUAAAUAUUUGUAAGAUUCUGAGAUUAUGUAACUCGUCUGAGCACGAGCUUGCUAGUUUGGGUAUGAGUUGGGACCUAGGUCAGUUAUGUGUAUGGACUGAUCACCUCCCUGAUUUUGUAACUCAUUGGAUUGCCCGUGAUUUGGCUAAGCUUCAGUCGCUUAAUACAAGGCCAUAGAUCCUGGUUAAGGAUAAAAAAACUUGUUUAACUACAUGUCGCAAUUUGUAGGCAUGUGGAUGUGACCAAAUCUUAGAACAAAAAUGAUAAUACCACCACUCUUCCUAUUAUAAAAUAGAUAUUUUUAAUGUUACCAUGACCAACAAUUGAUAGAGUUGGAAGUUCGUUUCAGUUCUCAAACAACAAAGCUUCUAUCACUUUGUGCCUCACUAGAUCCAAGAAAAGAUGGUUUUGACAUUUGAAAGAUAAGUACACUUGUGGAAAAGUACUAUCCCGCUGAUUUUUAAAGUUAAGAUCAAGCUCAAUUGGAGUGUCAACUACCACAAUUUCAUCUUGAUGUAUGCAACCAUCUAGAGCUAAGUACAUGGCAUCACUUGCUGAUAUAAACCAUCUACUUGGGACUAGUGAGAUUAGGUAAAAAUUCUAUUUGUCGAAUGGAUGAUAGAUUGCUAAGAUUAGUCAUAACUCUUCCAGAAUCAAUAGUGACUAUUGAGAGUCUUUUCAGCCAUGAAACUUUCCAAGAUAGGAUAAAAUGGGAGAUGGCGUUUUGCAAAGCUAUAGUUUAUAUUAAAAAGGAAUUGGCAGCCAAGAAUAGUUCCAGUGAUAUUAUCAAAUCACUACCCCAGCAAACUUUUUUUGUGACAGAGGAAACCGUCAGGAAAGGUACCGAAAACCGUCAGGAAAGACUUUUCGUGACGGCCCCGUCAGGGAUAAUCCAUCAGGACCAACUGUCACGGAAAGUACACCUUCCCUGACGGAAAACCGUCAGUAAUCAUUCCCUGACGGUAGUAACCGUCAGAAAAGAAUUUUUGUGUCGUUUUUCCCGCUCCCGUAAAAUGUUUGUUGUCGGUUCCACUACCGUCAGGGAAGGUGGAGACUUUCCCUGCCAGUUAUGGUACCGUCAGGGAAGGUUCGUGCUUCCUGUUAGUAAGCUCAAUUUUUAAUAUCAAUAAGCUCAUUGAACUAUGGUCUAGUUGGUAAUCAUCGUGCUAAAUUCAAGUUAGUGGAGAUGUAAUGAAAGUACCUUCUUUUAUGUUACUAGACGUAUGCUACAUUACUUUGCUAUAUGUGUUAUGAUUGAAUUUAUACGAUAAUAUAUAUGUGUAUGAUUAGAAAUAACAUGCUAGCCAGUGCUUUCCUAUCACCGCAUGUUGUCACCAUCCACAUCCAUGCCAAACAAACAACUUCCAAAAUGCAUCACCACCUGUCAAUUUGACCAUGAGUUGAGGCUGCCGUCUUCAUCCACGACGUCUUCCAGCCACACCGUCGAACCUAGCCAUCACCCGACCCCGCCACCAGCCGUCAUCAAUCGAAUCUCCAUGUCUAGACAGAUCCAUGUUGAUUGCAGUCCAUUGGAUGGUUCAAGUCACCCACUCAAAGUUUCCAAAUCCAUGGAUCAAGUCAUUGAUUGCCGCCAUGCUCCACCUUGUGCCAUGUCCUUCCCUAGACACACCUGUGUGAGGCUUGCACAUAGUGGAACAUAACCAUCGCACCUCUCAUGAUCUUCUUCUAUGAAUCUGAAUCUUGAUACCACUUGGAUUGGAUCCGCUGCACACUCUAACACUCUAGAAGAGCUAUUCGGCAAGCCACCAUCUUUGCACACUAGGCAUCAUGUACAACAUCUAUUGAUCCAGCACCGACCAUGACCACUGAGCCUUGAUGAUCACGAGCAAUAAAACCCCAAUCGCCCUUGUACUUACUAAAAGGCUCAGACUUGGCCUAAAGGCAAAACAAUGGUUCACACCCACCCGGUAGUUAUCUUCAAGUCGUCGUCUACCUCCGUGAGAAAUAAAAAAUAACACAUGCAAAACCAUGGCCGCCGCACAAGGUGAGAGAGAGAAGGGAGGUUCACUAGUGCAAGGAGGUCUGGCGGCCGCCAGACCAUGCCAUAUUGGUGGACUUGUGCUAAUCAAAAUAAUCACACACUAUUAGCAUCCCAAAUUACCUUGAGUGUCCAAAACCGCCAAGGAAAAUACCUAAUCCACCAAGAAAAUGAUCCUUGGCCACAAAUUGUCAAUCAAACUCCAUCAAGGAUAGAAGAUAAGAGAAAUUGGUUUCCUUAGCUUUUUUGACAAUUAAGGAUGAUUUCCUCCGGCCACCAAGGAAACUAGGGCCACAUCUAAUUCGCCAAAGGGAUAAGAAAAUGUUGCAACCGCCAAGUAAAUUAGUUUUCUUGAGGGCUAGCAUCCUUCAAAAAAAUAUUUGUAACCAUAUAGGAAAUAGUUUUCUUGAGGGCCAGCAACCUCCAAAGUAAUAUAGAGUAAGAGCAAUAAAUAAAUGAGUGAAAGCCCAAUAUAAUAAUGUGCCUUAUGGGAUUCAAACAUGUGGCCUGAUGCUUCGAGUUGAAGCACACUCACCACUGCACCUCAGAGUAACUUGUGACUAAGUGAAUUAUUGUUUUUAUUUUGUAUUCACUUUAUGAAAUCUUAUAAUGCAUAUUUUGUGGUCCUAAACAAUUUUAAAUGUAAAACAUUUGAACUGAAAAAGUUUUAGAACUUGAUGAAUACAACAACAUUGGUUUAGGACGAAUUUUCAUCCGAGGUUAUUUGAAAAAUCAAAUAAAUUUGAAUUUUAAUGCUAUGAGUAUUUUCUUGGGGGUUUCCAAUUGCACCCAAGAAAAUAUGAAUUACCUUGCUGGUUUCGAAAACCACUCAAGGAAAUACAAAUUACCUUGACGGUUUUGAAUAGCACCCAAGGAAAUGAGCAAUUACCUUGCCGAUUUGUAAUAACACUCAAGGAAACAUGGAAUUCCCUUGGAGGUGAUUAGAAACUGCCAAGGAAACACCCAUAUUCUUUGGCGGGUUACUUCAACAUCUAAGGAGUACACGUUUCCUUGAAGUUCAGUAACACUCCCAAGAAAACUUUACUUUCCUUGGCAGUUUUGCUUUUGACCCUCAAGAAAAUUCCUAGCACUAAAGGUAAUUCAGGAUUGCGAUAGUGACAAGUUGGUCUUCUUUGGGGUUGCAGCCACUAUUUGGGCAAGCAUAAUGAUCUUAUUUUUGAGAAAAAAGGUGCCACCUCCUUUAUGUAUAGGCUAGCUUUAGAAGAACAUGUUGGCUGUGUUUUUGGGUAUUGCUGCAGCGUGAGGACACAAGGGAGACCACCUGAUCGGUGAACAAAGCUUUGUAAUCGUUGCUUUAGAUAUUUUCGCCAAGAAUAGAUGUAGAAACAAUAAUAGAUUUUUUUUAUUUUCCCUAUAAUUUUGUAUUCUCUUGCCGGUUGGAUUGUAAUCACCAGAUGAGCUGAAAACUUUGCAAGGACUUGGUUGUGCGUCUCACUCUGCUAGUGGGCUGUAAUCCAAUCUGCUAGUGGGCUGUAAUCCAAUCUAUACCCACACCAAUCCACGUUUCAGCAUGCAGCUUGUGUCACCAGACUAAAUUAAUCCAAGCAAUGGCGGGAACCAAACUAUUUGGCAAAUAGUCUCUACAUGAUAUAAAACAAACCCAAUCCAUGUGCCAACCCAUGGGUCCUAUCCAUUAGAUACUAAUUUACUUAUCCACGGUUGCGCUGCAUGACUCAAGACACUGCAGACGCAAGCAAGGAAGCAACCUAAAUGAUUAACUAAUUUUAAAAAAUAGCAGCAGGAAAGCUAUUAAUAGCCAAAGAGAAUGGAUUAUACAAUUCUAAAUUAGGUGAAAGAAGACUUUGACAAAUUAAGAGACAAAAAUUACAGCUCCAAACAAAUUAGGAAACUAGACAUAAUUUAUACAUCAUUUUUUUUGUUGAGAAUGGUGCUAAUGAAAAAAUAGACUCAACAUGCCAAGCAUAACUCCAUCCAGCUAAAGCUUCAUUGAAAGUUCAGUGAUCCGCUUCCUGAAUUGUCCCUUUGUAGUGAUACCAGCACAACUUCUCAGCUAUAUCAUGAACUGCUGAAGAUGAAAAAUAUAACUGUAAGAACAUUAUGCCGGAAGAAAAUAGUCUCUACUCUACAUGAUAUAAAAGCAUAGUCACUAUAAUUAUUUAAUCAUUGGCAUUCUAUAAUUGCAAAGCUCUGGGAGACUAAAGUUUCAGUUUCUGUGUAAUCUAUAAUGAACAGUUGUUGUGCAAAUGCAGAGUUCUGAAUUUGAACUUUUCCUACCACAACAUGGAACCUGAAAUCUGAACUAUAUGUUAGAUGUAUAUAUGUGAUAUUGUAUUUUCUCUUUUUUGGAGGUUCUCCUUGUAUAUGUACACAACAUGUAUACUUGCCCCUUUGGGCCUAGAAUAUGAAGUUAGUUGACCACUUAUUCUAACAUGGUAUCAAGCUAGGGUUCCAAUCCUCACCUUGCUCCCGCCGGCGCCAGCAACCCGCCCACACCCGCGCGCCUGCUGCCCGCCCUCGCCUGCAGCCUCGCGGAGAGCUUGCCGGCGGCCUUGCGGUCCGCGCGCCGGCGCCCGUCCACCCCUGCUCGUCCGACGCGGCCUCGCCCGGCGUCCGCCCUCGCCCCGACGCGGCCUCGCGAAGGGCGAGCCGGCGGCCUUGCGGUCCGCGCGCCGCGCCUCUGCUCGUGCGCGCCAGGCCGGCGUCCACCCUCGCCCCGACGCGGCCUCGCCCGGCGUCCGCCCUCGCCUGCGGCCUCGCGGAGGGCGAGCCGGCGGCCUUGCGGUCUGCGCGCCGCCCGCCCAGGCCACCGCGGCCUCGCCCGUUGCGGCCCGCGCGUCCUCUGUCUGCGUUCGGCUGCUUCUCCUCUCUUCCCAAAAAAAAAAAAAAACAGCCGAGAGGGGAAGCAGGACACGGUUUGUUUCCAUGGCGUCCCCCAGCCGCACUCGUCCGGGUGCCAUUCCUGUUCCCAAGUGUCCAGUCAUCUUCAAUGGCACAAACUGGGCCGAUUUUGUUUUUCAUAUGGAGGUGCACAUGGAUGGGCAGCUGCUGUGGAACUACCUUACGGGCGAUCUGAUCUGUCCUACUAUUCCAAUUCUUCCUAAGCAGCCCACCUAUCCUCCAGAUGCUGAUGAUGCAGCCAAACAUGCUCUCCUUGAUGCAUUUGAGGCUGAGAUGGAGACCUAUCAAUCUGAUCUUGGCGUCUAUGAGACUUGGCUGCGUGAGGAAAAAUCGGCCAAGGCCAUCUUACUUGCAAGCAUAGAGAUUGAUCUUGCACGCUCCCUCAGAGGUCUUGCCACCUCCCACCUCAUGUGGGAAUAUCUUCGUUGCAGUUAUGAGAUCCGCAAUGAGGCGAUGUACCUUGCUGUUGUUGAGGAGGCACAGUCACUUCGUCAGCUUGAUUCUACAGUUGACGACUUCCACCGCAAGAUGACUGAUGUCUGGCAUCGCCUAGACAAUUUGGGGGCCGAGUUCUGUGGUGGUGGUACUUGUCGGUGUUGUGACCGGCACCGGGAGCAGCGCGACACACUCCGUCUCCACGAGUUUCUCUCUCGGCUGCGUCCAGAGUUUGAGACUGUUCGGGCACAGCUACUGACUCGUCGCCCGCGCCCGUCGCUUGCCGAGGCGAUGCCUGAGCUGCGAGCUGAGGAGACUCGUCUUCGGACUGGAGGGGUCAGCCAUCCUCAACUGCAGCCGGCUGUUCUGGUGGCUACACCCCCACCAGUCUCCCUACCUUCGCCCCAGUCUGCGGUGGUGGCGGGGGUCCCCUCUGGUGUGCGGUGUGACUACUGCAAGAUUUAUGGUCAUGAGGAGAAGGAUUGUCGUAAGAAGCAGCGCAACCGCUAUGACGCCGUGAUCGGCGCCACUCUUCAGGCUCUGGUGGUUCCUCUACUCCGCAGGGCACUCGUUCUGUGUCUGCAGCCGAGCAGGAGGUUCUUGCUCUGUUCCGCCGCCUCACUACUGCAGCUCAGGCUCACGGGACUACAGCUCAGGCCUCUGGUUCCACACCUCCUCCUCCUCCGCCAUCAGGUACAUCACCACCGUGGUUUCUUGAUUCUGGUGCCUCUUUCCACAUGACACCCCAUACCACCCAUUUGUCCUCCCUCUCCCUGUCAUCUUCUGAUUCACCCAUCCUUGUUCGCACUGCUGAUGGCACUUCUCUUCCUGUUACUGGGAGAGGUGUUCUUUCGACUUCUUCCUUUGAGGUUCCUAAUGUUUCGCAUGUUCCUCACCUCACCAUGCAACUUCUUUCUGCGGGACAAAUUACUGAUCAUGGUUGUCGCAUUAUUCUUGAGUCUGAUUCUUGCUGUGUUCAGGAUCUUCGUACGGGCCUUUUGGUGGGAACUGGGCCUAGGCGUCGGGACUCACAGCGUCUUUGGGAGCUUGAUUGGUUGCGCCUUCCUUCAUCUGUUUUGCUCCCUCCAACACCUGGUUCUCCGGCGUCGGCAUCAGCUGCCUCAUCCACUACCUCUUUUGUCCAGUGGCAUCGUCGUCUUGGUCAUCUCUCUGGUGCUCGAUUGUCUAGUCUUGUUGGUAGUGGUGUAUUAGGCCCUGUUUCUGGUGACACUACUCUGCAUUGUACGGGUUGCAAGCUUGGCAAACAGUUGCAACUCCCCUAUUCCUCUAGUGAGUCCAAGUCCCAGAAACCUUUUGAUCUUGUUCACUCUGAUGUAUGGGGUCCUGCACCCAUAACUUCAAAAGGAGGGCAAUCCUAUUAUGUUCUGUUUAUUGAUGACUAUUCGAGAUUUACUUGGAUUUAUCUGAUGUCCUCUCGAGGCCAAUUUCUUUCUAUUUACCAACAAUUUGCUACCAUGGUUCGUACACAGUAUAACUCUCCCAUUCGUGUUUUUCGUGCGGACUCUGCUGGUGAGUACAUUUCCACUGCCCAUCGCUCCUACCUUGCUGAGCAGGGUACUCUUGCCCAAUUUUCAUGUCCUGGUGCUCAUGCUCAGAAUGGUGUUGCAGAGCGCAAGCAUCGCCACAUUCUUGAGACUGCUCGUGCUCUUUUGAUAUCCUCUGCCCUUGCUCCUCAUUUCUGGGCCGAGGCUGUCUCUACGGCGGUUUUCCUCAUCAAUCGCCAACCCUCCACCUCUCUUCAGGGUAGCACUCCCUAUGAGCGUCUCUUCAGCAGCCCUCCUUCCUAUGCUCAUCUCCGUUGUUUUGGUUGUGUCUGUUAUGUUCUACUUCCACCUCGUGAGCGCACCAAACUCACUGCUCAGUCUGUCGAGUGUGUUUUCCUUGGGUACAGUACGGAGCAUAAGGGCUAUCGGUGUUAUGACCCUGUUGCUCGGCGGAUGAGGAUCUCUCGGGAUGUCACCUUUGAUGAGUCCCGCCCUUACUAUCCUCGUUCUCCCUCCGGUCAUCCUAACACCGUUGAGUCCCUCUCUUUUCUUACUUUACCUGAUUGGUAUCUUCCUCUGUCUCCCUCCUCGACACCUCCUUCUAUUUCUCCAUCCUCGCUAUCUCCUUCUUCAUCCACUCCACCACCGCCACCACCACCACCACCACCACCAGUAGCCUCUCCACCCCCGUUGUGUUCUUCCCGUGAGAUCACUCACGUCUAUACUCGUCGUCCACGUCCUGCUCCACCCAUUGACUCUUCUCCGUCCCUCCUUGGCCCUAUUCCUGGGUCUCCUCCUCGCUAUGAUCUUCGUGAUCGCAGCACCCUUCGUCCUCCCAGGCGCUUUGGUUUCACCGCUACUGUUUUAGCUGAGCCCGCGACCUAUCGGGAGGCUGCUCAUCAUUUGGAGUGGCAGCAUGCUAUGGCUGAGGAGAUUGCAGCCCUUGAGCGUACUAGCACCUGGGAUCUUGUUCCCAAACCACCACAUGUCACUCCUAUCACUUGCAAGUGGGUUUACAAGGUCAAAACUCGCUCUGAUGGUUCUCUUGAGCGCUACAAGGCUCGCCUUGUGGCUCGUGGUUUUGAGCAGGAGUAUGGGAUUGACUACGAGGAGACGUUUGCUCCUGUUGCUCACAUGACCACUGUUCGGACCCUUCUAGCUGUUGCCUCCGUUCGUCAAUGGUCAAUUUCGCAAUUGGAUGUCAAGAACGCCUUCCUAAAUGGCGAGCUUCGUGAGGAAGUCUAUAUGCAGCCACCCCCGGGUUACUCUGUUCCUGCUGGAAUGGUCUGUCGGCUGCGUCGUUCCCUCUAUGGUCUCAAACAAGCUCCUCGCACCUGGUUUGAGCGUUUCUCCUCUGUUCUCAUUGCUGUAGGCUUCAAGCCUAGUGAUCAUGACCCUGCUCUCUUUGUUCACACGUCCUCUUCUGGUCGUACCCUUCUUCUCCUCUAUGUUGAUGACAUGAUCAUCACGGGAGAUGACUCCCAAUUUAUUGCUUUUGUGAAGCAGCACCUCAGUGAGACCUUUCUUAUGUCUGAUUUGGGUCCUCUUCGUUACUUUCUUGGUCUUGAGGUUACUUCCACCUCUGAUGGUAUUUUUCUUUCCCAGGAAAAGUACGCUCAGGACCUCCUCUCACGUGCUGCUCUCACUGAUCACCGUACUGUUGACACUCCUAUGGAGCUGAAUGUUCACCUCCGACCCACUGAUGGUGUUCCUCUUGCUGAUCCUACUCGCUAUCGCCAGCUUGUUGGGAGCCUUGUUUAUCUUGGGAUCACUCGCCCGGACAUCACACAUUCUGUUCAUAUCUUGAGUCAGUUUGUCUCGGCUCCUACCCAGCUCCACUACUCUCACCUUCUUCGCGUUUUGCGAUACCUUCGUGGCACCACCAGCCGUCGCCUUUUCUUUCCUCGCUCUAGCUCACUCAAGCUCCAGGCGUACUCAGAUGCCACUUGGGCAAGUGAUCCCACUGAUCGCCACUCUCUUUCUGCUUAUUGUGUUUUCCUUGGAUCCUCCUUGAUUGCCUGGAAAACCAAGAAGCAAACUGCUAUAUCCCGCUCGAGUGCUGAGGCUGAACUGCGUGCUAUGGCAACUGUGGCUGCUGAGGUAACAUGGCUUCGUUGGCUUCUUGAGGAUUUUGGUGUGCCUCUCACUACACCCACUCCUCUCUCCACUGACAGCACUGGUGCGAUCAGUAUUGCUCGUGAUCCGGUCAAACAUGAGCUCACUAAACAUAUUGGUGUUGAUGCUUCAUACAUGAGGUCACGGGUGCAUGAUCAGGUUGUGUCUCUCCAUCAUGUGCCUUCCGAAGUUCAACUAGCUGAUUUCUUCACCAAGGCACAGACCCGGGCUCAACAUACAUUUUUGCUUUCCAAACUCAGUGUUGUUGAUCCACCAUGAGUUUGAGGGGGGGUGUUAGAUGUAUAUAUGUGAUAUUGUAUUUUCUCUUUCUUGGAGGUUCUCCUUGCAUAUGUACACAACAUGUAUACUUGCCCCUUUGGGCCUGGAAUAUGAAGUUAGUUGACCACUUAUUCUAACACUAUAUACCACCAUGCAGUCCACUAGAACUAAGGUCAUACAACUUUACUUCAUUCAACUCGUAUAUACCUAAUAAUUUGAGCUAGUGUCAUAGCAUGCUAUUCCGCCAUGAUCCAAACUGCCUGCACAAAUGAGCUACUUGUGGUGGCAACAUUCUGCUUUUGCAUGAGAAAACUAGAAUUCAGCUUAUCCAACAAAUGUAGAGAAACAAAUAUCCCUCUUUACAAAUACAGUGGCUUUCUAUUCGUUCAUGUAGGUUCUAAGAAAAGUUCGUGAAAUAUCAGACUAUGCAGUUCUAAUAACUUACCAUUCAAAGCUGAAGAAUGAUAUGCACCACAUGCUACUUGGAUUACAUGGAUACUUUUCAGACUAGGGACAAGCUGUGGCCUCCAAUCACUGAAUUUGCUGGAAAUGAUACACAAAAUGCAAAUAUUCAGCACAUCAAUAAAUUAAUCCAAAAAAUAUUUUAUCAAUAAUCCGGAUUUUAGGUCGAAUCCGAUCCAAACAUUGCCCUUACACAAGCUAAAAGGUACAACACAUGGUAAAACAUUUACUAGCAGGUCAGUGUUAAAAUGCUGUUUAAUGACACUGAAACUAGGUACAGACUCAAAAUUUUUUGGAUAACAAACUACUAGUGGUGCUCCGGACAACAAACACACAAAUCUACAACAAGCCGGAUGGGCUGGGGCUUCCGAAUUUCAUCCCGGCCAGCAGGAUUCAGAUUCCAUAAUUCCAUUGCCAAAGAGCAAACAGGAGAUGCUGAUUCCUGCAGAACAAAACUCACGCUUUGAACAAUACAACAAUCCAUCCUAGCAACCCAAUGCUUCCUCACCAGCGAAACAAAAGAAAGUCCAGAUGGAUCCCAACUCCACGGCAACCAGCAGUAGAGAGGCAGAGGAGGAGUAGCCCGAGUAGUAGAUGAUUCUUGGUCGAGUAGAGUAGCUUCGGUUGAGUUGAAUACAGGGCAGGGCGGUCGCGUGCUCCACGGUGUGGUGGGGCUACAAGGCAACUGGUUCACAGAAAUGGGGAAGGCAAGAAGAGGGUUCGAGACUGGGGCGGCAUCCGUGAGGUGUGCGACGGCGAAUUGAAGGCGGCCGUGCGAAAACGGAGAAGGCGAGAAGAGGGUUCGAGACUGGAUAAAAUAGCCUUAUGCGGUGUGUGAAGCGGCGGCGGCGGCGGCCAUGCGUGUGCGAAGAGGUAGAGUCUGAGCGUACAUGCAAUGAGCGGUUGAAUAUGUUCCACAUUCAGUUGCACAUUAUAAAGGCCGACUUCUGACGGAGCGAAGCGGAGGCCCGUACGGCGUUGUAACCCAACUCUUGAUAAUAUUGAGGAGUGUUUGCUGGCUGGCGCCCGUGGUUUUUCGCCUUCGCUUUGGAGGGGUUUUCCACGUUAAAUCUUGUGUCUCCACUAUAUUUUGAUCUCAUGUUCUUCGUCGUUUAUCCGCCGUUAUUCACAACAUGAGCUACGUUGUGGGCUGUAACCUGUGUGCACCCAUGGACUGGACACCACGUAGAACCAAACCAGCCCAGUCCAUUAGACCCGUAGCCCCAAAUCUAUCUAGCCCAUGACGAACAUGAAGACUAUUGCUUCCAAUCCAGAGCCAUUCGAUGCACAAUCCAAACCGUUAAAACCAUUCCAGUCCAAUCCACUAGCAGAGUGAUGUGCGUCCACAAAGCGGUAGGAACAUUUCCUUUUUUUAAAAAAAAAAUGUACUUGUUCAGAUGCCUUCCUUCCUAUGUAAUCUUCGCAUGUUACUUUGUUGUUUGUUCGUUCAGAAAAUCUUUCUCGUUUGGAUGUGAGCGCAUCAUCAGAUGAGGCUGAUGAGGAAGUGGUGCUGCAGUUUCCACCCUCCAGCUUGUUGAGAAAUGUCCGCUUCCUUGGGUGUAUGAAUCUGAUCCUGCCUGUGGAGGAAGAGGAAGGUGCUGGAUUGUGUGGCCUCUCGUCGCUCGAGUCCGUGACCGUAAUAAAUUGUGACAAGCUAUUCUCUCGGUGGUCCAUGGGAGGAGCAGCAGCUCAGACUCAGAGCACCAUCUACCCUCUCCCCCCUUGCCUCAAGGAACUCUGCCUUUAUUAUCAGCAAAGCACUCUGCCAAUGGCUCUGUUCGCGAAUCUCACAUCUCUUACCAGUCUAGAACUAUAUAAUUGCAAGGAUAUCACAGUGGAUGGGUUCGAUCCUCUCAUCACAUUCAACCUCGAGCGUCUGGAGGUGUACAACGGGAGAGAUGGUGAGGCUGAGCCCUAUUCUGUAGCAGCAGAUCUACUUGCAGCGGUGGCAAGGACCAAAACAAUGCCCGCCGGUUCCUUCCAACUGGUUCGACUUGAUGUGGACAGCAUCUCUGCUGUGCUUGUUGCUCCCAUCUGCACCCGCCUGUCGGCUACCCUCCAGAGGUUAUACUUCAGGUAUGAUUGGCGGACGGAGAAGUUCACGGAAGAGCAGGACGAGGCGCUUCGGCUCCUCACAUCUCUCCAAGCCCUGUGGUUCUUUGACUGCAGGGCUCUGCAGUCCCUCCCUCAAGGCUUGCAUCGCCUUCCUUCUCUCCAGGAAUUACAUAUCAGGGGAACUCAAAAAAUCAGAUCGCUGCCCAAGGAGGGCCUCCCUGACUCACUGCGACUGCUAUCCAUAGAUAAUUGCUGUCCCAAGAUUUAUGAGGAAUGCCAGAAAUUAAGGGGAACAAGGCCAGAUAUACAUACAGUUGCCUUCAUUGCUCGAGCGGAAAGGUGAAUCUCUGCUUCUGCAUGCCUUUCACGCACUCAACUCUUCAGUGUACAUCGAUCUGCAGGUUAGUUCCAAAUUAAAAACAAAAACACCUUUUGCUCCUCGAUUUAUGAUUUCAUUAACUGUCCAAACUGAAUUGUUUUUUUUGUAGACUGAAUUUACGAUCUAUAAUUUGAGCUCCUAACAUCUCUCCAAAACCUAUCGUUCGAAGACUCUGCAGCCCUGCAGGCCCUCCCUUCUCUCCAGGAAUUACAUAUCAAUAUAUCAUUGCAACUCAAAAUAUCAUAUGGCUGCCCAUAUCUGAUUUAUUAGGAAUGACCGAAAUUAAAGGGAACAAGGCCUCUGUUCAUACAGUUGCCUUCAUUCCUGACGCGGAAAGCUGAAUCUCUGCUUCUCCUGCCUUUCACGCACUCCAACUCUUCACUGUACACCGAUCUGCAGGUUAGUUCCAAAUAAAAAAACCAGCUUAUAUGCCCUAGGAUUUAUGGUUUUAUUGACUGUGCAAACCGAACUAUUUUAUUUAUUUUUUUGCAUAUAGAUAUGACCCAUUGUCAUAUGCUUCUGUGCUACAAUUGGAGCCACCAUUCCACUAUUCAUGUCUUAUUUCUUUAUCCAACAAAUUUCUAGCAUUUUUCCUGAAUAUUGCAUUGUUUCAAUGAAUCUCAUACUGUGAAUUGGUACUUUCACGGAGAAAAGAGAAUUGUUUCAAUGAAUAAAGACCAUGCCACUAUUAGUUCAUUCUUGUUGUGGCAUGUCGUCAUGAAUUGUGUUUUUUUGUAGACUGAAUUUACGAUCUAUAAUUUGAGCUCCUGACAUCUCUCAAAAGCCUAUCGUUUGAAGACUGCAGGGCUCUCCAGGCCCUCCCUCCUCUCUUGGAAUUACAUAUCAUUGCAACUCAAAACACCAGAAAUGAAAAGAGGACAAGGCCAGAUAUACAUACGAUUGCUUUCAUUCCUGACGCGGAAAGCUGAAUCUCUGCUUCUCCCUGCAUUUCACGCACUCCAACUCUUCACUGUACACCGAUCUGCAGGUUAGUUCCAAAUAAAAGAAAAACAGCUUUAUGGUUUCAUUGACUGUGCAAACCGAACUGUUUUAUUUAUUUUUUGUAUAUAGAUACGACCCAUUGUCAUAUGCUUCUGUGUUACAAUUGGAGCCCCCAUUCCACUAUUCAUGUCUUAUUUCUUUAUCCAACAAAUUCAAUCUCUCCGAUCCUACAAUUUAAUUUCUGGAUCAUAUCAAUUUCUAGCAUUUUUCCUGAAUAUUGCAUUGUUUCAAUGAAUCUCAUACCGUGAAUUGGUACUUUUAGGAAGAAAAGAGAAUUGUUUCAAUGAAUAAAGACCAUGCCACUAUUAGUUCAUUCUUAGUGUGGCAUGUCAUGAAUGGCUGUGGAUGGCUUAUUUCCUAGAUCAUGGUGCAUAUGCCUUGUUGAUGAUCUGAUACGCAAAAUCGCAUUGCUUCUGUUACAUGACAAUAAGGUUAUAUGCUGGCUUGCCUUGCAGGACUCUGCUUCAUCAUACGGUUACACAUCAUCGUUCAAAAAACAUAUAUAAUGAGCACCUAACUUAGAUUGUGGCAAAUUUUGGCAAAGAUCAGGUGAGACAGUCACAAGUGAAGUUCCGUGUAUUCCAUUCUGUUUUUCCUUUUAGAGCUCUUGUGACUUUUUUGUAGUUUCAGACCCUUGACUUUCGUUGGUCUUUUGAAACCACUGAAGGCAGGAGAUGCUGCAUCAUGGAUCAGACUAGAGACUUUUUCUGCAUCGGUCAACCAGCUUAGUGGCAGAACGAAAAAUGCUUUUGAAGUAAUGUGUUUUACUUAACUAUGUACAUCUCUAUAUAAAUGGCAUAAUCCUCUGGAGCCAUUUUAUAAAUUGAUGAUCUGUUGCUUCCUUUGUCAGGACAGGCUCACAAUUGCUUCAAAUUAGAAACAAACCUGUCAGUUAAAGUUCCUAUAUGCCCAAUUAAGCAGUACAUACACCCAGCACUCUGAUUCACUGCGAGUGCUAUAGAUAUUGCUGUGCUGAGAUUAAUGAGGAAUGCCAUAAAUUAAGCGGCACAAGGCCAGAUAUAAGUAUAGGUGCCUACAUUGCGUCUGUGUUCAGCAUGCCUUUGAAUCUACAGGUUAGAUCCAAAUUUAAAAAAAAAAACAGCUUAUUGUGCUCCUCGAUUUAUGAUUUCAUUGACUGUGCAAACCAAUCCUCUUGUGGCAUGUCACGAAUAAAUAUAGAAAAUUGCUCAAUAAAUUCCAUGUCCUUAUAUUAUGUUAGAGUAAAUAGGAAUAGUACCACAUUGUGUAUCCACAUGAGGUGCUAGUCCUAUGUACCCUAUAUAAUCAGCCCAUGAGACCCAAUGCAAUAUAUCAAAUAUUCAACCAAUUAUAUUUUCCUUCAUGGUAUCAUUCACCUAGGUUUAGAUUCUAACCCUAGCCGCCACUGCUUCCGCACUGCGCGACCCCGGAGAGAGGUCGAUCUCCGCCAGGGGCAGCGUCCCUCUUUCGGCGUCCGAUCCUAUUGAUCCGGCUGCCAUCGUCGUCGCACAACAGAUCAGAAUCUCCCCUAUGUCAUCGCCAGGUUGCCGCCGCCGCCUCGUCCCCAGGCUCGCCGCCGGCUGUCGCCAUCAACACCUGAUCAUCAUCGCAUGGAAGCAGAUGGAUCUCGCCCUGUCCCGUGCCGUCGUGGUGGCGGCUAGGGCUGGCCACACGUCUCGACCCUGCGCUGCCAUGGAGGCAGCCAGAUCUGGCGUGUCCCUGUUGCCGAGCGGAUAUGCCCAUCUCCACCUCGUCGAUAUGCGUUGGCGCCUUCGACCCCGCGUGUUCGUGACCCGCCGUGCGCCUUGCGCUGCCCGAUCGGGACGCACCGCCGCUGUCGUGUCGUCUUGCUGGGUACACCUGAUCUGUUUUUACUGUAUCUUUUUGGUUUGGCGGAUCACUGAUCGGGAUUGAGUCACCCACCGCCCGUCGAGCAUCGACUUCAUCGACACUGUCUCCGAGUACUACGUGCAUCUUCUCUAAGCAACAGGGCUACUAUUGUGUCGCCUCAUUGGGCCACAACACUGUUAUCCAUGUGUACGCUUCGCCGUUGCAUCUUCAUCGCCGUCAUCUGUGCAUCGACGACUGUGCUGCGCAAUCCCUACUGUGCCAUCCGUCUGCACAAGGUCUUCGUCGUGCUGAUUGGGUCUUCGUCAUCGAGCUACCACUACCCGCGUCGUCGCUGAGACCUACUCGUCGACACGUCUUCUCUCGCAUUGCUUCUUCUUCAUCCAGCACAACCACACGGUUGGGGCCCUCUCUCUUGUAUGCUUGGUAUUGGCAACACCGACGCGCGCUUUCGUCCCCGACGCGUUGCUGGAUCUAGCAAAUCCAGCUGCUCCUCGGCGCUCAGGCGGCUUGACUGCAUCGACCCUCCCGUUCCCACCCCGUCUGCCUCUAUUGCGUCAUUGCCUUUCUUCUGCGUCUACGACGGCCCUAACUGCGUCGACUUCGCCAUCGUUCCCUCCCAUGAUGACUGCCUUGACGCGUCUCCGUCAUUACUAUGGCGCCCCUUGUAUGUCUGCAGCUCCAUCGACACGCAACCCAACCACAACUACGUCGACUUCGGCCAUCUUCAGCACAGCUUCUUCGACCACGACUAUUGUGCCCUUACGCUCGGCUACCUCGACAUUGGCAGAAAGGGCUACCGCCUUGCAUGGACUCAUCGGCUUCUUCCCCAGCCAUAGCAUACGCGGCGGAUAGACUGUUAUGACUGCGGGGGAUGUUACUUAUCAGCUUCUUCUCCAGUCUUACCGUCUGUAGCGCUUCUGCUGUAACUGCGGGGGGAUGUUAGAGUAAAUAUGAAUAGUACCACAUUGUGUAUCCACAUGAGGUGUUAGUCCUAUGUACCCUAUAUAAUCAGCCCAUGAGGCCCAAUGCAAUAUAUCAAAUAUUCCACCAAUUAUAAUCUCCUUCAUAUUACUUAGUUGAUUCCUCUUGUGGCAUGCCAUGAAUAACUGCUGAUUUUUUGGUGCCACUCCACCUUAUUAUAUUAGACACCCUAAAUCAUGAUGCAUAUGCUCUUUUGGUGACCUGAUAUUCACAAUUCUCUUGUUUCUGUCACAGCACUAGUGGUUGCCCACAGCACAGUGAGAUGAUAUACUGGUUUUCCUUUGCAGGACUCUACUUCAUCAUCAUGUUACACAUCGUUGAAAACCAUAAAUGAGGCCAAGUUUGGGUUGUGGCAAACUUUGGCAAGUAAAGCCAAGGAAAUUCUCAAUGACGAUGGCUUGGCGCCUAAGUUUGAGGACUUAGGGAAUAACAACCUCCUAGCAAAACCGGUGCAUCCAAAAAAUAUCAGGUGAGACAGCAAUCAUAUCUGAAUAUCUGAACAUAUUGACAUCGUGUAUGGCAUUGUCUCUCUCUUCAUUAAGAUUGUUCCAGGCUUUCUUUUCUUGUAAUUUUAGACCCGUAACUCCCGUUGUUCAUUUGAAAACCACUGGAAGACAGGAGAUGCGGCAUCACAAGUCAGACCUUUGAUCAUUUGAAAACCACUGAGGCUCUUUCUGCUUCUAUCAACCAGCUUAGUGGAUGGAAGAAUAAAAAAUGCUUUGGAAGUAAUGUGUUUUUACUUAACUCUGUACAUCUGUUUCUGUUUCUUUAUUUCUAUAAAUGGCACAACUCUGAGCUGUAUUGUAAAUUGAUGAUCCGUUGCUUCCUUUGUUUAACAGGAAAGGGGUCACAAUUGUGGAUAAUUAGACAUCCAGUAUCAUUGAGUUGAGGAAACAAAGAAAAUUCAAAUUAGAAGGAAACCUGCCAGUUCGAAUUCUCAUAUGCCGAAUUCAGCAGUAGAUACACAUAAACCCACGCUCCUGAUCUCUCACCAUUAACCUGAAUCUGCAGCCCAGGAGACUGAACUGUACGCUUCUCACGACAACAGGUGCCACAUGUUUGUAUCUUGAUGACAAAUAUGAUAUUAUACAUCCUCUAUGAGAGAAACAUGUAGUCAUCAUUGUUGUCGGAUCAACAUUAAAUUUUAUGUUUUCUAGUCUUAUGAAAUGGGUUACGGCAUUAGUUUUCGGUAUAUUACAUGAAAGCAUAAAGAUGUUUCUAUUUUCUACUAAGAAAUAUUUCUAGUUCCUUUGUUGAUCUACUUAUUUCCUGUUCCUUUAUUUUGCCAAUCUAUUUAUUUCUAGUUCCUUUACCCAUUACGGAGCUGUAGUGUAGUCGAGAAUUGAUUGAGUGCCAGCUGAGGUUGCCUAAUGUUUUCUUAUGGUUUGUAGCAUUUCAAAAUAUAAGCAUUGCUCCUACCUGAUUCGUUUAAAAAAAACAAAAAAAAAGCUAAGCAUCGUGACCAGCAGAAUAGCAGAGUAAGCUCUUUUAUGUGCUUACAUUUUUUUUUUGAAAUAAUUGUACUUACAAUGAAUAGUAGAACUGUUUUUUUCCCUCAAAACAUAAAUUUUGUCUUUUCAGUGCGUUAGAUGAAUGGUUCAGAUAAGUUAUUCUUUUGUAGUAUCUGCCAGCAAUGAUCCCUUUCUCUUUUCCCCUAUUAAUCCUUUCAGGUUGCUAAUGUAAUGGCUGCUAUAAAGCGAAACUUCUACUCUAUGAGCAAAAAUCUGUUGAAUCGAUCCAGAUUUUGUGAAGCAGAUAUGUGCUCAGCUAGAAGUACUAGAAGCAAAGCAGAAAGGGGAUAAAACUGAAGAGUGGUAAUCUGUUUUUUUUUAUCAAACUUGUUUCUUAACAUGUUUAAUGUCUUUUCGUGAAUUACAUACACCUUUGAUUACUCCUUCGAUUACAUACACCUUCAAACUUGCAACAAUCUUUGGCCAUUCAAAUUAAUAAAACCUACAACUUUGAUUACAUUACACCAAAAAAAACUGCAACAAUGCUGCAUAAACUGCAGCUAAUAUAUUAAAGUGAAAAUUGGUUGUGUGGUAAAAUGACAAGGAUCAGAAAAUACCACCAAAAGAACUCCAUUACCAGUGAUGCCACCCAAAGAUAAUGCUGUUUUCUGAAAAUAGCAUUUCUUCAUGUUUGGAAGUAACAGCCUAGCACGAUCCAUCUCCGUCAAUCCAAAGUGGGAAAAAAAUCCACUCCAACCUAUGAAAAAUAAAUCCACUGCAUUGCCCAGUGUACUCAAUGGAUUUCCUUGUACAUUGACAGGUGUUGAGCUAAUUUGGGCUGACGGGACUCCGGUUACUGCGCAUGGCGAGGCGUGUUUGAUUUCAGCGGGAAGGAGAGCUCGGACACCAUGACCGGCAUCCGAAGAGCCUACCCGGAGCUCGGCAACUGCCUCUACUUCGAUCUUGCUCACAAGACCCACGCCGUGCUCUACGAGCUGCCCAGGAGCAGGCUCAACUGGCUCUGGUACAUCAAUGGCCCAGAACCGGAGCUCACGGUAAUGGCCGUCCCCCUCGCUGCGUCGUCGACGUGCUAGGAUACUUGACUCCACAGCGCAAGGGUACAGAAAGGUCAUCACCACAGUACAAGGGCCCAUGGAUGUUGUGCAUGCAUAGCAUUGGGAACAACCACACACACACAAAAGGAAUAUUCCUUACAGAUGCUAACUGAGCAUGUCCCUAAAGAUUAUCAGUAUGUUUUAUCAUCCUUAUUAAUUAUGAUGAUAUAAGAUUAGUUUCUGAUGGGUGCUAAUAUGUUGACUAGUACAUGAUAUGAUUUGUGUGCCAAAUAGGCUACUAGUACUCGUAAUUACAUGAUUUGGGUGCUAAUAUAUAUGUUGACUCGUACAUGAUUUGUGUGCCAAAUGGGCCGUAAAGAUCUUUGGAGUCUAUCUCUUAGCCUACUCAUAUAGGAGCUGUCUUUUUAUUAUUAAUACAUAGUCCACUUAUCACUCUCAUAAAGUUUUAUUUGUUCUUAUAUCUAAGUCAGUAACAUCCUCCUUCUCCUCUCCUCUCUCUCCUCCACGCCACGAUUCAUUUUCCUUAUAGUAUGUUAUUAUACUGGUUCUUAUAGCCGAUUCUCCUUCAUCCUAAAUUAUAAGCUAUUUCAAAAAUCUUAAAGAGACAAAAUAUUUUAAAUCCAAUGUAUAUUUAAUUUAGGACAGACAGAGUAUUGUGUUAGGUGAGGGGUCUCAAUCAAACAGUUUUGUUUGGUAGAUGAAUUGAUGUGGCGACUUUUUUUUUUUGCGACAUGAUGUGGCGACUUAAUCCCAGGCUUUUGUGUCGCAUGUUAGCAGCAGUAGCAGCAGAUGAAUGGUGACGGAGGGGCUAGUUUGAUACUUUAAAUUAUUUUUUAUAAUAAGAUAAGUGGAUAAUUUAGUACCAGGUUUUAGAGUUUUUUAUUUUAUAAAUAAUGAUUGUGAGUAGUUUAUUUGCAAAUUAGGGGCUUUAGAUUGUUUUUCGUAACGUUAUAUGUGGGUAAUUUAGGGUUUUAGUUAUUCAGUUUUUAUAGUGGCAUAAGUGUUUAACUUAGAUUGAUAUCGAAGAUAUUGUAUAUUAUUUUUAAUUAUAGAUGUGACUAAUUUAGAUAAAAAUUAAGGAUUACUUUAGACUCUUCAUAAAGGUUGCCCUGGAUAGUUCUUUUUUUUUUAAAAAAAAAAGAAAGUAUAACAGAUCCAGGUAACUAUUAUUACUGAUUCCUAACGAGUUUGAUGGAUGAAUGCUUAUGUUUUUUUAUGAAAAAGUAAAGUUUACUUGUUAUGUAGAAUGCAUCUUGUAAGUAAGGUGGAAGCUCCCAAGGAGCCUCUAAUUAGGACAAGUUAAGUGGGUCAUUUAGUACCAAAUUUUAGACUUUUUUAUUUUUAUAAGGCCUUGUUUAGUUCCGAAAAGUGAAAAGUUUUCGGUACUGUAGCACUUUCGUUUGUUUAUGACAAAUAUUAUCCAAUCAUGGACUAACUAGGAUCAAAAGAUUCGUCUCGUGAUUUACAGCUAAACUGUGUAAUUAGUUUUUGUUUUUGAUUAUAUUUAAUAUUUCAUGCAUGUGCCCCAAGAUUCGAUGUGACGAGGAAUCUUGAAAACUUUUUGGUUUUCAGGGUGAACUAAACAAGGCCUAAAUAAAAGCAUGAGUAGUUUAUUUGCAAAUUUAGGGACUUUAAAUUGUUUUUCGUAAUGUUAUAUGUGGGUAAUUUAGGGUUUUUAUUUAGUUUUUUUAGUGGCAUACUAUAAGUGUGUAAUUUAGAUCUAUUGUGAAGGUAUUGUAUAUUAGUUUUAGUAGCAAAUAUGCCCGUACGAUGCUACGGGUGAAUGUCAGAUUAUUCGAUUCAAUAAUAUGCAUAUUUUUUGUACAAUCUUUUUAUAUAACAAUUAAAACUGCAAUUGUUUGUUAUGUGGUUGCCUAGGAGAUUUGUAUCGGAAGAUUUAUCCAAUAAUCACGUCUGCUUGGAUAUGUAUUAGACACACGUUCACAACAGGAAAAUUCUACUUUGCCGAGAGCCGAAUUCUUUGCCGAGAGCCGCGGAAGAGGCACUCGGUAAAGACGGCCCUUUGCCGAGGGCCAGGUCCGACGCUCGGCAAAGGCCUCUUUGCCGAGGGCCAAACACUGGCUGUCGGCAAAGAUCUUCUUUGCCGAGAGUGAUGCUCUCGGCAAAGGUGAGCUCUCGGAAAAGUCCCUGGCCGUCUAACGGCAGCGGCUGUCGUCUCCUUUGCCGAGUGCCAAAUGUUAGGCACUCGGCAAAGGAUGGUUCUUUGCCGAGUGCCAGCUUGCAGGGCCCUCGGCAAAUCCUUCUUUGCCGAGUGUCCUAUCUGGCUCUCGGCAAAGCAUUUUUAUUUUUUUGUUUUUCGAUCUGAGUUUUUUUGUGAGGCUUUUGGACACUGUUUCAAACCCUAUUUUAAAGUUUGAGAGAAGUUUGACUUUUUUUGCUAUAUUUGACUGAUUUAAUUUGUUUCUUUGUGUUUUUCCGGAUAAUUCAAAUUUGAACUACACGUACAUGAAAUAUCGCAACGCAGUGUUUCAAAAAAUGAUAUUCAUGGUAUUAUGUAUAUUUUGAGUCCGUAUCUAGGACCUCACACGAAAUCUCGACCAGCUCGCUGAGGUAACACAUCGAGUUACGUGCACGAAAAGUGUAUUAAAAUUAUAUAAAAUCCAAACGAAGUACGAAAAUCGCGAAACUUGACGACGCGUCGUGUUAUCGCAUGUGGAAGCUAUGGUUAAAAUUUGAGAAGAUUUGGAGCAAGUUGCAGCGUCGAAUAUGUAAAAUCGAGACAUCUCCACAUGUGAUCACUUGUCUUCUGCGUACAUCAUGAAGGUACUAAUGACAUCGCUCCUACUUUGUGAAGGCACAGUCGCACGGGUCGAACCCGACUCCUCAAGACGGCGCUUCUCCAGACCAUGGGUGUCAGGUCCAACAGACUCCAUAGCAGACGUGGUCUGGCGCUCCUCCUCCGCCUCAGACGUACGGGUGGGGUCCGUGGUCAGCUGGCGCUCCUCCGCCUCAGACGCACGGGUGGUCGCCGUGGUCAGGUGGCGCGCCUCAGCACCUAGCAGGUUGGCCGCAGCAGGGGUGGCCAGGUGAGGGUAGGGACACGGGGACGCCGGGUCGCAGCCGGACCAGUGAUAUGGACAUGUUAUGCUUGUGAUGGAUAUGUUAGGCGGAUUUAUGAACUUUGUGUAUGCGGAUUUGUGACUGGAUGAAUGUUAACUAUUCUGUAUGCGGAUUUGUGACCAUUGAUGGAUGCAUGUGUCGAUUUGUGACUAUAUAUGUUAUGCAGCUUCUAUUACAUAUGUUAUGUAUGUUGUCUACUGUGAAUUGAGUGAAAAAACAAUAAAAAUCUGAAAAAACAGCAAAAAACUCAGCUUUGCCAAGCACUGGCACUCGGCAAAGCGGGGCACUGUGUGGCUGUGCGUGGCUCUUUGCCGAGUGCCAGCCAACAGGCACUCGGCAAAGAAUUUUCAAAAAAAAAAUAUUCUUUGCCGAGCGCCAGCGAGGAAGGCGCUCGGCAAAGAAUUUUUCAAAAAAAAAAAACUUUGCCGAGAGCCUGCCAUGGUGGUUCUCGGCAAAGAGCCGUCAACUAACGCCUCCUGCGAGACGGCCGUCAGCCUUUGCCGAGUGCUGACGUGGCUCUCGGCAAAGCCUUUGCCGAGGGCCUGCCACGUGGCACUCGACAAAGACUGUCUUUGCCGAUUAAGGCUUUGCCGAGCGGUCUUUGCCGAGCGGGCGUCAGAAUCCUUUAGUGGUUGUUCUAGCGUGUGUGCACACAAGUCGCAAAUCCAAGCUAUAUGGGACAUGAAGGGGCGUAAGAGCAUUGGAAGAAGUAAAAAAAAAUAGAGAAAUAUCAUUUUAGCUUUAAUAUUAAAAGCAAAAUACAAUUGUGUGUUGUAACGGAACUAUAUCUUAUGACAUAAGGCCACGCCACUUGUAGAUUUAUUCUGCUCCAUCUCUUAACGUGUGCGCUUUCUGUUAGAUAAAAAAAAAGUUAAAAAGAAUCAUCUAUUUUUCUUUUGUACUAUUUGGAAUAGUAUUUCUAUCCCCAUGGCCGUUCUGAUCUCGCUGGCCACGCUCCUCGUCCGUGUGCUGGUAUAGAUAGGAUACAUGUGACUAAUUUAUGUAAAAAAUAAGGAUUACUUUAGACUUGCUGUGCUGGAUAGUUUUGUUUUUUUUAAAAAAAAUUAUAAUAGAUCCAGUGGUAACUAUUAUUACUAAUUCCUAUCGAGUUUGAUGGAUGAAUGCUUAUGUUAUUUUAUGAAAAGAGUAAAGUUUACUUGUUAUGUAGAAUGCAUCUUGCAAGUAAGGUGGAAGCUCCCAAGGAGCCUCUAAUUAGGAAGAGGUAAAAUAUUCUCAAGUGAAAUCACAAUGAACAUGGCGAGUGUAGUGGCUUUUGUCUAUAUCCUUUGGCAUAAUCAUAAUCAACAUGGCAAAUGCUAGUCAUUUUUAUUUUCAUAUUAAGGAUAUAUGGAUAAAUCCUCUUGUAUCGUGCAUAUUUUUUUUCUAGUUUUGCAUAUACACUUCUCUGACCGAAAGCACUAUAUAUUAGUUUAAAUCAAAUAUUGAGUUAACGUUUCUGUCAAAUCCCGAGUUAUAUUAAAUUUUAUAAGGUUGAUAUAAAAGAAUAUAAAUGUCAAAGAAAUUUGUAAGUUACAAAAAAAACGUUAGUGAUAUGGAAUGGAGCAAGUAAAAACUGGAUCCAAAGACCUCUAGUUGCUUAAUGGCCAAAUAUUGCAAAAAUAAAAUGUAUUUUGUAUUUGACAGCGUUGUACACGCGAGUACUCCAUCAAUCAAUAAUGACUUGAGCGGCUAUAAAGGAACCGGAUCAGAUCAACACACCUUCCUUCGCUUUCAAGGCAGCAAAGCACACUGUUCUUCGCCACACUGUCACCACCGUUCCUCUGCUUCCCCGCGCAGAUCGGAGCUCCUCUACGCCAUACGUCUUGCUGCUCCACAGCGCGGGGUGCUUGGGCCGGCUCGCCGGCGGCUCCGCGUCUGGAAGAGCAGAGGCUCGUCGACGAGCUGAGGCCUGAGGGGCGCACGAGGGCCACCCACCUUGACUCAGCGGCAGGAGGGAGGGGCAGAUCGCCCGGAGGACGAGCGCACGCCGUCGAGCAGGAGCGACGAGAAGUGGUACCAAACGUUUCACUCGCACCUUCUUCUUCUUCUUCUUCUUUUUUUUUUUGGGUGGGGGGGGGGGGGACAAAAUCAUGUAUCCUUUCAAGCACACUGUUUCUUGCUCGAGAAGCUCAGCAAGAAGGCCGACGAGGCUGAGGACGCCCUGGACGAGCUCCACUACUUCAUGAUCCAGGACAAGCUGGACGGGACUCGAAAGGCCACUCCGGAUUUGGGCGAUGGCCUCAGCGCCAAAGCUAACCAUGCCCAACAUGCUGCUCGCAACACUGCUGGUAACUGGCUCUUAUGUUUCUCUUGUUGCCGUCCAAAAGAUGAUGUUGCUGCUGCUGCCAUGCAUGUCUCGUGACCACGGUGGCCAUGCUGAAAAGUUGCCAUUCGAUCGGGUGGAAAUGUCCAACAAAAUCAAGCAGCUCAUAGAGGAAUUGCACUCUAACUGUACUCCUGUCUCUGACUUGCUCAAGAUAGUGUCUGGUAGUAACCCUCAGCCACACAUGCCUGCCAUCACUAAAAGGCCUGACACAAGCUCUGAAAUCACACAGGAUAAGUUGUUUGGGAGGGAUGCCAUCUUUGAGAAAACUGUAGAGGAGAUUAUCAGUGUGACACAGAGUGGUAAAACAUUGUCUGUUCUUCCAAUAGUUGGCCCUGGGGGUAUUGGAAAGACUACCUUUACCCAGCACCUCGUCAAUCACACAAGGAUUAAACAAUGUUUUCAUGAUAUUAAUAUCUGGAUAUGUGUGUCAACUAAUUUUGAUGUGCUUAAGCUCACCAAAGAGAUGCUGAGCUGCCUACCUGCAACAGAAAAUGAAGAAAAUAAUGAAACUACUACCAACUUAGACCAGCUUCAAAAAUCCAUUGCACAGAGGUUGAAAUCCAAAAGGUUUCUUAUUGUCUUGGAUGACAUUUGGGAAUGCAGCAGUAAUGAUGAGUGGGAAAAACUAUUAGCUCCAUUCAAAAAGGACGAGACUAGUGGCAAUGUGAUUCUUGUCACAACUCGGUUCCCAAAAAUUGUUGAAAUGGUGAAAAAGGAAACUAAUCCAAUUGACCUGCGUGGUUUGGAUCCUGAUGAGUUUUGGAAAUUCUUCCAAAUAUGUGCAUUUGGUAGAAUCCAAGAUGAGCACGACGAUCAAGAGUUGAUUGGCAUUGCAAGGCAAAUAGCAGAUAAGUUGAAAUGCUCCCCACUUGCAGCCAAAACAGUUGGCCGGUUAUUGAUUAAGAAACCAUUUCAGGAACAUUGGAUGAAAAUUCUUGACAACAAAGAGUGGCUAGAAGAAAAUCACGACAAUGAUAUUAUCCCAGCCUUGAAAAUUAGCUAUGACUACCUACCCUUCCAUCUGAAAAAAUGCUUUUCAUGCUUUUGCCUUUUCCCUGAUGAUUAUAAAUUUGAGAAGCUUGAGAUUAUUUGUUUUUGGCAUUCAAUUGGCAUCAUAGAUUACAGUAGGCAGAAUAAAAAAAUGGAGGAGAUAGGAUCAGAUUAUUUAGAUGAACUAGUGGACAGUGGUUUUCUUAUAAAAGGAGAUGAUAAUUAUUAUGUAAUGCAUGAUUUACUCCAUGAUCUUUCACGGACCGUUUCAUUAGAAGAAUGUGGCUAUAUUAAUUGUUCUAAUUUUGAGGCAGAUAAAAUCCCCAAAACUAUUCGUUACCUAUCCAUUUUCAUGCAUGAUACUCAUAUUCAGAAUUUCAAGGAAGAGAUGGGUAAAUUGAAGGAAAAGAUAGACAUUAAAAAUUUGCGGAGUUUGAUGAUUUUUGGAGAAUACAGUAGGUUACACCUUAUCAAUGUUUUAAGAGAUACAUUUAAGGAAAUAAAAAGUCUCCGUGUUCUAUCUAUAUUCAUGAACUCCCAUAGUUCUUUGCCACAUAGUUUCUCAAAACUUCUCCAUCUUCGCUACUUAAAACUUUUGUCACCUGAUUACCCAGAAAUGUGUUUGCCUAGCACAGUGUCCAAGUUUUAUCACUUGAAAUUUCUAGAUCUUAACCAAUGGGAAUGUGGUUAUUCUUUGGCCAAAGACAUUUGCCGCCUUGAAAAUUUACGCCAUUUUGUUGCUAAGAAAAAAUUUCAUUCCAAUGUUCCUGGGGUGGGAAGAAUGAAACUUUUACAAGAAUUGAAAGAAUUCCAUGUGAAGAAAGAGAGUGUUGGAUUUGAGCUAGGAGAAUUGGGCAAACUAGAUCAGCUUGGAGGAAAACUCAAUAUAUGUGGGCUUGAAAAUGUGAGAACCAAGCAAGAAGCUAAAGAGGCCAAAUUGAUGGAAAAGAGGAAUUUAGUUAAGUUGGGACUAGUUUGGAACAGUGAGCAAGAGUCCACUGGAGAUGAUAUCCUAGAUAGCCUUGAACCACACUCUAAUAUUAGAAGACUUCACAUUGUAAAUAAAAGUGGCUCCGUUGGUCCUAGUUGGUUGUGCAUCAACAUAGUACACAUGAAAAACUUGGAGACCCUACAUCUAGAGAGCAUUUCGUGGGCUAUCCUUCCACCUAUUGGGCAGCUUUAUCACCUAAGAAAGCUGAAGCUAAAAAACAUUGUUGGGAUAUCUCAGAUUGGACCUGACUUCUUUGGUGGUACUACAGAAAAAAGUUUCGCACAUUUGAAGGAAGUAGAAUUUCAUGAUAUGCCAGAACUUGUGGAGUGGGUUGGUGGAGCUAACUGCCAUCUAUUCUCAAGGCUUGAAAGAAUCGGGUGCAUUAACUGUCCCAGGCUCACAGCGUUGCUGACCUCGAGAUGGCCUAUUUCUUCUACAGCAGACAACACCAUAUGGUUCCCUAGUCUUCGUGAUCUUCACAUUCGUAGAUGUCCAGAGUUGUGCCUUCCUCCCUUGCCUCACACUUUGUUAGUAUCCCAUAUUGAUACAGAGUGCUUGUUUUAUGAUAGUACUAAGUUGAACAUUCGAAAGCCCUCUGAAUUGGUUUUCCACAAUCUUGGGGACAUAGAAAGGUUGACAGCUGAGGAUGCAUUACUUUUAUCAUUUAUGGAUCUCCAAAAGCUACGUUCUCUGAGACAUAUAGAGGUCAGUGGAUGUGAGGAAAAAUUUCUGAGAGGACUGGAUGAUGGUGUUGUGCUCCACACAGUCCAAACUCUCAAACUCAGACAGUUUUCUCUUACCAGAAAAUCAUUGUCCAAUUUGUUCAAAUGUUUCCCAGCUCUUUCUCGUUUGGAUGUGAGCACAUCAUCAGAUGAGGAUCAUGAGGAAGUGGUACUGCAGUUUCCGCCCUCCAGCUCCCUGAGAAAUGUCUGCUUCAAUCGGUGUAAGAAUAUGAUUCUGCCAGUAGAGGCAGAGGAAGGAGCUGGAUUCCGUGCCCUCCCGUCGCUCGAGUCCGUGACCGUAAUAAAUUGUGACAAGCUAUUCUCUCGGUGGUCCAUGGGAGGAGCAGCAGCUCAGACUCAGAGCACCAUCUACCCUCUCCCCCCUUGCCUCAAGGAACUCUGCCUUUGUUAUCAGCAAAGCACUCUGCCAAUGGCUCUGUUCGCGAAUCUCACAUCUCUUACCAAUCUAGAACUAUAUAAUUGCAAGGAUAUCACAGUGGAUGGGAUCGAUCCUCACAUCACAUUCAACCUCGAGCAACUGGAGGUGUACAAUUGGAGAGAUGGUGAGGCUGAGCCCUAUUCUGUAGCAGCAGAUCUACUUGCAGCGGUGGCAAGGACCAAAACAAUGCCCGCCGGUUCCUUCCAACUGGUGCGACUUGAUGUGGACAGCAUCUCCGCAGUGCUUGUUGCUCCCAUCUGCACCCGCCUCUCUGAUACCCUCCAGAGGUUAUACUUCCAUUCUGAUUGGCGGACGGAGAAGUUCACGGAAGAGCAGGACGAGGCGCUUCAGCUCCUCACGUCUCUCCAAGACCUGUGGUUUUGUAACUGCAGGGCUCUGCAGUCCCUCCCCCAAGGCUUGCAUUGCCUUCCUUCUCUCCAGGAAAUACGUAUCUGGGGGACUCAUAAAAUCAGAUCGCUGCCCAAGGAGGGCCUCCCCGACUCACUGCGAGUGCUCUACAUAGAUAAUUGCUGUCCUGAGAUUUAUGAGGAAUGCCAGAAAUUAAAGGGAACAAGGCCAGAUAUAAAUAUAAUGGCCUCCAUCGCUCGAGCGGAAAAUUGAAUCCCUGCUUCUGCAUGCCUUUCAAGCACUCAACUCUUCAGUGUACAUCGAUCUGCAGGUUAGUGUUAUAGUAAGCCCAAGAUUAGCUUUUCUAUUCUUAGCAAGUAGAUUAGCACGCGAUCGCCUUCCAGGUGCUCGCGCACGCCGCGCAUGUCGCGCGUCCUUCACGGCACGGCCCAGGGUGCUGGGAUGGCAGUAGCCGAUCACGAGCGUGCCGUGAUUUAGUUACCAUGUAAUAUGCAUGUAUCUUCUUUAUAUAGAAAUAGAGAACAACAGAAAACGCUGCCACAUUAGCAGCACCAAAACUCUCUACGUUCGUUCGUGAAUUACUGUCAUCGGAAUUCUAACAGAAAACACCACCUUUUGCUCCUCGAUUUAUUAUUUUAUUAACUGUGCAAACUGAAUUGUUUUUUUUUUAUAGACUGAAUUUACGAUCUAUAAUUGAGCUCCUGACAUCUCUCCAAAGCCUAUCCGUUGAAGACUGCAGGGCUCUGCAGGCCCUCCCUUCUCUCCAGGAAUUACAUAUCAAUAUAUCAUUGCAACUCAAAAUAUCAUAUGGCUGCUCAUAUCUGUUUUAUGACGAAUGCCAAGGGAAACCAGUUUAAUACAUACAGUUGCCUUCAUUCCUGACGCGGAAAGCUGAAUCUCUGCUUCUCCCUGCCUUUCACGCACUCCAACUCUUCACUGUACACCGAUCUGCAGGUUAGUUCCAAAUAAAAAACCAGCUUAUAUGCCCUUGGAUUUAUGGUUUUAUUGACUGAACUGUUUUAUUUAUUUUUUGCAUAUAGAUAUGACACAUUGUCAUAUGCUUCUGUGUUACAAUUGGAGCCACCAUUCCACUAUUCAUGUCUUAUUUCUUUAUCCAAUAAAUUCAAUCUCUCCUACACUGGAUCAUAUCAAUUUCUAGCAUUUUUCCUGAAUAUUGCAUUGUUUCAAUGAAUCUCAUACUAUGAAUUGGUACUUUUAGGAAGAAAAGAGAAUUGUUUCAAUGAAUAAAGACCAUGCCACUAUUAGUUCAUUCUUGUUGUGGCAUGUCAUGAAUGGCUGUGGAUUGCUUAUUUCCUAGAUCAUGCUGCAUAUGCCUUGUUGAUUAUCUGAUACACACAAUCGCCUUGCUUCUGUUACAUGACAAUGAGAUUAUAUGCUGGCUUGCCUUGCAGGACUCUGCUUCAUCAUACGGUUACACAUCAUCGUUCAAAAAACAUAUAUAAUGAGCACCUAACUUAGAUUGUGGCAAAUUUUGGCGAAGAUCAGGUGACAGUCACAACUGAAGUUCUGUGUAUUCCAUUCUGUUUUUUCUUUUAGAGCUCUUGUGACUUUUUUUUGUAAUUUCAGACCCUUGAGUUUCGUUGGUCUUUUGAAAACCACUGAAGGCAGGAGAUGCUGCAUCACGGAUCAGACUAGAGACUUUUUCUGCAUCGGUCAACCAGCUUAGUGGCAGAACCAAAAAUGCUUUUGAAGUAAUGUGUUUUACUUAACUCUGUACAUCUCUAUAUAAAUGGCAUAAUCCUCUGGAGCCGUUUUGUAAAUUGAUGAUCUGUUGCUUCCUUUGUCAGGACGGGCUCACAAUUGCUUCAAAUCAGAAACAAACCUGCCAGUUAAAGUUCCUAUAUGCCCAAUUCAGCAGUACAUACACCCAGCACUCUGAUUCACUGCAAGUGCUACACAUAUUGCUGUGCUGAGAUUUAUGAGGAAUGCCAGAAAUUAAGCGGCACAAGGCCAGAUAUAAGUACUGGUGCCUAAAUUGCAUGUGUGCAAAGCUGAAUCUCAGCGUCUGUGUUCCUUUCACACACUCAACUCUGCUUCAGCAUGCCAUUGAAUCUACGGGUUAGUUCCAAAUAUUAAAAAAACAGCUUAUUAUGCUCCUCGAUUUAUGAUUUCAUUGACUGUGCAAACCAAUCACAAUUCUUGUCCAGCCCUUCUUUUCUUUAAUCAACAAAUUUAAUUUCUCCUACAGUUUAAACUUUCGAAUCAUAUUACUUUCUAUCAUUUUUCCUCUUCAGGUACAAUCACCGUUCUUUAGUUUUAUUUCAAUCUCACGCUGUGAAUUGGUACUGUUAGGGAGGACAGAAAAUUUCUCAAUAAAUACCAUGUCCUUAUAUUACUUAGUUGAUUCCUCUUGUGGCAUGUUAUGAAUAGCUCCUGAUUUUUAUGUUCCACUCCAUCUUAUUAUAUUAGACGCCCUAAAUCAUGAUGCAUAUGCUCUUUUGGUGAUCUGAUAUUCACAAUCGCCUUGUUUCUGUCACAGCACUAAUGGUUGCCCCACAGCACAGUGAGAUGAUAUGCUGGUUUUCCUUUGCAGAACUCUGCUUCAUCAUCUUGUUACACAUUGUUCAAAACCAUAAAUGAGGCCAAGUUUGGGUUGUGGCAAACUUUGGCAAGUAAAGCCAAGGAAAUUCUCAAUGAGGAUGGCUUGGCGCCUAAGUUUGAGGACUUAGGGAAUAACCGGUGCAUCCAGAAAAUAUCAGGUGAGGCAGCAAGUAUAUCUGAAUAUCUGAACAUAUUGGCAGUAACAAAUGAACUUUUCGUGUAUGGCAUUGUCUCUCUCUUCAUUAAGAUUGUUCCAGGCUUUCUUUUCUUGUAAUUUCAGGCCCGUAACUCUCGUUGUUCAUUUGAAAACCACCGGAAGACAGGAGAUGUGGCAUCACGAGCCAGACCUUUGAUCAUUUGAAAACCACUGAGGCUCUUUCUGUUUCUAUCAACCAGCUUAGUGCAUGGAAGAAUAAAAAAUGCUUUGGAAGUAAUGUGUUUUUACUUAACUCUGUACAUCUGUUUCUGUUUCUUUAUUUCUAUAAAUGGCACAACUCUGAGCUGUAUUGUAAAUUGAUGAUCCGUUGCUUCCUUUGUUUAACAGGAAGGUGUCACAAUUGUGGAUAGUUAGACAUCCAGUAUCAUUGAGUUGAGGAAACAAAGAAAAUUCAAAUUAGAAGGAAACCUGCCAGUUCGAGUUCUCAUAUAUAUGCCGAAUUCAGCAGUAGAUACACAUAAACCCUCGCUCCUGAUCUCUCACCAUGAACCUGCAUCUGCAGCCCAGGAGACUGGUUUGUACGCUUCUCGUGACAACAGGUGCCACAUGCUUGUAUCUUGAUGACAAAUAUGGUAUUAUACAUACUCUAUGAGAAAAACAUGUAGUCACUAUUGUUGUUGGAUCAACAUUAAAUGUUAUGUUUUCUAGUCUUAUGAGAUGGGUUACAGCAUUAGUUUUCGGUAUAUUACAGGAAAGCAUACAGAUGUUUCUAUUUUCUACUAAGAAAUAUUUCUAGUUCCUUUGUUGAUCUACUUAUUUCCUGUUCCUUUAUUUUGCCAAACUAUUUAUUUCUAGUUCCUUUACCCAUUACAGAGUUGUAGUGUAGUCGAGACUCGAGAAUUGUCAGGGUACCAGCUGAGGGUGCCUAAUGUUUUCUUAUGAUUUGUAGCAUUUCAAAAUAUAAGCAUUGCUCCUGCCUGAUUCGUUUGGGAAAAAAACAAAAACAAAAAAGCUAAGCAUUGUGACCAUCAGAAUAGCAGAGUAAGCUCUUUUCUGUGCUUACGAUUUAUUUAUUUAAUUUUUUUUGAAAUAAUUGUGCUUACAAUGAAUUAGCAGAACUGUUUUUUUCCUCAAAACAUAAUUUUUGUCUUCUCGGUGGCGUUAGAUGAAUGGUUCGGAUAAGUUAUUCUUUUGUAGUAUCUACCAGCAAUGAUCCCUUUCUCUUUUCCCCUAUUAAUCCUUUCAGGUUGCUAAUGUAAUGGCUGCUAAAGCAAAACUUCUACUCUAUGAGCAAAAAUCUAUUGAAUCGAUCCAGAUUUUGAGAAGCAGAGAUGUGCUCAGCUAGAAGUACUAGAAGCAAAGAAGAAAGGGGACAAAACCGAAGAGUGGUAAUCCUUUUUUUUAUCAAACUUGCUUCUUAACAUGUUUAAUGCCUUUUUGUGAAUUGCAUACACCUUUUCAAUUCAUCAAGAACAUUCAAUAGGUGAUACUUCACCAAACUGAUAAAUGAAAAUUACUACAUCCGAAUCUUGAAACUAAAUAAAUUAUAUAAGUAGCUAUUAAUGCUCAUCAUUUCUGAACACUUGCGUAAGGGUUGAUUUUUCAGUACUCUGCUUCUUUUGAAAAUUGAGCAUUACAUAAAUUUAGAUUCAUAUGAAACGACAUUAUAUGGUGAUGAGAAGUUUGAGUCCAGUAUCUCGUUUCAUAUUAGCUAUAAACUGUUGGUACUGCCAGUGCCAGCUUGUUCUUAACAACAUCUAAAGAGUAUCACUACAUCAAUUAAACUAUGAUACAUAGUACAUGGUGUUGUUCUUGUGAACCGAUGAAUAUAACUAAUGUUCUCCAUGUUAUACUGAAAGAGUCUCUCUGAACCACCCAUUGCUGAAACAGAUUUCCAUGCAACUGGAGACAUUGCUGUCCCAUGAAUCAAGGCUGGCACAGGAAAACUUAACAUAUGCCAGUGAAAACCGGUUCCUACGUGAGACAGUACAUUUUUAUCAAUUCACCACCCAGGACAAUGCCUUAUUGGAUGAUGAGGGCACAGAUGUUGGAAUUUGAUCUGAAUUCUAACGUAAGUCUUGUUGGAACGCUUGGUGGGCCCACAUGAUACGUGCUGUGUUUAGUGGAAUCAUUUCCCUAUUGGACUAUAGUCCAUCCGUCCUAUAUAUACAUCUUAUAAGCCGCUCGGGAAGAGUAUACGACUCAUUGUAUUCCCUGCAUUUUGUUAAAACUCUUGUCGUGUAGCCAAGAUUGCCAUUGGUGCCCGUGGUUUUUUUCUCGUAAGGGUUUUCCAUGUAAAAAUUGGUGUCUCAUGUUCGAUAUUUAUUUGCAUUAUUUGCUAGCAAGAGAACGUACGAACAACAUCACCAAGUCCUCUUCUAUGCUGAAAAUGUGUUGGCCGUGGUUGAAGAAAAUUCAGCAAAUGACCACCACCCUGUCCCCUCUAGGCCUGAAUCCCCUCCAUCCGUCCUAUAUAUACAUCUUAUAAGCCGCUCGGGAAGAGUAGACGACUCAUUGUAUUCCCUGCAUUUUGUUAAAACUCUUGUCGUGUAGUCAAGAUCGCCAUUGGUGCCCAUGGUUUUUCCCCGUAAGGGUUUUCUAUGUAAAAUUGGUGUCUCAUGUUCGAUAUUUAUUUGCAUUAUUUGCUAACAAGAGAACGUAUGAACAACAUCACCAAGUCCUCUUCUAUGCUGAAAAUGUGUUGGCCGUGGUUGAAGAAAAUUCAGCAAAUGACCACCACCCUGUCCACUCCAGGCCUGAAUCUCCUAUGGUCAGACUGUGCAAACAAUCAUCGCCCAAAUCCAGCAAUUUUUAUAAUGCCUUAAAGUCAUAUGCAUUGGCAUCCGACUUAGCUUCACGCUUGCGACUUUGCCAUUUAUGAUGGAUUGUCAGCAAACAUUUUUCAAAGAACCUUCUAAAGGGAUGUAUCCUGUUUAUGUGGUAAACUAAGGCCUUGUUUAGUUCCGAAAAAAUUUUGGAUUUCGGUACUGUAACAUUUUGUUUUUAUUUGACAAAUAUUAUCCAAUUAUAGACUAACUAGGCUCAAAAGAUUUAUCUCGUGAUUUACAGGCAAACUGUGCAAUUAAUUUUUGUUUUCGUCUAUAUUUAAUACUCCAUGCAUAUGCCACAAAAUUCGAUGUGACAGAGAAUCUUGAAAAGUUUUUGGUUUUUGGGGUGAACUAAACAAGGCCUAAGUUCACACACCUUACCUGCUGCCAUAGGUCAUUGUUGAGCUGAUCAGCAAUUGGAGUCAUUUGAUAAGCUAAAUUGACCUCCUACUUGUCGUGAUCUUCACAAGACAACAAGGUAAUCAGCAGGGCUACAGAACCUUCUAAAGGGAUGUUAUUUGCAGCAUAGGCUAGGGAAUGGUGUGAUUGCCAUCGUUCUGAACCAAAAGAAAAUGCUGCAUUAAACCAUGUGAAUUCCUUUCGGUGAGCAGCAUCUGCAUGCUGCAUGAGAUCAAGCAAGCGGCCGAUUGGCCAUGCUCUACCUGCCAUUCAGUUCGUUGACGAGGAAUUAAUCACCAGCCAUGUUGGCCGGCACAGACACAGGCCAGAGGCCAUACUACAAUUCAUCCAUGAUAGGCAAAGGAAGAUCCAAGACAAGAUCAACAAAUAUACAAAUAGUUGUACAAGCAAAAACUUUUGGAUCUUGUUGUUUUGUGCCUCCCAUUUUCCAGUCCAGAAUUAGUAUAACAAUUUUUCACUGAAAGUGGAUGGAUCAGACCCCACAAAAAAAACAAAUGACAGCUGCAGCUGUGUGUGUGAAAGAAGGCAGCUGUGGCUGCAGCUAGCUUCCGUUCCACCCCACAAGUGCUUGCCUGCACGUCGAUGAUCUGCUCACUUGAGGAUUUCCUCUGCUUUGUAGUGUCUCUGCUUCAUCUUUUUCAGAUGAAUCUCAACCUCAUUUCACUGCACAUACUUCACAGCUAAUUUGUCGUAACAUACUGGGGUUCCAGUAUGACAGUAAUACUUAGCUCAUUAGAGAAGAUGUUGAUCUGCACACAUGGGCUAAUUUAGGCUGGACAAAGGAGGUAUUAAAGAGAUUUUUGAGCCACGCCUUGGGCUUCAGCCCAGGGCCUACAUCCACCCCUGUCUGCACAGCCAUGCUCCUAGUGCACCUUGGCCAGGAAGACAAAUAUAAUACAGACCAUCGCAGCAUCUAAUGGGGAUGGCAUACACUGCUUAGCACGUGUUUCAUUAAGAGGAUUUAGAAAAUAAUUACACGCCCAACGGUACUACACCCUCCAUUUCAAAUUGUAAGUCAUUCCAAGAAUCUUGGAAAGUUAAACUUUUCUAAAUUUGACCAAAUUUAUAUUAUAAAAUAAUAAUAAUUAUUAUUAUUGUACUAACUAAGUAUCAUUAGAUUUUUUUCUUAAUUAUAUUUUCAUAGUAUACUCACUUUACAUUACAAAUCUUAGUAUUUUUCUCUAUAUUUUGGUCAAACGUGAAAAUGCUUUGACUCUCCAAGAUUUUUGGAAUGAUUUACAAUUUGGGAUGGAGGGAGUAGAUGGCAAGCUGCCACCAAGCAUGCGAUUAAACACGAACACGGAUCACCGGCCAACGGUGGAGCUUACACGGUUGUACUGACUAAAAGAACAAUGGUGCGACAAAGACCUGUAAAAUUGAGCAGGCGUAGAGCUAAUUGGCAUGUGCAGUCACACCAGCGACGAGAGGCUCGUGAAGCCGGCAGAGAUCCAGCAGUCAGCUUCAUCCAAAAUGAGGUGAUAGCUGCAAAGGCAUCUUAGAAACUCCAUCGAAGGUCCGGCAAUUACGCUCCUUCCACAGGUUCUAGGAAAGGAGAACCGUGGGAGUUGAAGGACCGCCUAAGCUCAUUGGGCAGCCUCUUCCGCGUCUGCUGCCACCAAUCGCCAAGCUUGGAGUCCUGGUUCAGUGUCAGGUACUGCAGACUGAUGGCAUGGAGAAGUCGGUGCCAACCUCCUGAGAGAUUGUGCCAGUGCAUAGAGGAUUGAGCCAUAGAGUACUGGUGCCGUUGGUGCACCAGAGGAUUGUGUCAGUGCAUCCCUGACCGUGCGAUUCUGACGUCUCUUCCCAAUUGCCUGAAAUAGGCUCAGUGCAAACAACGAGAUUGGUCCAUCCGGCGCCCAGGAGUCCAUCCAGACUUUUGCCAAGGUGUCGUCUCCUAAUCGCACGCUGAUAGAUGCCCUGAACAUUACAUCAAUGUUCUUCUCAGCCCUUGAAGGCAGGAGGGCCUAGGCAGAGGAGGCGUCAGUGCGCCUUAGCCACUGCCACCUAAGCCACAGUGCGAACCAUAGCACUUUCAUGUCGGGGAUGCCAAGUCCACCAUGAUCUUUUGGGGAGCAGACAAUGGGUCAUGCAAUCUUCCAUAUGGGCCAUGUAAUCUUCCAUUUGCCCCCUAAGGCCUCGUUUGUUUUGGCCUGGGAUGGCCUAGAAUGCAGUCUAUUCCGUCUAGAUCAAUUUGGCCCGACUUCAAGUCAGAUCAGACCAGAAAUGACUGUUCGGUUAGAUAUAAAAAUUGAUCAAUCUGGACCCCUUUUCUCCCUUCUACGGCCGGAAUGAAAACGAGUCAUCAUAUGUCUAAAAUAGAAAUAGGCCAGGUUUGAGUGAACCUAACGACGUUCCCUAGCAGUGUUGUGACGGUCAUCCUCUGCGAUCAGCUCGUUCAGGACUUCCAUCACAAUUACGAAGAGCAGUGGUGACAGCAGGUCUCCCUGGCGGAGUCCAUGUGCGUGACGGAUUCUGUGACCAGGGCGUCCGUUGACGUUCACCCUUGUGCUUGCAGUUCGGAGCAUAGCCGACACCCAGUCCCUCCAACGAGCUGGGAAGCCAGCAUGCUCCAACACUUCCAGAAGGAAGGGCCAGGCAACGGAAUCAAAAUGCCUUUGCCAGAUCAACUUUGAGAAGCAUCGAGGGGCAACGCUUGACAUACUUUAUUCAGAACACAUGGUAUACAUUUAACCGUUCCAGGUGAAAUUAGUCUUGCUCAGCUGUGCGGAAUAAAACUAACGCAUAAGAACUCAUAUACUGUCAUGUGUCCAUGGCUCCUUUUGUUAUUUUCUGAUCAGGUAUUCAGCUAGGCUCAGCAAAGUGGGCAAAAGUAGCAGCGGGUGUUUUCUUUCUUUGUUUUUUGCGGUGCCGCUGUGGCAUGGAGGUAUGACCAGCUCCUUUUAUCUAUUGGACUGUCACUAUCACUAUGAUUUUUCUUGGUUAAUUAGCAGAAUAAUUAGGAAUUUAAGAUUAAGUGGCAAUAAUUGAACAGGUGAAGGAGCAUAUGAGAUAUUGUAUUAUAGAUAUUAACUGUCAGACUGUAUUAUUAGUGGGAAAGAUACUGAAAAUAAUUGGUUAAAUAAAUAAGUGCAGUACAGUAGUAGUGCCCUCUACAAAAUCAUAUGCUGGCAUAUAUAGGAAUGGUGUCCAUCCUGGUUUUUGUUUUGCAAAAGUUUCUGGCUACUGUAGAACUUUUGUUUGUAUCUGUUAAUUAUUAUCCAACCAUGGACUAACUAAGCUCAAAAGAUUUAUCUCGUAAAUUACAGGUAAACUGUGCACUUACUUAUUUUUUUAUCUAUAUUUAAUGCUUCAUGCAUAUGCCGCAAUAUUCGAUGUUAUGAGGAAUCUUGAAAAGCUUUUAGAUUUUGAGUGUAACUAAAUAAGGCCUUGAAUGUAACAUCAUCCAACUCUCAACACUGUGUAAUGAUUCCUCGUUCAUGGAAUGAAAGUCCCCAUCAUCGUCGCUACAUACAUAUAUGCUCCUUCCAUUUCUUCUAAAUAUAAGUUAGUGCUGUCUUUUUAUCCCUUAAACACUAGGAGAGAGUAUAGUAAUAAUUAUAUUAAAAAGCCUAUGCACACGUGCAAAAGCAAGGCUAUGCACAAAACAUGUACUAUGAAAAUUUAAUCAAAGCCUAUAUGAAGUAAUAAGUGGCAACUAUGUAUGUUGCGUACGUCAUGGCCAAAACAUCAUCACGUCAUGAUGAAAAGGGAGUACUGAUGAUAUGCACAAGAUACCUUCACUCUACAGCAAAAUCAAAAGAACAAAAACAACGUAUUGAUAUGAUCUUAGAGCAUUUCUAAGGAUUUUGUAUUUGAGGUUUGCAUUUGAGUAAUUUGCCAAAAAGCUCCAAAAAGGAUAUCCAACGGUUUUGCAUUUGGAGUUUGCAAUUUGGGCAACUUGGCAAAUGAGGGAGCAAACUUGGCAAAAAUGCCAAGUUGUGGAUGGCUUUGCAAACCUGAUCGCGCGAGCAAAGUCACGCACAAGGAAAGCGUGCGCGCCUGGAGACCUCCUAUUUUUAUCCUUUGCCAAGUCCAAAUGCCAAUUCCCUUAGAGAUAACCUAUUUUUAUCAUUUGCAUUUUAUUAUGGGAGUUUGCAAACAACAACAAAUGCUAAGUCAAUUUGCCAAAGCCUUUGGAGAUGCUCUUACCACACAAUCCACAACAUUACUCAACCAUUAAGGGCUUGUUUAGUUCUAAAAAAUUUUGCAAAAAAAUUCAGAUUUCCUAUCACAUCGAAUCUUGCGGUCCAUACAUGGAGCAUUAAAUAUAAAUAAAAUGUCUAUAAUUUGUGAUACGAAUUUUUUGAGCCUAGUUAGUCUAUUAUUAGACAAUAUUUAUCAAAUACAAAUGAAAGUACUACAAUGCCGUUUUUGUAAUUUUUUUUGGAACUAAACAAGGCAUAAAAAGGUCGAUAUCGAAAUGUCAAUUGAUUAAAUGUUGCAAUCAAAAAAUUGUACUGUACAUAUUGUGGUCUAAAGGCCAUUAACAAACAACACUAUUAGUGAUUCCAGGUGCGUGGAAGUAUGCUUAGGAUCUGUUUGGUAUAACUCAGCUUCACUAGUGAAUCGGCUUUCUUUUUUUUUUGGUUUCAGCUUUAUGGAGAACUUCAUUAGUGGAGCUGAAGUUGUUUUCGAAAAACAUUAUGCAAAAAACAAGCAGAUUAGUGCAGCCAGAGCUCUUGAAUUUCCAUAUCUCUCUUCUUUGGUACAGCUUCCACUUUCAGAGCAAGCUUUCUCACAACUGCAAUACCUCCAGGAAGCAAUACUAAGCAGAUCAGCAAAUUCAGAAAAGGAUAAUUGGACCUGUGUGGGUCAAGCAGCUCAUUAUUCAGCAAAAAAAGUUUACAGGUUUUUGGCAGGUGCAACUAACAACAAUAUCUUCUUUAAAUAGAUCUGGAAAAAUAAGGUUCAGCCAAAGCACAAGGUCUUCUUUUGGCUUCUGAUAAAAGACAGACUAAACACCAAAAAUUUGCUAAAAAGGAAGAAGAUGGACAUCAACUGUUACAGCUGUGCCUUAUGCAGCUACUUAUCUGAAGAAACAGCACAACACCUUUUCCUGAAUUGUGAUUUUGCUAGAAUGUGUUGGAAUUUGGUGGGUGUUGACAUCCCCCUGCAGUCUAAUAUAGAAGAGCUCAUCCCUUUGAUCAAGGCGCAAAUCAACUCUCAGUUCUUCAUGGAAACCAUCAUUUUGCUGUGUUGGACCAUUUGGAGUGCAAGAAACGAACUCAUUUUCAGAGGUAAUGGAUCAAAUAGCCUGGACUGUGCAAGAUUCUUCUUUAAAGAGCUAAGACUCAUCCGUCACAGGCUGAAGCAGGACCUACAUCAAGCCCUUGGCUCAUGGAUUCAAUCCCUAGAGCUUAUUGCUGCUUGAUGCAGAUCUUUUUUAUCUCCUUUUUUGUUCCUUAAUGUUUUUCACCUUGUUUUAGUUUAGCUUCAGUUUAGUUUUUUAGUCCUUUAGCUUAGUAGUCUUUCUUGCUCCUCCCUUUCUUUGUAUCUUCUUUCAUCCUGUUUGCGCUACCUUUGUUAAGUUUUUAAUAUAUUCGCUGCAGGGGUUCACACCCCUCCAGAUUACUCAAAAAGAUGGCUUCUUAGGGAAAGAUAGCAGAGAAGGGACUUUGGAAGCUAGUAUUUUUUAGCUUCACCAGAGUUCCUGGGCAUGUGAGCAUAUUUUGAUGACUUGGGAGAAAUAGUGUUUGGUAGGAGGAGUUCAAAAAUAACUUUGUGAAGUUGAACCGUACUUCCUACCAAACAGGCCUUAACUUAAUUGAAAGGCUGACAUGAAGUGGUAUUUGCCAUAGAAAUUUAACCUUUAUUUGUUAUUCAAUUUCAAAUUGUAAGUUAGUAAGUCAUUCUAAUUUUUCUAGAUAUAUGGAUUUUAAUAUGCAUCUACAUAAUUUAUAUCUAGAUACAUGAUAAAACUGUUUCUAAAAACUAGAACGACUUACAAUUUGAAACUGGAUUAGGUAUUGUUUGUUUUUUAACAUGUAUUGUUUGGUUCGUUGUGCUCUCUACCUCUUGUCUCGUAGAACUUGGCCGUGGAAACACAGACACAACUAUGACGCAAAAGGUUUUCUAGCCGUUAUUAAAGUUAAAACCAUUUCUAGCUAGCUAGGUUGUUUUCUGAAAAAAAAAAAAACUAACACCAAAAAAAUUCUUCUCUAUUUGACAGCAAAACUUCAAAUCUUUCGUAUAUAUCAAUUAGUCCAUCUUUUAUUCUCUAAUUGACACUAUCAUCAACUUUAUGAACACACCAGCGGAAAUGGCCACUCGGGCUUUGGGCGUGCUUCGUCUAUUUGCCAGGCACACUUCGCUGCCUUGUCGAGCUAGGAUAGCAAAGACUUGAGUGUGGUUAGAUGUCAAGCUAGUUUUUAUUUGAAACAUGCGCGAGCGAUCCUAGCUUUGCUACAUAAAAAGAGUCGGCUGUGUCUGACCAUGAUGUAUAGGUAUAUGAAGCGGUGUUCUUUUGGGUGGGCAUUCAGUGGACCCUAAUAGUGUACUCGUGUUGUUUUGAAUUUUGAGGUGAAAAUCAUCCGUUCGUAUUUAUAAUUAUCAUCCCUCAACUAUAUUAUCUUACCAUUACUAAUUAUAGGCCUCAAAUCCUCAAUAGAGACACCAUGUUAAUUACCAAACACGCUAAAAAAGAUAAACACUAAAAAAUCUCACGAUAAUCAGAAACAUCUAACUCUAAUUGGAAUACUCUAAUCAUCAUCACUGAUUGUAGCUACUGGAUCCAUUAUAAUUUAUAAAAAAAAUUCUCUCCUCUAUCAUUACGAAAAAUAUAUAAUGUAAUUAUGAAUGAUAAUUCAAAAUACACUAUAAUAACUUUAUAGAUUACCCACCUUUGUAAUUUUGAAAGAUAAUGCAAAAUGACCUGAUAAAUUUACAUUCAACCAACCCAUAUAUAUUGUUAUGAAAGAUAAUAUAAAAAUUAUCUUUAUCUUUAUAUCUACCUCUACCUCAACCAUUAUAAAAAUAAACAAAAAUAUCUCUCAAAUCUAUAUGUGAAUACUAAUAUAUGCUAUUACAAAAAAAUAAAGGGGUCAACAUGGAAGUAAUUAGGGCACUUUGUUCGCUUGAGCUUAUCUGCCGAAUCAGCGAAUAAUAUUUUCAGUCGUGGCUUAUCAGCCAAGCAAACAAGCUUAGGUGGACUAAUUUUUAGCCAAACUUUCAACUAGUUUUUAGUAAACUGGUCCGCUCCCAUCUAAUUUGGGCUAAUAAUUUUUAGCCUUAACUAGUAACUAGAUGUAGCUGGUCCAACCAGAUUAGCAAUAGGAAUUAUAGGGCCUUGUUUAGUUCUCAAAGAAAUUUACAAAAUUUUUCAGAUUCUCCGUUACAUCGAAUCAAGCGACACAUACAUAGAGCAUUAAAUAUAGAUAAAAAAUAACUAAUUACAUAGUUUAUCUGUAUUUUGCGAGAUGAAUCUUUUAAGCCCUGUGAGCGCAACGUGGCUUCUGACCCGUGAGCUUGCCGCGUCGCAUGAGUACUACCCAACAGAAGAAUUUUGUUGUGCUGACUGGACGUGAGAGGAGCUGGCACCGUGGCACGAACACCGGGCCCACAUGCCAUCCAGCUGCUCAAACCACUCGGGUCCUCACUUUAGAGAAGCUUCACGUGCAAUGCAAAAAGACCCCUCGAAGAAUGCAAACGUUACGAAUAGGUACGUGGCCGCGAGACGGCAAAGCCGAAAAGCGGCGAACGGCAUGCUCCGCCCCCUCAGACACUGACAAACGUCCCCCCUCGGUAUCCGUCGACCCACUUUCCAGCGAGCACAAACGGUAAUCCUUCACGCGAACGAGAGACGCGCCGCCCAGGGGGCAAAUCGGUAAACUCCACGUGCGCUGCCAACUGUCUCCAUGAGCCGCCCGCGUCCUUUUAUUCGCAGGAGAAUUGCUGGCGCAAACUGUGUUUCCAGUUAAGCCCCUAGGGAAAAAAACACGUAUUUAUUCGCAUUAAAACCCUCGUGUCCAGAGAAAUCUUCUCGAAGACCUCCUCAAACACUUGUUCUUGAAUCCCCAAACCCCUCCUCGUCUUCACUCCCUUCUUCCGCGUCGCAAUCAUUCGUGGGGGCGCAUUACUCCUGCCGCCCCUCAAUCCCGAAUUUCUGCGGCGUCCACUCUCCCGUCUCCCCACUAGGAUUCCGCAAGAUUGAUCGCGUUCGCCGCCUCCCAAUUUCAGUAUCUUUUUCAUCAGGGUCGGCGUCGGCCCGAUUUGUUGCCGUCGUCCUCGUCGCCGCCCCGCCCACCACUCCACUUCUUGGAGGACUCGGUCCUGUCCUGUCCUGACUCCGCUCCACCUGUCCUCCUCGCUUCCAUCGCCAUUGCCGCCCUCCUUGCUCUGCUCCCUCCAAGCCACCUGCUUUUUUGGACCGCACCGGUCUGCCGGGGCGGCGUAAAUGCCCGCCCGUCCGUGCAGAGGAUCCCAGAGCCUUCCUUCUCCGCCCCAAAUCCCGUCCUUGUUGACACCAGGCCAAGGUUCUUGGACGCGUGCUGACCUUACCAGUAUCCACAGAUGAGGAACGCGUCCUGACUCCACUUGCCCAGCUCAGGCGGCUGCUCCGCGAGCUCCGCCACCCACUGACAUGGGCUUCUUGAUCUGCUGCACCCGCCUCCUCCAGCUUCUGCUGCUGCUGCUCGUCCUCACCACCGCCACCCCACCAGUGGCGGCGCAGCCGCAGCCUUCAUCGCCCGCCAGGGCCCUCGACGCGGCGCUACAGGACUACGCGUUCCGUGCGUUGUCGGCGCGCCCGCGCACCGGCAUUGUCUACAACGCCACGGUGCCGGGCAACCUCACUGGCAUCGCGGCGUCCGCGCUGCGCCUGCGGAGCGGCAGCCUCCGACGGAGGGGCUUCCCCGGCUACUUCCAGUUCGCGCUCCCGCCGGGCGUCGUCGUGCAGCCGCACGUCGAGCGGGUGGUGCUCGUGUACCACGACCUCGGCGACUGGUCCGACCGCUACUACCCGCCCCCCGCCGGGUACGCCUACCUCGCGCCGGUCCUGGGGCUGCUCGUCUACGACGCGGCCAACCUGUCGGCCGUGGGGGUGGGGCUGCCGGAGCUCAGCAUCGUCGCGUCGGGGGUGCCGAUUUCUGUGGCGUUCGAUGGUGUCCGGGCGGUGCCGGCAGGCGGCGCGGUGGCGAGGUGUGUUGUGUUCGAUUUGGAUGGCGUGCCGCAGUUCCGGGACCUGGAGGGAACCAAUGUGUGCACGACGUAUCGGCAAGGGCACAUCUCGAUUGUGGUGAAUUCUAGUGAGAUUGCUCCAGCUCCUGCUCCUGCUGGCGUGAUUGCUCCGCCGAUACCGACUGAGGGAGGUGGUAAGAAGGGGAGCUCAGACGCGUGGAAGAUUGCUGUCGGCGUUGUUGGGGGUGCAGCAGCAUUGGGGCUGUUGGCUGCGCUUCUGCUUUGCUUGGUGAGGUACAAAAGGGAUAAGAAGCUUCAGCUCAUGGAACGGAAUGCGGAGGUUGGGGAGACAUUGAGGAUGGCACAGGUUGGGCGGACGCAGGCGCCUGUGGCAUUGGGGACGCGGACACAACCGGUGAUUGAGAACGAUUAUGCUGCAUAGUAGAUUUUUCAAUUUGCUUGAUACUUCUGCUAACAAGAAGACUUGAUAGUGCUGGCUAGAGACAGGAUUGUCCAUUGGUUGCUUGACGUCGGCAAGUUUUCUAUAUCAGCGAGGGCAAUGCUAGCCACUAAUUUCAGAGCCCAGGUUCUGCUCAGUGAGGGUUCAGCACAUUCUUUCGGUGGUGUUCGGAAGCUUAUGUUUUGUACUGCGGCGAAUGGGAGGCUAUUGUUCAUGUUCAUAGUUGCCAUGUUCAUAUGUGGGGAGUCCCUUUCAUCUCCAAGCAAGCAAUGGAGGGGAAAUGUUUGCCAUAUCGGAUUUGGAAUCCCCUAUUAAUUUUUUUAUUGGGUUUCUGUAUUCAAGAGGAAAUGGAUUUGGCAAUAAAGCUGAGGUAACAUUCAUUGCACAUCGUGUUAUACUGUGCUGGAGAAAUUCAUUCAUCCAGUUGCAAUUUCUUUUCUUUUCUUUUUCUUCUCCAUUUGAUGUUUAGAUGACUCCGAAGAUGAUGUAGUGAUGUAAAUGUUCACUUGUCUAGUGCUGUGGUAAUUAGUCUGAUUGUGAUCGUUGAUUUCAUGGACAAUUGUGUUUACAUCCGCUGUGUAUGUUUUCAGGCAGCAUUCAUUUUUUUAUUAGUGUUUGGGAAACAACUUAAUUUCUAAUUAUGUGUUUUUAUGGCCUGACAGUACUGUCAGUUCUAGAUUUUGUUAAUGCUUACUUUCAUCAGGUUCCCUUUUUAGCACUUGAAAGCCUGAAAUGUAGGAAUGAAGGUAUGGUCAAUGUAGGUAUGACCAGUUGGCAAAAUAAAUAGAAUUAAACAGAGGAAUUCAAGAAAUUCUCUGAUAGAAACUUUCCAAACUUGCUGAUUUUCUUUUCUCUGGUAGUCUUCUGGCUUGAUUUUCUUUUCUCUGUUAGUGGGGACAUAGACGAUCAGCUAAGAAAAGAUGUAAUGUAAGCAGGUAGCGUACAAAUAAAUGUGAGCUAAACAGAAGGGUUGAAGACUGCUCCACUUGAAAAUUUCCAAAAGCUUAUCUUUUUUUGCUCGUAGUAUGUUCUUCAAUCAUUAAGUUGGUUGGAAAUGUUGUAAGCUUCACGUAGAGCUGUCAGUGAGGAGCUAGACGAUUAACAAAGAAAAGUAGAUGCAUUCAUCUUUUCGUUGAGCCAAUUAGCACUUGUUACACAAUUCUCCUUACUUAUCACUGUUACUGUUAUAGAAAUAUGAAAGAUGAACCUUUGGAGAUCCAUUCUCUUUGUUUUGCUUUGUACACUCAUGCUGUAGCAUGUAACAUCUGUUUCUCAGAAAGUAGUCUAGCUUUCAGUUGUUUCCUCAAAAAGAUUGCAUAACUGAGGGCAUUAACAGUUUGUGCAAGGAUCAGUGUGUGAGCUGGCCAAGAGCUUUAGGCCGGCUCACUUUGUUAGCAUGCAGUGUUCUUUUAGGGGCUGCACUUUGUUGCUGCAUGUUCAGUUUUCAUGUUGGGGAUGAUGAGGAGCAUGAAAGAAGUGAGAUAAGAUUUUGUACUUGGUAGUAGUAUAUGAAUUGAGAUGUGAUUGCCACUUGAAAAGUUGAAAUUUGGUGCACAUGCAUCAUCUCUCAAAAGUCCAGUCCCUUUAUUCAGGGCUACAUGGUAUGGUGCUGAAACGAGAAGCAACCUUGAGUAGUAUCAGUAGUGGAUAACUAGCAACACUUGCUGUUUUCACAAGCAUAUGUAUGUACUCCAUCUAGCAGUAAGCUAAAUUAGCUAGACCUGCACACACACGUGAGUGACAAGUACCUUGUUGCAUCCUGCAAGGAGUAAUAAGGUGAGGCCAGCCAAGGAUGGCAGACAGAAUGGAUUUGUAUUUGUAGAGUUCCCCAGCUGGACUGCUGGAGCUUGGAAGAGAAAAGAAACAGAAGCAAGGUGACCCCAGAAUUCUUGCUGCUUGUGGAGGUGGCAAAACCAGCAAGGUGUGUUGUUUCUUGUUUGGCUGGAGAAGAGAAGACAGGGAGCAGCUGUGGUGCCUCUGUCUGAGUUCAUCAGGCUUUUUGGAGGGAGUUGUAGCUGGCUGUGGUGGCGUGUGCCGUGGCGCCUCAGCUUUGGCGCCGUAGCGGAAUCUUUGCUGUCACUAUGCACGGAUUCACAGCUCAUUGGCAUCUGCUGCUCGCCUCUGCUCUGGAAUGCUUGUUUUGUAAUGGGAAGGAUGCAGCUGUAGUGUGUACUGGAGUGUUAAAUUAACUGACUGUUGUUGGAGUACCCUAUGCAGUUUGUUUUGUGCUGGUUAACACAUAGCCUUUCUGAGUUCCUGCUAACCUCCACUUCCAUUUCUCCCUGCUGUUAAUCCGAGUGAUGAACUGCCUUCACCACCAUCUAAAAAUGCGGUCUACAGUCUUGAACACUAGUUUUUUCAUAUCUCAACUUUUCACCCAUGUUUUGGAUAUAAAAGGGGAAAAAAGAACUUUAUAUUGAAAAGUUUUCCACUACAAAGUUGUCUACUAUAAAGAAUAUUUUCAUCUAAAACCAUAUGAAAAAUGAUAUGCUAUAUAUAUAUUUAAAAGACGUCAUCUAUGGAUGGACUAAAUUCCGCCCCUUUCAAAGAAGAAAAAUAGAUAUUUUCAAGAAAAAUAGAUAUUUUCGUACCAUCCUUUGCUGAAAAUUGAUAUUUUGUCAAACGGUGAAUUUUUGGCUUUUCCCAUGCUCUAGAAAAUUGAUAUGUAAUGCUACCCUUUUAUUCUCCAAAACAAAACAGAGAAAGCUAAUUACGCUAUCCUGUAGUGAUGCUACUUUCCAUCCUCUAGAAUUAUGUAACGCUAGUUUUCGUUUACGUUCCUUCAAACACGUAAUGGUAGAUUUCGUUUUCGCGCUUUAAAGCUGUAGGAUGGAUGGAUGCAUGAUGCAAUGCAAUCCAGUGAAGGCAAGCAUUCAAAUUUCAGGCUAAAAAGUAGUAUACUAGACUAGUGUAUAUAUUACAGUCAUCAAGUUUUUGACACUAGCAGUUCCUGGUGCUAAUUUCGUUACCCUGCGUUGUUCCUGCUAAAAUCUGUCGCAAGCACAAGCAAUUCCUGCUAUAAACCUCCGCUUGAUCCAUUCCAUUUGUUCGUCUGAGUGACGAACUGCCUUCACCAACAUCUAAAAACGCAGUCUUGAUCAUCCUCAGCCCACUGGCCUGCUAUCUCCGAUCCUCCGGCUGCUAGAGACGGCAUCCAUCCACGAUCGCCGCCUGCCUCCAUUGUCGACGAUGCCAAAGCUUCACUGCAUCAGUCGUAGGCGAAGGACGCCUUGUGCCGCCUGCGAGCCUUGCCGUCGGAGCACUGGGAGCUCCUGCCGCCGCUCUUCUUCCUUCUCCUGUCCGCCGCCGCGGGCCCGCCGCCGACGCCGAACAUGGUGAUGCGGCCGAAGCCCCUCGACAGCGACGCGAGGAACGCGCGGCCCUGCUCCCCGCCGUGCCGCCCGCCGCCGUCCCCGCCGCGCAUCCUCCCUUGCUGCUUCAUCAGCCCCUGCUCCCGCUCCAGCUCCGUCAGCCGCACCCGCAUCCGCGAGAUCUCCAGCUUCAGCUCCCGGUUCUCCCGCCGCAGCGACGCGUAGUUGUCCCGCUGCGGCGACACGCACGAGCUCGGCACGCCGCUGCUGCUGCACACGAACCGCUGCGACAGGGACCCGUCGGCGCCCAGCCCGAGGCCGCUCACGCACCCGGACCCGCCGCCUGAGAAGGACGACUUGAGGCGGAGCUGCUCGAAGUAGAGCACGCGCACCACCAUCUGGAUCGGCAGCCGGUCGUUCUGCGCCGCGUGGCUCGACGCGUCCUGCGACAGCUUCUGGCAGUCGAUCAGCUUGCACAGCUUCUUGCACUCCGACUCCGUCAGAGAUGGAUGCGCCUGUUUUUUUUUUUUCCCCGCAGCAAACAUGGUCGGUCAGCCAACAAAUUCUCUUUCUCUAGACAGAUAAUCAAUCAAGAAUAACAAAGCAAACAGCGAGUGCAAAAAUGUUCAGGCUAUGAUCAGACAUAAAGAUUGAUCAGAGAAGAUUUUUCAGUCAUCAGUCACACGGAGAGCAAAGUUCAGUGAUCAGCUAAAUUUAUUCUGGUUGCAAGAUUGAUCAGACAACUGAGUUCAACCACAGAAAUCAAAGCCCAGUGGUCAGCUAGAAUAUGUUACAGUAUUUUACUUGCAUACACAUAUUUUCAUUUUUUUUUCAUGCUAUCUAGUUACAUGGGAAAUAUGCCUACUCAGAAUAUGGAAUUCAUUGGCACUAAAUAAAAUAUGUUUUUAUUCUGCUUGAUAAAUAAAAUAUGUUUUUAUUCUGUUUGAUCAGCUAAAUUUAUUCUGUUUGAUCCUAUAAAUACCAUGUUUUGCUCAAUGAUAGAAUUUUUAUGCAAUUUAACUUCAGGCAUGUGCAUUGAUCUGGAAAGUUUAAUCAGACAGAGAUCAAGGUCGGGCAAUCAGCUAGAAUUUAUUCCAUUUGAUUGCAUACACACAGUUUCAUCAAGACUGAAUAUAAGAUAGAUAUGAAAUAUGCCUACUUAGAAUAUGGAAUUCUUUUGUCACUAAAUGAACUAUGUAUAUUAAACCUCUGCAUUUGCUGAAACAGCUACAGAAGUGUGACAUUUCUAGUCUAAUAAUAAUGCUUUACCUUCAGGUAUAUGUCGAUGGCACGAUAGAGUCCAUCAUCAACAAUGCGUGCAUAAUCUGGCAACAGUUCAAUCAGAGCCAUGAACUUCUGCAGUUUCAGAUAGGGAUCUGGUGCUACCUCUGCAAGAUAACCAUCCAUUAGUCUUCCAACCUUCAGGACUGAACUGUGGCUUGGAGACUUGAGUCCGUCAGAGUCAUAUCCACAAGGUGACAACUCUCCUGAACUAUCUUCGUCUAUCCUCUGCAAGAAGUUCACCAAUAUACGGUGGACAGUGUCAACGUCAAACAUCGAGUCACUUGUUUGCGUGGAGGGGAUCAGCAGAUCAUCUAGUGAUGCCAUCUCCAGCUGAAGGCCAAUCCUUUUCUCGACUUCGAUUCUGCAGUCUAGGCUUGCAUCAACUUCAAUUGCCAUUCUCAGCAUGCCAAACAGGAAGGAUAAAGUAACCGUUGUAAUAUUUUCAGUCGCUAACAGAUCGAUGAGUGUCUCAACAAUCAUUCUUUGACUGUCUCCGACAAAGGGACCUGAGUCCCAUACAUGUCGUCUUUCGACACCCUUGAGUGAUGUUUGGGCAUAGUGAGUAAUAGAGGUGCCAAUACUCUCAGGCCUGACCCCAUUUCUUCUCAUUGCAGCAAUCACACGCCGAUAGUGGUCAAUUCUCAAUGCAGAAAGGUCUUCAACCCACCAAUCCUGGCAGUGCAUACGCAGCUUUGCAGAUCCCACAUCACAUUCCAAGUGAGCCAAACCUGAAACCAGCUGCUCCUUACUUGCAUUCACCGCGAUUGCAUCGACACACCUAUCAACAAGCCCGACUUCCUCCACUACUGGGUCCAAUCCAUCACAUUUACAAAGGACUUCCAGGGAUUUAUCGAGGUUCUUGAGCACGAUCUCGUUCAAGUACGUCUCUGUCCUGAAAAUGAGGUUCUCCUCUUGAUAGUCCUCCGUCAUUUCCAAGUACUCUGCAACGCAUCGCAGAUGGGCCACAUUUCCCGUGGUUAUUUCGAAAUUGCUACCGUAACAGAACUUGGCAGCAAGUUCGAAUGCAAAAGCUCCCCCUGGUACAUUUACAAGCUCCAGCUUUAGGAGAUCUGGGUCCUUGGAGUCCACUACCAUUUUCCGUACUCGUCCACACCGAGAUACUAAAGGGAACUGCAAAACAAGCACACAAUUGUGGGGCAUGGUGAAACUUAAUCCAGCAAAGGAAGCUUAAAAUUUUGCUUCAUGGGUUAUGCAGAGGGAUGUACCAAUUAGAUUUCUCGGUUUAUACAUAAAUUAUUGACUAAUCCUUCAAAAUUUGCAUGAUUUUUACAUAAUAACUGGUGAACUCAAAUUUCCCUAUUUGUUCAUUGCUUGUUGCUUUUGGAACCUUUAGAAUGACCAAAAACAUCUUACAGGAUGAACUGCAUCCAAGCUGGCUGAUACGUGAUACUCAUUAUUUUUCCAAAGACAAAUGCGAGAAUAUUACAGGAAGUGAAUCACAGAUUACACCACAUAAGAGUUCAAAUCAUUAGUCACUACUACAUCAUUUGUACGGGUUUCAUAUGCGGAAAAAGCAAUACCCAUUUCUAUGUCCUCAAACAAAAGCAAGUGUCCAUUAUUUCAUUCACUACUGGUCCUUCGCCAAGCAAUCUAUUAGAAGUGGCAUGCCCACCCCAAACAUAUGGAGUACUGGUCCAAACAUGGCACUGAACUUCCAGCAAAGGAAAAUGCGGCUGCCUAAACUGAAGAAUUGCCUAAACAAUCACGCUGGUGUACCGACGACCCAACGCAGAUUCAUAUGGGAUGGAAGCAGAGUGGUGAAAUGGAGUAUAUACCGACCUUGUGCAGGAGAAACGACUGUCCAUCCACCGAUACGGUCACAUCCUCAGCGACAUCUGAAAAUAUCCUGCACAAGCACAGCAGGUCAAUGCAAUGUCCCCCAAAAGUUUUAUUAGACGCCAAGAUUAGUUAGCACUUGAGUUGGCAAUGUGUAGUAAACGUCUAGUGCAUUGCUUGUAAUGACACCAUUUUGCCUUUGCCUCACUCUCCCUCCCAAGAACAGCGGAUGCUGAAGAAUCAACUGACUGAAAGUCUGAAACAGACUGUUCCAGGGAAUGGCUGCUAGUACCUGCUUGUACCACGGAACAGGUAAUGAAAUUUCACUCUCUAGGAAAUGAUAACAAAGCACUGUAUGAACUAAGAAAGGAUGUUGUAGAGAUCCAGGAGUGGUGGCGACUGAUGGUAUUAUGAAGAGAAGCAGAAGUGGCAUCUGCUGGACGGGACCUUCAGAGGAGCAAAAGCAAUUUUUCCCCCCUUUUUCAGAGUGGCCGUGGGAUGCUUGUCCUUGCAAAACGAUAGAUGGACGGAGUUGAGAAGUGGAGCCGGGGAAGCAAACGGUGAAGGGAGGGAUCAAAUCUAAAGAGGUAAGAAAUCGCAAGCUGUUCCUGUUCCGUGUUGCCAUUAUGCAAUGCAAUGCAAAGGAGAGCGGACGGGAGUUGGAGAUGGAAUGGGGAUCCUUGCUGACCUCCUGUGACUACUGACGGCGGUGCCGCAGAGCCGCGGCGACGUGGUGGUGGUGGUGGUAGAGAAGGGGAACAACACGGCGGCAGCGUCGCUGCCCAUCCCCAUGCCUCCUUGCUUCUCCGGCCCGCCGCCUGCUUGUCUCUGUCUCUCCCUCUUGUUGUGAUGCUCUCAGGCAAACCAGUGGGGUGGAUGUGUGGUCUGGAGGAGUAGGAAGGAGGUUGGUUACCCGAGGAGAAACGGACGAGGCCAAGGAAUGACUGUCGUCGUUGGCGCGCGACGAUAACAAAUUGGGAGCCUGGGAGCGGAAGAGAGGAGGAAGAAAGUGAGUGCAUGCAGACAGCGACAGAGCAUCGUUUGUUUUGUUGUGUCUUGAUCUUGACGUGGGAGGCAGAGCGGAGGAGGGAUUAGGAGGAACAAAGAUUAUGAUUAGCUCAGCGUCUGAGCCUGAGAGAGAAAAAGGAACCCCCCAUCAUCAUUCAUCAGACUGAUGACUGAAAAAAGCGACUCGGGGAGGAAUAGUUGGGUGACUAGGGGACAACCCCUGCUCCACUGUCAGUAUUCUGGCUGCUGCUGGCUUUGGCUUGAUUGAACCCAACGGAAUGGAAUGACAAGCCGUUCAAUGGUUAGGUAUUGAUCUUGUGUUCCCAUGCUCAUGAAGUACUAGCAGCCAUGGUUUAUACUACAAUUUUUUUCCCCGCAAUUUUGUCACUGCCACAACUACUCCUACACAAGGCUCUCAAGUUUGCCGUGUUCAUUGAAACAUGUCUGUUUGUACUUGUUUCGGUGCUUUGUUACCUGAAUGGCCACAUGUAAUUGUAAUGUGAGAGUACUAGUAGGAUGCAAGAAUGGGCUUGUUUGUUCGUGAGCUACAACAAGGACUACUAGUGGGAGAGAGUAUUGAACAGUAGGAAGGAGAAUUUCUCAAAACAGUAGGAAGGAGGAGUGGAGUCAAGCGAAGGCUGUCUGUCGGUCGGUGAACGAGUGGAAAUGAAAUGAAAUGAUGCCCGAGCAAUGCCAAGGCAGUCGUCCACCACCAGACGUGCCUGCCGGGGCAUGCCCUUUUCCACUUUACCGCUUUGCCACACUCUGUCCAGCUUGCCGCUUUGUUGCCUAGUACCAGUAGCCUAGUACUACUUGUAUAAUUCACAUUCCCAAAAAAAAAAAAAAGCAACCGAAGAGCCAAAUGAGUUUACGUUUAAUAAUAAAAAAUAUACCGAAAACAUUACUAAUUUCGAUAUCUGAAUUAGUAAGUAUUGUCGUAUUCACAACAUACAGUAUAGAGUAUUCAUGUUUACUUAAAAAGUCGUAACUAAAAGUAUUAUUCGUUGAUUUAUCGUGAGAGAAAUCCUAACUUGAUCCAAAAUUUGAGGAGAAACAAAAAAAAAAGAUUAAUCCGAUGUUAGAGCUGCAUUCUUUUUUUUUGUUUGUUUUAUUAGACGGAGCAGGUAGUAGUACUUACUCCUAUCUUCUAACUUUUCAGACACACCGCCACAAAAAGCAUAACCACGGACCACCGCUGCUGUGGGGUUUCCUUGCUCUCGUUGAGGUUGAGCCGGCCGGCCGUUGACAACGCAUAUAGCUGAGGCUUUGUUUCGAUGCAGUUAGGAUUGACAUCAAUCCAUAUAUGCUGGGAUGGAUUUGAAUAAAAUUCGAACUAAAAUCUAGCACAAUCCAUCCUAACACAUGUGGAUUAAGGUGGAUCCAUGAACAUCUAAACAAGGCCUACUAAGUGUGAGUGUAUAUAUAUGCAUAUGCUCAUGACUGAUGAUCAUUAUUACUAUCAGUCCACAACAGAAAACAGAUCUCGAGUCAUCUGUAGAUGCAUGCAACGCAGAGCAAGCACUGUGGUGAGCACGCGCGGUGGUACUACGCCUCGUGCGAACUCUCAAUGACGAGGCAUAUGCAUGCGCAAUCGCAUACGAGGAGGAUGCAUAUGCAUGCAUGCAUGUAUCCGGCCGGUGAGUGCACUCAAUGACAGGCAGCGUGUGUUCGUUCGUGCGUGCAGUGCGUGCAAGGUAUAUAUAUGCCACGUACGGGCUUUGAUUUGUUGGUGCAACGUCAUUUCUUUUAUUUUUAUUUUUUUGUAACCACGGAUCAUAUAUAGAUGAAUUGACGACAGUAACUUUAAAUUGGUUGACUCCGACGAUAUCCCUUGCACAGCAAAGAAACAAUAACAGAUUCAGCACUUGAUCGAAUGGAGCCUAGCUAGAAGAUGCGUGCUCAAGGUGCCUAUAUAUCGGAAGCCCACGUAUUUGCUGGGGCCGGCUCCAAAGAGAAGCCGGAUAGUGAGAAGCAGAGAGGAAGCCUGUGGGAGGCAAGAAGUAGCAGCGGGAGCUGCUUCUAGCAAAAGCCGCUCCAAGCUUUCUAGUCCACAGGAUGGAAGAUCCAACAAUAUAUAUAUAUUGAGCAGUACUGACAUCGUUUUGAGCAGUACUGACAUCGUUCAGUAUCAUCCAACGCUAUACUCAGGACUACGAAAUACUGAACAAUACUGAAACACGGAUACUGACCGAUAAUGAAAUCUGUUCAGUAUAGUAGUUCGGUGUAGAUUAGUAUUCUACACCUAGGGUGUAGAAUAGCACUUUUAUAUAUAUAUAUAUAUAUAUAUAUAUAUAUAUAUAUAUAUAUAUAUAUAUAUAUAUAUAUAUAUAUAUAUAUAUAUAUUCUACACCGCAAGUCAAAACUGAGUAGAAAAAAUACUGAACAACGUUCAGUAUCAUCCAGUCGUACACCCAGGACCACGAAAUACUGAACAAUACUGAAAUACGAGUACUGAACAAUACUGAAAUCUGUUCAGUAUAGCAAUUUGGUGUAGAAUAGCACUUAUAUAUACAAGUGCUAUUCUACACUAAAUUGCUAUACUGAACAGAUUUCAGUAUUGUUCAGUAUAUAUAUAUAUAUAUAUAUAUAUAUAUAUAUAUAAAAGUGCUAUUCUACACUCUAGGUGUAGAAUACUAUUCUACACCAAACUAUUAUAUUGAGCAAAGUUCAGUAUCGUUCAGUAUUCAUGUUUCAGUAUUAUAUAGUAUUUCGUGGUCUUGAGUGUUGGACAUGAUGAUAUUGAAUAUUUUCCAGUACUACUUAGUAUUUUUUCUACUCAAUUUUAACUUGUAUAACUAUUUCGUGUCAUCAUGUCAUGGCUAUUAAUACCCUUCUCUAAACCUGAUCGAAUUUUAGAUAGUUUGAAAGAGAGAAUUAGGGGGUACGGUGUUUAUUAGUUGCGAGUGUUAAAAUUUAACAGGUAUAUAUUAUAGUAUUUUUGUUUUAUUUGACAAUAAGUAUCUAAUAGUAGACUAAAUAAGCUCAAAAGAUUCGUCUCGCAAGUUAUUGUCUAUCUGUGUUUUUAGUUAUAUAAAUAGUCUAUAUUUAGGCCUUAUUUAGAUCCAAAUAUUUUUUAGAUUUUGACACUGUAUCACUUUCGUUUGUUUUUGAUAAUUAAUUAUUGUCUAACCAUGGACUAACUAAGCUCAAAGAUUCAUCUCGCAAAUUAGAGAUAAAUUAUGCAAUUAGUUAUUUUCAAAAUUUAUAUUUAGUGCUCCAUGUAUGUGCCAUAAGAUUCGAUGUGACGGUAAAUCUUGAAAUUUUUUUAGAUUUUAGGGUGAAGAAGGCCUAUAGUUCCCAACCCAAAAAGUUUCCAUCCAUCACAUCAAACAUUUGGACGCAUGCAUAGAGUAUUAAAUAUAGAUAAAAAUAAAUUUAGUUGGAAAUCACGUGAUAAAUUAUUUAUGCCUAGUUAGUCCAUAAUUAAUCUUAAAUGCUACGGUAACCUACAUGUGCAUAUCUCAACAAUUAUGCAAUUGGACUAUGCAUUCUAGAAAUUUUGCCAAAAAUCUUCAAAAUUGCUCUCCAACAGUUAUGCAUUUGACUCAUGCAUUUUGGCGAACUUGACAUUUGAUGGACCAAACUUGACAUUUUUACAUACGCACAAUGGCUUGGCAAUUUUGAUAUCCCGAGUUUCCUGAACUCCUUGUCGUGCGUGACCUCCCCACGCGCUGCAGUAGUUUCCCGCAAGGACUCCUCGCGCGAACUCUUCUUUCCCCUGCACCGCCGCCUCUUUUCUUUCCCCGCGCGCAACUUGGAGAUACGAUCCAUCGCCGUGUCCUCUCCUUCCUUCACGCGACGGACCUGGAGGCCGUGCGCGACGUGAACUCUACGACCUACGACUUCGUGGACUGGCGGAUCGGGAGGCCACGAUUCACAGAAACGGCGGUACUUGCGACUUCGUGGACUGGCGGCGACGGGCGACGGAAAUUUCCGCGCAGAGGAAAAAUCUCGCGCGAAGCGCGUCAAACAAAAAAAGAUCCCGGACAAAAAUAGUUGGGUCCACUAUUUUGGGAAAUGCCAAGUCAAAAAUACCAAACAAUUAGAGAUGUAGUUAUUUUUCCUUUGGCAAAACGUUUAGGGACUUGGCAAAUUCCAACAAAUGGCAAAUUUCAAUUGCAUAACUGUUGGAGAUGCUUAAUGAUAAAUUAAUUAGACUUGAUAAAUUCGUCUCGCUCUUUCCAGGCGAGUUAUGUAAUUAGUUUUUUUUAUUAGUAUCUGAACACCUCUUUCGAUAUCCUACAAAAUAUUUGAUAUAACACUCAAAAAACAGUUUCUCUUCUACUAAACAAAAUCUUAGUAUAUGUCCAAACACUCGAUGUAAUGGGUGAUAAAAAAUCCAAACGAACCUUAACAUUCGAUGCUAAUGAUCGAACAUCCACUCCCGAAGGAAGCAGGCCGGAGCGGUGCACAUACGCAAUCGAUGGUACCCACGGCGACCUAGGGGGGAAUGAUGACAAGCAACGUGACAUGAUGGCACCAUCACCAAGGAGCGGAGCGGCACGGAACUCGAGGGGGUUAAAGCUACUGCUAGUGCUACCGUGCUAGUAGAGGCUAGAGAGCUCCGUUGUGCAGGCAGAGGGCAGCACUGCAGGGCCAUGUCGCUCACUCCUGCGCCUGCGCCUGCGCUUUUCCCCCCUUUUGUAGUUGCGCGGUGCCGGACAUCGCUCCUCUACUCCAUUCUCAUCCAACACGCAAAGAGGUUGUUAGCUAGACUCACAUGGAACACAAACUGACGAGAUACAAUAUAGUCAUAUUUGGUAGAUUGUAUCUAUUAGUCUGGUGAGAAGAGAUACUAUUUAGUUGCCUACAUAAAGAUACAAUAUAUUGCAUGAGAUAAAAAAAAUAUAAAGUCAAUUUAUGAGAUGAAUCUUUUGAGCCUAAUUAGUCUAUGAUUGGACAUUAAUUGUCAAAUAAAAACGAAAAUGCUAUAAUACCUGUUAAACUUUAACAACACCAACCAAACACCCUCUCAAUUGACUUUGUUGUAUAUAGGCCUGGUUUAGUUUGCAAAAGAAAAAAAAUAGAUACUACAUCAUAUUUAUAAUUAUAAUAAUAAUUAGUAAUCUAAUUAUAGACUAAUUAGACUUAAUACGUAUAAACUAUAUAAUUAGUUAUUUUUAAUCUAUAUUUAAUGUUUUAUAUAUGUGUUUAAAUAUUCUAUGUGAGGUGAUGAAAAGUUUUUAAGUGCAAACUAAAUAGGGUCAUACAGUAUACGUAUAGAUAACUUGUUUUUUCGUAAAAUAAUGCAUGCACUCUCGCUCCUUUGCAACCUCUACCCUAUCGUGAAAUACAAAGUAUACUCCAUAUCAAAAGGCUAACUUAGAGUAUUCUCUGAAAGUUUGGUAAAAUAACUCUCUAUCUAUCGUGAAAUACAAAGUAUACUCCCUAUAUCAAAAGGCUAACUUAGAGCAUCUCUGAAAGUUUGGUAAAACAACUUUCUAUUUUAAUAUUAUAGUAAAAAGAGAAAAAAGCUUCCUCCAAUAGUUUAGUAAAAUAGCUCUUUAAAAAUAGAAAGUUGUCAAAUAUCUUUCUUAAAUCAUAAAUUUCCAAAGUCUUCCUAUCUCUUCUUUUAGAUCUGUUUCCACGUCAUUUGUUGCAUAGUCCUCUGGUCCGACCGCUGUGGGAUGUACCGGCCUCCAUUGCCGCCGCCCUAUAGGUUGACGCUAUCGCUCCGUACUUGUCUCCACGGUAUUAUUGAUCUUUGAUUCGAAAGCACGACAUGAUGUCUUUCACAUGUGCAUAGCCUGCUAUCUUUAUAUAUGCUCAUUGCUUGCAUUGGCCAGAAGGUAUGGAUGCUAGGCACGCCUUGCUGGCAGUACAGAGCUAGUGCUUGUGUCAAUGCGGUGCAAAUAAAAAAAUAUAAUUUUCUUUUCAAUUUUUUUAUGAUAACAUAAUAAACCAAAAAAUAUUAAAUAUGGGCCCUAUUAUAACUUUUAGAAAGUUAUUAUAGGAGACCGUUGGAAAAGAAUUAAAAUUAAGGUUACUAUUUCUUUUGUUAACUUACUAAAUAGAUUAGUUUAACAAGUAAAUUAUACCAAACUCCUGAAGAUGCUCUUACCUCUCACUAAUACAAACAAUCAGCCAGGCCCCUUAGCUAGUAUGAUAAAUGGUAAACAUAACCCGCGAAACUAUCUAGGGUGGACUACUUUACCUCCCGAACAAUAAAACCGAAUAUUCUGCACCUAAACUUUCAAAACCGGUAAAAUAACCCCCUCUAGUGGUUUUGGAGGGUGGUUUUGUCUUUUUCUUUUUUAUUUAUUUCGACUGAAGAAAGCUAAAUAAAUCUAUCCUUUAAAACCACUCGAAGAAGUUAUUUAACCGGUUUUAAAGUUUCGGAUAGAAUAUCCGGUUUUAUAGUUCAGAGGGUGAAGUAGUAUAUUCUAGAUAGUUUGGGAGGUUAUGUAGACUUUUUCCUAUCAUAAAUGAGGCGUGUCAUUCUAACUAUAGUUUGCGUCAUCUAAACAAAAAAAAAAAUCAGUUCGUGUUUGCGCUGGCCUUUUUGUCAAUGUUCUGAUAAAUAAAGGUCAUGUGUCUUGUUCCAAUUCCAAUGGGAAUCCGAAUCUCGUUCUGACCUAUAUCAUCGUCUUUGCAUGCAUGUUCCAAUUAGUAGUUGCUUUAAGCUUUUAGCCUUUUUUUCAUUACGUUGCCAUGUGUUCUCGGUCAAGAUUCCCGAUUACCAACAUCGUGGCAUUUUAUAGCUCGGGAUCCAAGACCUCCCCGGAACACAUGCUUGGGAAACCACCUUUUUCUUUUGUGCUGUCGUCCAACUCUAGCGACUAACGACAUUUAUCCGCAAGCUGAAAGUGAAAAAGACCAGACGACGGUCCACCACGUUAAAAUCGACCUUACGUAUCGUCUGGUUUAUUUGCACCAAAGGCAUUUUUUUUCCUUUUUAGAUUGAUAUCUUAUUGCGUCGUGUUGUUAAUUAUAUGCUUGAUGGUAGCAAGAAUUGGAAGAUUUCGGUAGUAUUCGGAGAAGACUCUAAGGAUGGGGACGAACAUAGUUAGUACUACAAGGGAGGAAUUCAGUUUGACGGCAGUUAUUCCUUAACCCCUUGCAGGUUCCAUUACUCCCUCCAUUCACGAAAGAAUUAAUUCUUAGAAUCUGUGUCAGUCAAAUUUAUUUAAGUUUGACUAACUUUAUAGAAAAAGAGUAACAACAUAUAUGACAUAAAAUGCGCAUCAUAUGAAAAUAUAUUCUACGAUGAAUCUAAUGAUACUAAUUUGAUAUCAUAAAUUUUAGUAAUUUUUUUACAAAUUUUGUCAAAGUUUAAAAAAUCUAACUUAGGACAAGUCUAAAAAUUGAUUCUUUCGUGGACGAGUAUUACAAAGCUUACAAGCUUAGGCCUUGUUUAGUUCAUCCCAAAAACUAAAAACUUUUCAAGAUUCCCCGUCACAUCGAAUCUUACGGCACAUGUAUGGAGCACUAAAUAUAGACGAAAAUAAAAACUAAUUGCACAGUUUACUUGUAAAUUGCGAGAUGAAUCUUUUAAACCUAGUUACUCUAUAAUUAGACAAUGUUUGUCAGAUAAAAACAAAAAUGCUACAGUUCCAAAAAUCAAAAAAAAAAGAACUAAGCAAGGCCUUACUCUCACAGCUAGCUAGCACUUGGUCGGUCCUACAAUACAAAUCCAAGUCCCAGAUAAAAUCCAAGUCAUUGGCAAGCGAAGCCUGAGCUAGUGGGCUGACGAUGAUGGUGGGACGCAGAUCGUUGUUGGGCCUGUAGUGCAAAGUGGCCCAAAGAAGCCUCACAGUCGUGGGCUUGUGGCGUCGGAAACAGCAGCCUUUUCUGGGCCACGGCCCACAGCCAAAGCACCAGCUGAUGCCGAUGGCAAUGUACUGCAGUGGCGACACCUGGACGAUUCUUGCGUGCAGUGCAGAGUGCAGCCUGUGCACUGACUUUUUUUUUGUGUGACACGUAGGUAUCUCCAUAUAGGACUUCGCAUGAAAUUUGUUGAUAGUAUAGCACAUGCUAUGACUAUAGCAGUUAGUAUCUAAUCAUAAACUAAUUAUAUUUAGAAGAUUAGUUUAGUAAAAUAUAUAAAAAUUAUAUAAUUAAUUAUUUUUUAUUUAUAUUUAAUGCUAUAUGUAAAUAAAUAAACAUUCGAUGCUACGGAUGAAAAUUUUUUAGAUAAAAAUUAAACAAGGCCAUACUAUUCUAUACAGGCGGAAUACGAUGUUACUGCUUUGGUUGUAGGAUGACCACCGACCUCCUCUUUUUUUUUGUGUAUGAACUCUUGUAGUCUUGUAGGCCGCCAAAUGAGGUCAAAUGAAUUCAGUGUGCGUUCAAACAGCAGGCACCUACCUGUAAUUAAUUAGAUCCAGAAUCCAGGGCUUAAUUGAUUCGUUAAGCAAGUAAGUAACCUCAGCAGCUCGGGUCCCCGCUCCAUUAUCCUGCCGGCUGCCACUCGGCACUUGGGCAGGGCACCAACCUCACCUCACCUCACCUCCCAGGACCACCUCACCACAUGUUCCACAGCACAGAGAACCCCUCUACAUACGUACGUACGU
Molecule: long non-coding RNA, 99006 nt
Filed under: Sorghum bicolor (sorghum)
Lineage: Eukaryota; Viridiplantae; Streptophyta; Magnoliopsida; Poales; Poaceae
Description: long non-coding RNA (SBIC_LNC013479)
Source: RNAcentral